Molecule: long non-coding RNA, 145228 nt
Filed under: Ananas comosus (pineapple)
Lineage: Eukaryota; Viridiplantae; Streptophyta; Magnoliopsida; Poales; Bromeliaceae
Description: long non-coding RNA (ACOM_LNC022988)
Source: RNAcentral
AGCAUUGGGUAUGAUCUACAGUACUUAAAGUAUUGGCACUACAACAGAAUUAGAUUAUAGGGAUACAUGUUUGGGACACUUUUGAGUAAGUGUCCCAUUUAUGCUAAAAUUUAAAAAAAUAUCUGCUAAUGCCUAAAUAUAAAGCCCAAUCCAACCAAAAAUAAAAGAUUACUCUACUCAACCCACCACACCCAGUCCAUUUAGCCCGAUUACAAACAGAAAAGAAAAAAAAAAAAGAAAAAUUAAUUGCCAUCUUUUCUUCUCUCUUCACUCAAUCAACUGAAAUUCUAGACGAAAAGCCUUUCCUGUCGUCCUCCUCCGCCACCGCAGCCAACGAGAUAAAGUUUCGGCGGUUGCUAAAUGCUUAAAUAAGUAUUCGUAAAUUAGCAGCACUCUUUUAGGUUAUAGCGACACUUUUUAACUGUCACUAUAUACCUAGCGACCCCAUAUAUAGCAACACUUUUUAAAAGUGUCGGUAAUUUUAGCUAGCAGCACUUUUUUGAUAUGUACCUACAUUUAAAAGUGUCGCUAUAGACUGUUUUUGUUGUAGUGUGGUGGGUAGCUUUUAUAUAUUUUGGAUAAUUGAUUUUUUCAAAAUUAUGACCGUUUGUACUAUUUAUACAUUAUAAAUGAUAUCUAAUUUUAAUUUUUAAACUUUAAGACACCUUAGUUUGAGUGUUGAAAACGCUGACGAUGUUGAAUAUAAGAUGUUAAACCAUCGUUGUGCCAUAGUGAAAGCUUUUAGGGGGAAAAAAGAUUAUUUAAUAUAAAUUUUAUAUGAUAUACUAAAUGUGAAACCUAUGGGACAUUGUUUAAUUUUCUUUUUUUGAAUAAAUUUUCACGUAUGUUUUAUAUCUAUUAAAAAGUCUUUGACCCCGUUUGGAUUGGACACAAGAGGGGGAUGAGAGCCUUAUCCUCCCAAUUGUACCCAAACAAAAAUUUUUGGAUUGGAACAAGCUUGUUCCCACUAAAGCUUGUUCCUACUCACCCCCUGUUGCUAUAGAGAGAGAGAGACUUUUGUUUUAAAAUACAAUUUAAAUUUUUAAAAUUUGUAAUUUGAAAAUUAAAAUUUUAAAUUUUAAAUUUUAAAAUUUAAAGUUUAAAUUUUAAAUUUGAUAUUUUAAAAUUUUAAAUUUUUAAAUUUGAUAUUUUAUAUUUUGUAAAUUUAAAUUUGGUCUUAAAUUUAAAAUUUAAAAUUAUUUGAUAUUUUAAAAUUUUAAAUUUUUAAAUUUGAUAUUUUAUAUUUUGUAAAUUUAAAUUUGGUCUUAAAUUUAAAAUUUAAAAUUUAAAAUUUUUAAAUUUGAAGAUUUAAAUUUUAAAUUUUAAUUUUAAAUUUUAAAUUUUAAAAGUUAAAAGUUAAAAUUUUAAAUUCAAAAUUAUAAAUGUAAAAUUUAAAAAAUUAAAUUCAAAUAUAAUAAGAGGAAUAAUAUAAUUAUUUUUUAUUUAUAACUAUUCAUUAUUCUUCUUAUUCUAUUUUAUCCAUCCAAACACUAUUUUUUUUAUUCCCGAAAACAACCUAAUUUUCAUCCGAAUGCAAAAUUGGUCUAGUUUUCGUUUAUAAUUUAACUUGUAUCUAUCCCUGAAAUAAGUAGUUCUUACUUAAUUAUACCCAAACCAAAUGAAGCCUUUGAAUCCACGAAAUUAUUUUUUCAACGGAUAAUACUUUUUAGGCUAAAUUAUAGAAAAUCCUCUUAUAAUACUUUUUUUUUUUACUUUUCCUCCCCAACUAACUUUCAAAAUCUACAUUACCUCUCAACAUUUCAAGUUAUUGCAUAUAGCUCUCCCCUCCAUCAGGGUUUCAUCACUAUUCUGUAUAUUUCUUAUAAUUUAUAUCGAAAAUAUCCUUUAAGACGAUAGAAAUAUGUUAAAAAAUUAUUUUUUCUUAUAGACGAAGUAAUGCUAAUUUGAUUAUUUUAUCCUCUCUAUUAAUGUCGUAUUCCUUUAAAAAUAUUUCAGAAAUUUUAAAGGGGCAAAAUAUAGAUUUUUAAAAGUAAUGAAGCAAAGGUGAGUAAGCGGAUAUUUAUAAAAAAAUUUUAUAUAUUUUAUCCUACUUUUAAUUACAAAUUACCACUUUUAGUUCCGAAAGUUCCGCUUCUUCUUUAUAAGUUGUUUAUGUGUCAAAUUAACAAAAAAAUAAGUGAAACUCCCAAACUGCAUAAUGUAAAUAAGCCAAUCAAAAAUUCUCAUGUCAUCUAUGUCAGCAUAUCAGCAGUCUAUAAACGCACGUAGCAUUCUUUCUCUACAUUGUGGCUAUCCUUAUUGUUGGAAGCAUGAUUUUCUCUGAUACCUAUUAUUGGGAGCGUAAUUUUCUCUGAUAUUAAUUGUUGGAACUAGUAUUUGUGCUAAUACCGAUUAUAGAACCCAGAACAAAACAUAAUAUGAAGAAAAUAUAUUAUGGGAGGAAGAAAAAAAUAAAUUAAUACUUUAUUAAUAAAAAGUAAUUAAUUAUAUUCUGGACAAUACCCAUGGAAUUAUAUCUACCGUGACUUAUUCCUACGCCUAACUAUAUAUAACUAUCGAGUCAUAAGAGAUGAUAAAUCCAACUCUUACUUUGGAUAAGUAACCUAAUAUUUUUUGAUAAGUUUAGAUUUAUUUCUGUCAGAUUCAUCUCUUAAUAUUUUGUUGGUUAGACAUAAGAGAUAAGUUUAAAUCUUAUUCAAUUAUUAGUAUUAGGAUUUUAAUUUAUGUCUAUACAUUAAUACAUAUAUAUAUAUAUAUAUAUAUAUAUAAACUGCUGCAAAUGUGUGAAAAAUAAUUCACUACCGAAAUCUAGUCCAAGAAUAUUUAAUAAAAUUUUUAGUUUAAUUUGCUGCAAUACUCCUCUCCAAAUGAUAUCGAAGCAAAUUACGCUUCCAACACUUAGGGACCGUUUGGUUAGAUAUAAUUAUAAAUACAGUGUAGUUAGAGGCACAAGCAGUUGAAAAUGUAGCCGUUACAACUAUAUCCAUUCUGUUUGGUUAGAUGUAGUAGAAAAUGUUGCAAGUAUAAAUAAUUUAUUUGGUUGCAUGCAGUUGAGAUAUAAUUUCUAAAAUUUUAUUAUUUUAUAUAUAUGAUGGUGAGAUUACCUCCUAUGUAAAAAAUAAAAAAAAAAUUUGUUUAAAAAAUAAUUGAGCAGGUAAGUAUACCUUUUAUUUAAAGUUACUCUCUGAGUCUCUUCAACUACUGCGGCCAAUUUGGGUAUAGUUCGAACUGCCGUAUUUGGGCCUCCUGCAGUUUUUACUACACCAGUUGGAGUUAAAUAUAUUAAACUAAACACUAUAGGUAGCAUUUGGAUUGGGGAUAAGGAGUGGAAUAACCCCUUAUCCCCUCUUUAUACCCAAACGCUAAUUUUUUAUUCGAGAAUAGUAGUUCUCGGUUACCUAUAAUAACCGGAUAUAACUAUUCCCAUCAACAUCUCCAUUUUCUAUAUAUAACUACCCAUUAAUUUUCUUAUUCCAUAUUAUCUAUCCAAACGCUAUUUUUCUUAUUUCCGGAAAUAACCUAAUUUUCAUCCAAACGUUAUUUUUCUUAUCCCCAUACUUGUACCUAUUUCUGUAAUAGCUAGUUCUUACUUAUACCCGAACCAAACGCUACAUAGUUAUAACUACAGUGCAGUUACAACUGCAUACAACAAAACGGUCCCUUAGGGGGUGUUUGGUUCCCUGUAAAACUGGUCCGAAAAGUUUUUUUCGAUCGAAAAUUUUUUUUCCGAUGUUUGCUUACAAGUAAAAUUUUUUUUCGGAAAAAUUGUUUUACAGAUUCUCCGAAAAAACCCCAUUUUCGUUUUCCGCCAGGUUUUCGCGGGGGCGGAAAACGAAACUGGUCUCAAAAAAUCACGGCUCACAGGGCCUUGCGCGCACGCGGUCCAGGAGAUCAUCUUCAUCUCAUGGACCCGCGAGAGAGAGAGAGAGUCCACGGUGGACUCUCUCUUCCUCUUCCAUUAUAUAUAUAUAUAUAUAUAUAUAUAUAUAGUAAUUUAUUUUAUAAUAUUAAAUAUAUAUUAUUAUAUAUGAUAUUACAUAUUUAUUGUAUAAUAUGUUUUAAAUAUAUUUUAUUUAUAAAUAUAAACUAAAAAUAAUAAUAAAUAUAGUAUGAUAUUUAUUAUUUAUUAAUAAUAUAUAAUAAUAUAAAAUAAAAAAUAUAUAUAUUAAUUUAUUUUUAUAAUUUUUUCUUUCUUUUAUUUUUAAUCAACUAAACAACCGUAACGGAAAACUAAUUUUUUUUUCUACAAACCAAACGUUAAAGAGCGUAAAACCUUUUUUCCUCCGAAAAAAAUUUUCUGUGAAAAAUUUUUUUCCUCAAUUUUACGUGGAACCAAACACACCCUUAGCAGCAGAUAGCAUUCUGAUGACCGAGAGGGAAUUAAUAACCCUCUUCUUCUGCAUAUAAAAUACAAGAUUUUUCUGGGAACAAAGUUGUACCUACCAAAAUAUGGGCCUCUCUCUCUCUCUCUCUCUCUCUCUCUCCUAAUUCUCUUUUGGUUUCUUUCUUCUUUGUGAAGACACAAAUUCAAAUGAAUUAAUGGGAAGAGUAAACGGAGAGGGUGGGGGAGGUAAAAGGGGCCGACAUUUGAGCACGCGUUGCCGGAGGGGGGGAGAUUCACAGCCUGUAUGGGUGCGGUGGGUCCCACCCUCUUUUGGACCCUGCGAAGACGACGACGAAUCAGGGCCCCACAUCUUAUUAUGAUGGUUAAUGUCGAAAUUUUAUAGCUUUUCGCCUUUUCCGUUAAGUGAUCAAAUAUAAAAUCUUUAUUUCCGAAAAAAUCUGAAAAUUUUUCUAUAUCUUAAGAUGAAAUUUUAUAAAAAUACUACGUGCGUUUGUGUAUAUAUAUAUAUAUAUAUAUAUAUAUAUAGAGAGAGAGAGAGAGAGAGAGAGAGAGAGAGAGAGAGAGNUUGGGCCUUCCACUGCAGCCUUCUUACAAGUCCUAAACAAUUCAGACCUGUUAGUGAUUAAUAAUGUAAAAAAAAAUAAACACACAUACACAUACACACUUAAAUAGUGUAUACUUUUUAAUGUGUGUAAAGGAGAGAGAGAGAGAGAGAGAGAGAGAGAGAGAGAGAGUGAGUGUGUGAAUGAACGAAAGUUUUUAUUUUUUUAAAUUAUUUUUGAUAAUAAGACAUUUAAUUUGACAAUGGGUUCUAUUAGAAAUGAUCUACGUUGUCAUAAAACUAUCAAAAACUCAAAUUUUAUAUAUUUUUAAUAUUAUUUGUUUUAUUAUCGAAAAUAGUUUUAAAGUACGAAAACUUCCGUACUCUCUCUCUCUCUCUCUCUAUAUCUAUAUAUAUAUAUAUAUAUAUAGUUUAAGAGGCCUACCGCCAGAGUUUUCAUUUUUCGCUCUAGAGAAGUGAAGAACGAAAAAACUUAAGUUUUUCAAAAAAAAAUCCAUAAAACUAUUUUAUGAGGAAAUUUUUGUACAUUCAGAGGAACAAUCAGCUGAAAAAAUAUUUUUUGAGCCGAAAAUUGUGUUUUUUUUUUUUAGAGAGAGAUAAGUAACAUGCUACCCGUUUCGUUUAUUUUAUUUAGAAAUAAAUUUAGCUGAAAAUGUGAAUCAACUAGGAUUCGAACUUGGGUCUCGAGUACCAACUACCAAGCCCUUUGCCACUUGCUCUAUUGACUGCCGGUGAGCCAAAAAUAGUGUUAGAUCUCGUUUUACGAGGAACCAAAGGCACCGACAGCAGCAGAAAAUUGCAGAGUUAAAAAAUUCAGGGAAUUUAUGUGUGGUAAUGUUAAAAUGUUGACAGGGCCAGUACAUGAAUUUUGUUCCACAUUUCAAACCUGCGACUCUCAUUUAUAGAUUCUUUUCUCUGAGGAUCUUUGCUGUGGACACGAAGAAGGACCACAAUGAAGAAGCUCCAAAGAGAGAAAUUAAUGGCUCCUUGACCGCAGCAGCAGCAGCAGCAAAAAAUCAAACUAAGUAUGGGGUCUUAAAUUCGAGCUGCAGUUGGGAAAACCACUGAAGUAGGGAGUAUACGAGACUGUUUAAGCUAUGAAAGCUGUCAGUGACAUUUUAAUAGGCUCAAAACACGAAAAUACCGUAAAACUGUUGUUUCUCUCUAAAAAUUUAAAUUGUUAUAUUCAGUAUGUAUAGACCAUGUUAGCUCCUACAUUUACUUUUAGAAACCACAAACAACACAAUAAGAUCAGUGGAAAAGAACUAGACCGGUAUACUAUCAGUAGUAAGGAGGCAUCAGUCCUAUUAAGUUGUUCUCGAUGAUGCAGCUUUCAAAUUAACGAUCGGCUCCGUUAGACUUGGUCUACACUAUUAAAAGUAUUUGAAAACUUAAUUUUAUAUUUUUUCGACAUUAUUUGGCUAGUGAUCAAAAGGUUUCAAAAAUGACAAUUUUAAUGGCUGAUGUGUUGCGUUUGUGAAUUUAACGGUGUAAAACAAUCCGAAUCUGAUGAAUUUUUUAUAGAAAAUUUUUUUAUUAUUUAGAGUAAGACUAGUACCUCUAAUUUUAAAUUCAAGUCUUUUAUCAUCGUUUUUUAUGAGAUUUUUAUUUUCAGUUGUUCAUUUUUAGACUACUCGUUUGAUAGGUAAAUGAUAUUGAAAAAUUAUAAAAUUUAGUUUUCAAAUACUUUCAAUGGUGUAGAUCAAGUCUAACGGAGCCGAUCGUCGAUUUGGAAGCUGUAUUAUCGAAAAUAACUUGGUAGCACAAAGACUUUCGUGCUACCGAUAGUAUGCCAGUCGAACUCCACUGAAAAAAUUCACUUAUAAAUAACACAUAUAUAACCUAGAUCUGUCGCUGUCAUAAUUUUGUUUUCCUUUCCUUUUGACAGUGACACCGAUGCACUCAUUUUCAUGUACUAUUGCUUGCUAAUACAAGGAACUUAGAUAUUUCCUCAUUGCAUUUAAGAAAAAUAAAAAAAAAUAAAAAAACUACACUUGAUAUCAUCUCUUUACCCACUUUGAAUGCUAUAUUUAUGAAUAUAAACUAGCUACAUCUCUCACUAGGUCAACACAAAAUUGGUUCCAAACAAAAGACUAUAUACAUUUUGUCCACACUCUAACUUGUGUGUCCCACUUACACCUGAUCCACACAAGUGGAGCACUCUACUUGUUCCUUCGAAAGCAUAAUAAUGGGUUUAUAUUGGAGAGAUGAUGGUGAUGGAUGUGCCAUGGUUAAUUAUCUCAUAAUAUAUUUUUGGAAAAUUGUUUAGUAUAUAGUAAAUUAUAAGUCAAUUAUAUAAUAAUUUUUUUUUCUUUUUUAAUAUUUAACAUAUAAAAUUAAUAUUCAGGUCAGACAUUAUGUUUUAAAUCUGAUCAGUCACAACACUUAGAUGCCAAAAAAAAAAAAAUAGUACUAAUUUCUAUAAGGAUAAACUUCAAAUACCAUUCCUGUGAUUUCGCACUUUCUCAUUUUAGUACCAUGUGAUUUAAAGUAUGUCAAGUUAGUAUCAUGUGGUUUCAUUUUUAUUUUUUCGCAAGUUUUUUUUUAAUUAAUAUUUUGAUAAAUUAUAUACAAAAAACUCACAGAUAUCCCAUAUAGUUUUAUCGAAUAUUUAUUUUAUUACUCUUUAGUUUUAACUUUGUCACUGAUUUAACGAAAAAAAUUAAUAAAAUCGAUAAUAAAAAGAGAAAAAAAUGAAACCAUAGUACUAAAUUAAUAUGCUUUAAAUUCUUCAUUUGUUACGAUCUUUACUUUCCAUUAUGUUAAAUAUGUGUCACAUCAAGUUUUGGAUCCAAUCGACAUCUAACGCAUGCCUUCAUCUAUCUUGGCCUUGCUGUUAUCCUCUUGCAGGAAGAGAAAGUCUUCUUUUCCAACAGUGGUGAGAGCCGCAAUUAAAAAAAACAAAAGUGAUAUAAUCAUUAAUUUUAUCGCAUUAAAAAAGAAAACUUUAAAAUACUUUUAUUAGGUUUCUCUUAUCUCCUAAAGCAUAAAAGUGCACCCAUGUGAACAUCUCAAUCCAACAAGUAUGCAUUAUUUGCUAUUAAAAAAAAAAAAGUGUAAUAUGAAAAUAUAUUCUAUUUAUUUUCGUAAUAAAUCAUAGAGUUUAUUAAAUAUGUAGAUUCAAUUAAGAUAUAUACAUUUUGCGUUUCCUGAACCAAAGAAAAAUAUAGCCUAAACAAGAAAAAGGCUAAGCCAAGGCAUAUAAAAAGAGGUAUCACAAAAAGAAUAAUAAUUUACAUAUAUAGUUGCGUACUUACAUAUAUUCGGAUAACACUUUAACGGGGAUUUCUACAACGAUAUCUCAUUAAAAAACUCCUGAUUCGUUUUCACGUGUUAGUUUUGUUUUAAUCUAAGAAUUCGUUCCGUUUGGUGUUUUUUAUAUUGAAUUUCAAAACAAAAAAAACUCUAGAAAGAAGAAUUAUAAGCUUUGGAUUAAGAUGAAAGGCAGUGAGACAGGAACUUUUCAACGAAGCGUUGUUGGGGAGAUCCCUAAUGAAGUUAUUACUUUACUUUGUGUACGCGUAUCAAUCGUGCAUGGAUUAUUAUUACAAAGUUACAACUGAGGACCUAUAUAUAAAUAUAUAUUUUGGAAUCUAUAAAAUUAAGUUUCAAGGUCACAAUUGGCGGGGGGGUCCCUGAUGUUCCUUCUAUAAUAUAUAUAUUUGGCUUCUUGUGGAUUAAUUGGAAUAAAGAAUCCAAUAACAACUCAUAUCAAUUCAUGGAAACUUUUGCUUUUCCCUUAAUAAAAAAGAAAAGCUACGGUGAGAAAAGUCAUGGGGAAUUAAUGGCUACUCUUCUGGUUCUUUGUCCUCACUCCAUGGCCUUCACAUUUUCUUAAUUUGAUAUUAUUUGAUUCGGCAAUAAAAUUUUUCCGAUUUACUUUUAGACUAAAAUACAGAAAAGUUUUGUCUUUUUUUUUUGUUUGCUAACUUUUAAAAUAUUUACAUUUUAUCCUUUUAAAAUUUCAAAUUAAUGCAUUUAGACCUCAUUCGUUAGGUCCGUCACUAUUCCGUCUAUUUUUUUAUAAUUUAUACUGAAAAUAUUCUUUAAAAUGACAUAAAUAUAUUUAAAAAAAAAAUUUCUUAUAGAACAAGGGUGAUUUGGUCAUUUUGCCCACUUUCAUUGAGGUUGUAACAUUUUAAAACAUUUUGAAAAUUUUAAGGGGGCAAAAUAUAAAUUUUUAAAAGUCUGGAGAAAAAAGUAAAAAAAAAAAAGGUAUUUAAAUAGAGAUUUUCUGUAUUUUAGCUUUUUUAAUAUAGAUAUAAUUUUUGAAAUAAGUAGAAAUUAAACAAAUUUUGUGUUUGGAUGGCAAUUGAGUUAUUCUUGCAAAUAAAAAGAAAAUAUUAUUUGGACUAUUAGAUUGAAUAGUGGGAAUAAAAGUAAUUUCAUAUUUCUUAAAAAAAAAAUUAUCUAGUUUAUGAAUAUCAAAAUAUCAAUUAAAUAAUAACUUAACAAGUUGAUUAAUUAAUUAACUAUGAAAUAAUUGAUUAUAACAGUAAUUUCAUAUAUUUAUUAAAAAUAAUUUAAUAAUUAUAAUAAUUAAUUAACUAAUUAUAAAAUAAUAUAUUAUAUUAAUUAUAUUAAUAAAGGAACUAAUUAGAUCGAAUUAAUUUCUAAUUAAUUAGAUCGAAUUAAUUUCUAAUUAAUUAGAAUUAAUAGGACUAGCGUUAGUUUGCUCUAUAUUGAUGUUUAUGUAUUUGGUUUGGGCCAAAUCUUUUGACCCGGCCCUGCGUCGAUGCGCGACCCGUAGACGCUACGAGAAUCGGCCCAAUUUCCUCGAACAAAUUGAGCAAAUAGAUGCCAUAUUUCAAGUUUGCUUCACAUCCGCCACCUAUCACUACCUAUCACUAUCAUCUCAACCCUACAUCUCUCCAUCAAAUGGCUAAAAACUCAAAAGCACCAACCCCUAGGUAUUCUAGCUCAACACUUAUAUAAUAUAUUAUAUUAUAUAUAUAAUAUAUAUUAUUAUAUAUAUAAUAUAUGAAUUAGGCUGGAUGGAAUACUAUUAAUAGUAAACGCUCUUUUUUGCUAUCAAGUUUUUAACCCUUGGAUGAAAAUUGUAGCGGUCAGGAUGAUAUUAGUCAGUUAUAGUUGAGUGGUCCCUUAGGGUUGAGUGGUUCCACUGCUUAUAGUAUUUAAUCCAAUGCGUUAGAAAUAAUGAAAAAGUUGAUCCAAAUGCUAAAAACCCCGGGAGCAACAAUGAGAUUUUUGCUACUAAUAGUUAACCCAGUCAACUAAUAUAUAUAUAUUAUAUAUAUAUAUAUAUAUAUAUAUAUAGAACUGAGCUCCUAUGCUUUUAAAAGUACCAAGUCAUUGGUGCUUGUAAGUUUUAGCCCUUGGGAUAUAAGGAAUGUGCGGUUAAAAUUGUGUGGGCCCCUAGGGUUAAGUGCGGUGGUUGUUGAAUAGUAUAAUCUAAACGGACGUGAAAAUGAUCAAAGCGCGUAGAUCUAACGGCAAAAAUUUACAAGCAUCAAAUACUUGCGUACUUUUACAAGCACCAUAGCCGGACUAUAUAUAUAUAUAUAUAUAUUAUAUAUAUAAUAUAUAUAGAGUGAGGCUAUUAUGCAUAUCGGAGCCAGCGAGCUUCCGUGCUUUCAGCUCCUCGUUUUCGAUGUUCCGACUUUCGAAUCGUCGAUCGGCUCCUUAAACUUGAUCUAGAGUAUUUGAAGUAUCUAGAAAAUAAAUUUUUAUGAUUUUACGAUAUCAUUUGCCCUAGUGAACGAAGGCGGUUCAAAAUCAACGCUGAAAAUAAAAAUCUUUACAAAAAUGUAAUAAAUAUGACAUUAAAAUUAAAUCAAAGAUAUUUAUCUUGUUUUAUUAUAGUAUAAACAAUUUUCUAUCAAAUUUCACGUGAUUUGGUAUUUCAUACACCGUUAACUUGCAAACGCUCACUACGGCCAUUUUAAAUUUGUUAAUGUUUGAGCUCAUUCGAUCACUAGGCAAAUGAUAUCGAAAAUUUUCUACGGUACUUCAAAUACUCUAGAUCAAGUUUAACGGAGCCGAUCGACGAUUCGAAAGUUCGCAACAUCGAAACGAGCUGAAGCACGGAAGGCUCCGUGCUUCGAUAGCAUAGUAGCCUCACUACUAUAUAUAUAUAUUAUAUAUAUAUAGUGAGGCUACUAUGCUAUCGGAAGCACGGAGCCUUCCGUGCUAUAUAUAUAUAUAUAUAGUAGAGAUAUUAUACUAUUGAAAGUAUGAAGGAAUUGAUAUUUUCAACAUUUUCGCCUUUAGAUUAAAAAUUAUAUGGUUUGAAUGAUAAUGGUCCUCCAUAGGGUUGAGUUAUUUCCAGGAGUAAAAAUAUUAAUCCAAAGUUUAAAAUUGGUCAAAAAGAUUGAUCUAAAGGUCAAAAGUCAAAAGCAUUAAUUCCUUUAUACUUCCAAUAAAAUAAUAACUCUUUCACUAUAUAUAUACAUUGAUUUUGUUUAGAAAUUUUUGGAUUUGUUCGAAUCCGACAAUACCCCUUGAUCAAUACAAUGCUGUCAAAAUAGUAUUAUUAAACGAAGCACCUAUAUAUCUUUAAUUACUUUUUUUCUACAACAAGUUUUGCUCUAGUUUUGCUGCAAGAAAAGUUCUAAAUAUAUAUUCAUUUUGUAACAAAGAUUUUUCCAGUGGAUUUUUAUACAGAAGUCUAGUAACAUUUUUUUUUUUUUUUUUUCAAAUUCGCCUCCAAGAUAACAGUAACUUUUGCUCACCAACAAAAAAAUAUAUAUAUAAAAUAUAAAAUAUAAAAUAUCAACAAAAAUGAAAAUUUGGGGCUUUACGCAUACCACAAAUAUUAGUGGGCAUGAGAUGCAUUGUGUCACUAAAUUAAGAUGAUUUAUUGUCUCAUUCCCAGUAUUAUUUAUUUAUGAAAUUGGACCUGGUAUUAUAAUUGAGUUAUCCUAGUUAGUUAAGUUAAAAAUUUUAUUAGAUCUAGUGGGUACAUAAAAUAUUAAAGGUUAAUUAUUCUAACUUUGUUUGCAAAUAAUAAUUAAAAUUAUUAAAUUUGAUGGGUACGACUAAUAAAUUUACAAAUUGUCAAUUUAACCAACUAAACUCCCCUCAAUGAAAAACAUUUGAAAAUGCGCUUUUAAACUAAUUUUCUUUUAAUUGACACGCGAAUUUAAUUAUCUAAACAUAUGUUUCUUUUCCUAACAUGUCAGGAGCUCACACACUCGAUUCAUGAAACGGAUCUACAACUUCAACCCGCGUAACCCGAUUGACCCGACCCUGAACCGAACUUAUGCAGCCCACCUACAAGUAAUGUGCCCUGCGGGUCGCGAUCAACACGGACCCGUCUAAGCCCCGAAAAUUCGAUAACCGGUACUACAAGAACCUUCAGCAAGGCAUGGGCCUCUUCAUCUCGGACCAAAUCCUCUUUACGGACCCCCGAACCCGACCCACCGUCGACUCCUGGGCUGGGUCACCAGGCCUUCGGACAGGCCUUCGUCUCGGCCAUCACCAAGUUGGGCCGGGUCGGGGUCAAAACCGGGUCGGAUGGUAAUAUUCACCGUAAUUGUGCUAUUUUUAAUUGAGAAAUGUUAGAGAGAGAGAGAGAGAGAGAGAGAGAGAGAGAGAGUUGGGCUUGAAUAUUAUUAAUAGUAUUUGCUCUCUUUUACUAUCAAAUUUUUAUCCUUUGAAUCAAUUUUUUUUUAUCAUUUUUAACUAUUAGAUUAAAUAUGAUAACCCAAUAGAAACUACUCAACCCUAAGAGACUAAUAUCAUCCUAAUCUUAUAAUUUCUCAUCUAAGGGUUAAAAACAUAAUAGCAAAAGGGUCAAAUACUAUUAAUAGUAUUCCAUUUGAUUUUUAGAAGUUUUAAAUUCUCUAAAUAAUAUUUUUGAUUUAUGAGUACUAGAGCGAUUGUAGAGUACAGUAACCGAACUAUAUAUAUAUAUAUAUAGAGUGGGCUGGUAUGCUUAUGGAAGCACGAAGCCCUCCGUGCUUCCAAGUUGUUUUCGAUGUUCGGACUUUCGAAUCGACGAUCGGCUCUGUUAGAGUUGAUCUAGAGUAUUUGAAGUACAUAGAAAAUAAAUUUUGUGAUUUUUUGAUAUCAUUUGCUUAGUGAUCGAAGGGGCUCAAAAUCAAUUAUUUUAAUAGUCGUGGUGAGCUGGUUGCAAGUUUAAUGGUGUAGAAAUAUCCAAAUCAUAUGAAAUUUUGAUAGAAAAUUCUUUAUACCAUAUAAAAUAAUAUCAAUAACUUUAAUCUAAAAUUUUAAUGUCAUAUCAUCAUAUUUUGUAAGAUUUUGUAUUCUUCAGACGUUGAUUCUGAGGUUUCACCUUGAUCAAGCUAGGCAAUAAUAUCGAAAAUGCUACAAUAUUUCGUAGAUGCUUUCAAAUCUCUAGAUCAAGUCUAACGGAUGGCCCGAUCGAGAUUCGAUAGUCCAACACCUCGAAAACAAUGACGCGGGAGCCUCCGUCUUCCUACACCAGCAAUCCUAACCACUAUAUAUAUAUUUAUAUAUAUAUAUAUAAUAUUAUAUAAUAAGUAUACUAGCGAUGAGAGAGAGAGAGAGAGAGAGAGAGAGUAGGCUACUGUGAGGCUAUUAGAGGCAACAGCAGUUCUUGUGCUCCUAAGUUCUUACCCGCCCAUCAAUUCUUGCCUGGAUGGGUUAGGGUAAUGAGAGAGAGAGAAAUUGAGAGAAAUUCAAGAUAAGAAAAAUUGCAAAAACUCAAAUUUCUCUCCAAUUACUUUUUCUUUUUUUUUCACCCUAACCACCCAUCAAAUUUGAUGAGCGGUUAAGAACUUAGGAGCACAAGGACUGCUGUGCUCCUAAUAGGACAGUAGCCCUACUCUCUCUCUCUCUCUCUCUCUCUCUCUCUCUCUCUCUAUAUAUAUAUAUAUAUAUAUAUAUAUAUAUAUAUAUAUAUAUAUAAGAACUAGGCUAAAAUACUAUCAAUAGCAUCAAUCAUCAAUCUAUUGGUGCUAUUAGGUUUACGCUUGGAAUAGUCUUCAUUUAGAAUUGUGGAGCAAACACCAUUUCACCUACCACCACCUAUUACCAUCAUCUCAACCCUACAUCUCUCCAUCUAAGGGCUAAAAAUUCAAAAACACCAAUCCCUUAGUGCUUUUGAGAGUAUUCUAGCUCAACUAUAUAUAUAUAUAUGGCUCCGGCUACUAUACUAUUAUGAGUACGAUCGCUGUCGUACUCAUAAAUUGUUUUCAAUGAUAGAGCUUUCGAAUCGACGAUCCAUACCGUUAAACGUUAUUUACAGCAUUUAAAACUUAUAGAAAUCAAAUUUUAUAAUUUUCCGACAUCAUUUACCUUACGAUCAAGAGGUCACAAAUUUGACAAUUUUUACUGGCCGGUAUGGGAUACUUGCUAGUUUAAUAGUGUAAAAGAAUCGGAAUUUGUUGAAUUUUUAAUAGAAAAUUCUAUUCACUAGCUAGAUAAAGAUCAAUAACUCGGAUCUUGAAUUGAAGGAUCCGAUCAUCCUUUUUUAGAACGUCGUUCGAUUUUGACCGUUCAUUUUAUGCCUGCUUGAUGGACUUUAUUAUGAUUUCGAAAAUUUGCGAAAUUUAUUUUCUAGAAGUUUGAAAUACUCUAGAUCAUAUUUAACGGAGUGGAUCGACGAUUCGGAAACUCCAUCAUCGAAAACAACUUAUGAGUACGAGAGCUCCAAUACUCAUAAUAGUAUAGUAGCCACGGCCAUAUAUAUAUAUAUAUAUAUAUAUAGAGAGAGAGAGAGAGAGAGAGAGUCCUGAGCUAGAAUAUCACCUAUCGAUAGUAACACCGGGUUUUACUACCGAUUUGUUUUCGAUGAUAGAGCUUCCAAAUUGACGAUCGCUCGUUAAAUAUGACUAAACCAUUUAAACUACCUAGAAAUCAAUUUCACGCAUUUUCGUAUUAUUCUUUUGUCCAUCAGUGACACAGAAAAUGAUGGCUAAAAUGAAUACUCUUUAAAAAAUGAUGAUAGGAGUCUUGUAAUCAAGAUCAAGAGUAUAGAUCUUGUUUUAAUAGUUUACAGAAUUUUCUAACAAAAUUCAAUUGAUUUGGAUAUCUUUACGCCGUUAACGAGAAAACGCCUCUUAUCGACCAUUAAAAUUACAAAUUUGAAACCUUUGAUCAUUAGGCAAAUGAUGUCGAAAAGAUUUAAUUUGAUUUCUAAACACUUCAAGUGGUAUAGAUCUUGUUAACGGAGCCGAUCGUCAAUUUGAAAGCUCUAUCAUCGAAAACAAAUAGGUAGUAAAACGGCUCGUUUAUAUCGAUAGUAUAUCUAGCAAACUAUAUACUAUAUAUAUAUAUAAUAUAUAUAUAUAUAUAUUAUAUAUAUAUAUAUAUAUAUAUAAUAAUAUGAGUAAGGCUACUAUGUUUUUGGAACCACGGAGCCUUCCGUGCUUUCAGAUCGUUUUUGAUGUUGCGAUUUUCGAAGCGUCGAUCGCUCCGUUAAACUUGAUCUAGAGUAUUUGAAAAGUACUAGAAAAUAAAUUUUAAGAUUUUUCGAUAUCAUUUGUCUAGUGAUCGAGGGGGCUCAAAAUCAAUUAAUUUUUAUGACGUAGUGAGCCGUUUGCAGUUUAACGGUAUAGAAAUAUUCAAAUCACGGUAAAAUUUUGAUAGAAAAUUCUCUAUACUAUAUAAAAAAGAUCAAUAUUUUUGAUCUAAAAUUUUAAUGUCAUAUUAUCGUUUUGUAAGAUUUUUAUUUUCAGCUGUUGAUUUUGAGUCCCUUCGUUCACUAGAUAUAAAUAAUCGAAAAUCGCAUUAAUUUAUUUUCUAGGUACUUCAAAUACUCUAGAUAAGUUUAACGAGCGAUCGAUGUUCGAAAGUUCGCAACAUAGAAAAUGACUCCGUGCUUCAGAACAUAGCAGCCUCGCUAUAUAUAUAUAAUAUAUAUAUAUAUAACUUAAAAAAUUAUAUAAAUAUGCGUAUAUAUGGCGCAUCGAGCUACAGAAAAUUUGCUAUUUAUCAAAUUAAACUAUACGUUAAGAACAUCAAAAAUCAUAUGAUUUGGAAACUUAACAUCACCAUUAUUGUUUCAAAAACCAUGAAAAUGAUUUCUCCUGAGUAACCCAAUCAAAGUGUCCCUCCACGUGAGGAAAAAUGAUUCAAAUAUAUAUAUAUAUAUAUAUAUAUAUAUAUAUAUUAUUACUUAUAUAUAUAGUUACUAAAGAGAGAGAGAGAGAGAGAGAGCGUCUGGUAUGCUUCUAAGUUGUUUUCAAUGUUGGAACUUUCGAAUCGACGAUCGGCUCCGUUAGACUUAAUCUACAGUAUUUGAAGUAUCUAGAAAAUAAAUUUUGCGAUUUUUCGAUAUUAUUUGCCUAGUGAUCGAAGUGGCUCAAAAUCAACGGCUGAAAAUAAAAAUCUUACAAAAUAUGAUGAUACGAUAUUAAAAUUUUAGAUCAAAGUUAUUGAUCGUGUUUUAUAUGGUAUAAAGAAUUUUCUAUCAAAAUUUCAUGUGAUUUGGAUAUUUCUACACCGUUAAACUUGCAAACGGCUGACCACGAUCAUUAAAAUUAUUGAUUUUGAGUCCCUUCGAUCACUAGACAAAUGAUAUCGAAAAAUCAUUUAUAGACUCCAAAAUCAUUUAUAGGCAAAUGAUCACUAGGCAAACGAUAUUGUUUUUGAGCUUCGGGGAUUUCAAAAUUUGCAUCCAUGUACUCCUAGAUCAUGUUUUUCUUUUUUUGGAUUGGAACUAGUAUUUUAUCUCCCUAACAAUUUAUAGACUCUACUACGAGUCUAUAUACAUACCACAAUUUUUUGGUAAAAAUAAGGCUUAAUUACAAUGUCCCCUUUGCACUUGAGGUCGCGUCUCAUUUACCUCAUGCGUUAAAAAAAAAUUUUUGAGGAAAAAUGCGUUAAAAAUUUUGUUAAUUAUUCUCCUAUAUUUUGUCACUGCUUCAAAUAAGUUUAAAAAUUUUUAAAAAUUCAAAAAUUGGGUUUAAAAACUUGACAAAAACGAGUGCUACGUUAAGUUGUUCUACACCUCAAAUAUUUCUAGAAUUUGCAACUCAAAAAACAGAUAAAAAAUUGGAUAUAACAGAUUCUUCUGUUUUCUAAUAUUAUCAAUAUAGAUAUUUUAUUGAAUAAGUUAUUUAAUUAAUAUGAUUCCGCUGUAUCAGUUAUAACUAACUUGACAUGUCAAUUUAUUUUUGUAAAGUUUUACAGCUAAAUUCAAUAACUUAUUUAAAAUUUUAUAUUUAUUUAAAAUAUAAUUGAAGCAUUUUUCAACUCCUCUUCAUCUUCUCUGUGUACUGUUACUGCUGCUUUUGGUGUAGUUGGAUGAGGGAGAAAUUAGUACACAAGUCAAAAAAAAAAAAAAAAAAAAACAUUGUUAAUAAGAUAUUCAAGGGCAAAGAAUAAUCACUCUCAGGGAAUUGAAGGAAAAAAUAUGUUGUUACUAAAUUUAACUAAAAUUUUAAACUAAAGUAAUAAAAAUAAGAUAAAGAAAAAUAUUAAAAUUUAGUAAUAAAAUUAAAUUAAAUUAAAUUAAAAAAAUUAUAAAUGAAAAUUAAAGUGUCAAGUAAAAAACAAAAAAAAAGUUGGGUUGUCAACUUCAAAAUGACCUUUCGAAGGGGAGUUCCUUGUAGACCAUUGUUCCUUCCAAAAACCAAAGUGGGGUUCUUUUAAAAAGGCAAUGUUACAUGUGUGUGUACUCCCAUCCCAAAUGUGUGUACGAUAUGCAUAUCAUCUAUUUAAUGAUCCACAAUAUGCUCUUUAGAGAGCCAGACCCUCUCGAACCGGAAUUCAGAAGAUCAUAUCGAAAGUGCUGGCGAAUAGACUUGCGGCCAUUUUACCGUCGAUUAUAUCUCCGGCCCAGUCGGCCUUUUUGAAGGGUCGUUUACUAGCUGACUCCUUCGUUACUGCAAGUGAACUCCUUAAUUGGUCUGCUAAAGCCGGUAAGGAGUGUGUCAGCAUUAAAGUCGAUUUCGAGAAAGCCUACGACAACGUGAGAUGGAACUUCCUGCAUGUUAUAAUGAGGUGGCUUGGGUUCAGCGAGAUUUGGUGGUCAUGGAUCGAACAAUGUAUCUGCAACGCCAAAAUCGCUGUAUUGGUAAACGGAACGCCGACAAAGUGGUUCAAAACUAGGAAGGGGCUGAGACAGGGAGACCCGCUUUCCCCUUACCUUUUCAUCCUGGUGGCUGAUUGUCUUGCUAGGAUCACGGAAGCAGCUAGGAAGAAUAACCUGAUUCGUGGAAUCGGGCCUUCGGCUAAUUGCCAGACAGUACUCCUUCAGUACGCAGAUGAUACUUUAUUUUUCUCGGAGCCAAAGAAGGGUGCAAUGCGGAAUCUGCUGUUCAUCUGGAAGAUUUUUGAAUGGGCCUCAGGUCUCAAGAUAAAUACGAAUAAGACGGAACUAGUUUACCUGGGACCCAACGUUAGUAGAGCUAGUAGACUCGCCGAAAUUUUGGGAUGUACAGUAGGCAAGCUACCAUUUCGGUACUUGGGGCUGCCUCUUCACACCAGAACCCUUCGGAAGGAAGAUUGGGUCCCGAUUAUCAAUCGUAUUCAGGCACGCAUAGAGGGUUGGAAGGCAAAACUCCUCUCUCACGGGGGUAGACUGAUCCUGGUCAACUCAGUACUUUCGAACCUACCGCUUUUCUACUUCAGUAUAUUCAAAGCGCCGCAAUGGGUGCUGAACCGUAUAGAAGGUUUGAGAAGAGCAUUUUUCUGGAACCUCACCUUGUGAACAAGGUGGGGAGGGCCCAUCUCUCUCUCUCUCUAAAAAUUAAAAUUAAAAUUAAAGAUUUUAAAUAUUAAAUCAGAAAAUUUUAAAUUUAAAUAUUAAAAUUUAAUAUUUAAAAUUACAAAUUUAAUAUUUAAACUAUAAACAUUAAAAAUUUAAAAUUUAAAUUAAAAAAUCUAAAUUUUAAAUUAUAAAAUAUAGAAAGUUUAAAUUUAAACUAGAAUUUAAAUUUUAAACUAUAAAUUUUAAAUUUAAAACUUUUAAUAUUCAAAAUUAAAAUUAAAGUUUAAAAUUUUAAAUUUUCAAUUUUAAAAAUUAAAUUUUAAUAAUCAAAUUUUACAAUUUAAGUUAAUAUCUCCAUUUUAAUAAUAAAAGAUAGAUAUUGAUGGCUGAUAAGGUGAAAUAUGAGUCUAAAAGUAGGUUUGUGUUAAAAAGAUUAAGGUCGAAUAUGAGUGUAAAAGUAAGUUUGUUUUUUUAUGAGAACAAGAAUGCUUUUAGGUAAGAACAUGGAUAGGGGCCAUAUUGAUCAAGAACGAAUAUGGGCUUGGUUUGCUUCGCAAUCUAAAAUUGACUAACGGUUUAAAUUUUAGGCGACUUUAGUAUUGUUCAUUUCCAAUUGUCCUAAUUUUUAGUUACUUUUUCUUCGAUUUAGACCGAAGUAAAGUUCAACCAUAUUUCAUCUCGCCAGAGGGACACAAGAAUACAUCAUCAAGAUAAGAGAGAAAAAAAACAUCGAAAAAUUAAAUUGAUAAAUGGUGUGUUUUCUUUUAUAUACAACUAAGGUAAAAAUAUAAGAACAAUGGAACCUUACUUUCGAUACCACAGGAACGGCGUGAAACGACCAGAUAGAAAAGUACAACUCAAAUAUGUUGGAUGUAUACUUAAAACAUAUCUACACUUCAUGUCCAUCAGUCCGAAGUAAGCACAACAGAACUUCAUAAGUAAACGGUGAUAACUAUACCUGGAAUAUAACUAUCUAUCUAAUAAACCGGACAAGGGAGUGGAAAACCAACCAAUCACAACGAUUAUAACGGAAUAGAGAUUAAUGUCUUAUACCAAAUAGACUCUUCGUUCGACUUCGAAAUAAUCUGUAUUGGAAUUCCUUCAACUGAAGAGAACUCCAUACAUGGCAUACUAAACUUACGAUGUAAAACGAAACUAUCAACGGUAGACAAAAAAGCAAAAAGACAAGGAACAUUACUCAACUAAGAGGGUGGAAAACGUCUCUUUUUCUAAACAACUACUUCGGUUUAGAAAUAGACUUGUUUAAAGAUUCGAUUUACUCGAAAACAGAUCGUUCUUCGAGUACAAAGUCCAUUGUGGGGAAUAGUAUUAAAAUCGACGACGCCGUCUGAAACACGACUUAAACUUCCGGUUUAUUACCUUCGUGUCUCAUUACAUUAACUUUAUUAAAGUUAGUUAGUUAAAGGGACGACGCAUGCUUUCUACACUUUAAUUUGAAUAAUUACACCCGACGACUGGACACUUUUGAAGAGACAAACUCGACAUACAAUGUAUCUGAAAAGUAAGAAGUCAAAGAAAAAAGUCGAAUAACUUGUUCUUCGUCAACUAAAUUUCUUAUCCAAACCCUGCGGUGCGGCAAGUAAUAACCUCCUAAGUCGUUUAUCAGUUGACCUCCUGUAUCUACAGUAGGGAUUGCUUCUUUACGAAAAUCAUUCACGAAGUAUAGGUUGGAUUCCGUAAAAGUCAGACAAACACGCUUCUCCUCUUCUCCCCCCGACGAUCGCCACGUAACUGAAGAAGUAAUUUAAAGGGUUUGACGAAGAGUGACGUCUUUGUCUUCGUCUUCGAACUUUAACCUCAAAACGAAAACCUUGAGACUUUGAUAAAGUCGAAGUACAAUGCUCCUUUUGAAACAUUAAAAACAAACCUCAUCUCUUCAAAGUCUUCGGACCGCUUUGUCCGUGAAAUACUAACUACAGAAUGUCAAUAUACAUGGACAUGUACUGUUUCUUUAUAAAUAAUGAAAGACUAUCUAGGAGUCACUCUUUCCUAUAGAAUUCUCCUACUUCGGAUUGUGGAAAUUAGAUGUUGUAGCUCCAUGAUAGCCCUUUAGACAACCUUUUUACGCUCAUUUACUAAGAUACAGACUGAAGUAACAGACAGUAUGUGUACUAGUGUAGGAAAUAAAGUCCAUGAACUCAAAACAGAUUAUAAGACAAUACUAAGAGAUAGUGAUAGAGGUAAAAUUCUUAUGUCCCGAAACAGUUUAUAUACACAUAUCGACUCCUUACUAGAUGAAUAUAUAUUUACGGACGUUUCAGACUUAAAAGUAAAUGGGAGCUUUCACGUCAAGGAACGUUGUUUUUAUGGGUAUAGAGUUCAAAUUCCUGCUUUUGUUAGGACUAUUUUCACCUGAAAUAAACUUUUUACAUAUAAAACUUAGUUGAUAAAUCCUUGUUUCACAUAACAAUAUGUUAUUUGGUAAAACGUAAGGACCGUCUAUUCCGUGGUUAGUAUAGGUAUCCAACCACUUUAAAUAUCCAAUAUCACCCCACGUUGACGGUAAAGUUGGUUAGUUAAUCGGGGUAAACCAAACUCGUACAGGUUCAAGUACCUAUAUAAUAAAGAGUACUUGUUUAUCAACUUUGAACUUCGAUUUGGUGUAUAUUUGUACAUUGAUCAUAAUAUGUACGACGUCACUAUUCCCUCAUCAAAUAAGACGAGCACGAAUAGCCUAUGGUCUUACGUGAUCUUGACGACGACCGUGAGGUAACUAUGUCCAUAAAAUACCAAACAACACGUCCUAAAAAAAAGUCGAUAUGGGAUUUUAAACAUAAAAACGUGACUUUACACAUAACUCCCCAAUAUGGGAGCUUAAACACUCAAACGUAACUUUACACAUAACUUCCCAUAUAUAUGGGGAGUUAUGUGUAAAGUCACGUUGGUGUUUAAAACAGCCUUCAACGGACAAAAUGACUCAGAUGACUAAAAAGAAAGAAAAAGGGAGAAAGAACUAGACCUACAUCGACAAUAGUAACAGACUUCCUCUCUCUUAUUGUAGGUAAUAAGGACAAUCACUUAAACCACUUCUAGUUAUAGAUGACUACGAAUGUAACUUACCCAUAUAGUUCUUUCACGGAGAAUUACGAAAGAGCCGUUAAGCUCGUUGUCCCUAGUAAAGCUAAGUUGACCAAUAAAGGACAUUGGAAUAUGUGUAGAAAACGUUUUUAAAACUAAAAACUAUGUAGAAUUUAGAAAAAACAUGUAAAGUCCAGGGACCACUGCUUGAAUUUACCCAGGCAGCGACACGUUUACUACUGGACCAGCGUUAACGAAGGGUCUUACCCUACCAGUAUCAAUUGAUGACAUUAUUCCACUCAAUUUAUAAAAAAAAUUCGCUCUCAAAUUUGUAAAUAAACGGCUCGAAACUGCAAGAGUCUACGGACUUAACUAUAGAGUGUUUUAAAUUUAUGGAAGAGUUCUUCCUUCUUGUACUUUCAUUCAGUCAAUUUUUUUUUUGUUAUGCUGAUCGGUCGAAAGAAAACGACUAAUUAAUUUACUAAAAAACCGUACAAAGAAUUUGAGAAAGGUAGAAACUUACACAGGUGAAACAACCAGGUCGAAGCACGUAAACCUUCUUCUUGUUCCCCACACUAUAGGUACUCCGACUUCCUCCCCCUAUUCUACCGCCGCUACCUAUAUUAUGGGCGUCGGCACGUCUUUCUAGACGUCUUCGACUGACUUUCAAGACCGUUGUCCAUUAAAAAUAAUGUAAGGGGUUAGAACUUGUGUAACUUACCUAAUGUAGUUCUAGAAUUCCAGAACUGACAACUCAAAUUCCGGCCAAGAACCACCUGGUCCAGCAACGUAAGAAAGAACAAGAAAUCUUCGAGUUUACGCAAACCUUCAUGAUUACUACGGAUAAAACUAUAGAAACCGCUGCACGGACAAUACACUGUCCCCAUCUCUAGAACCGGGUGGUACCGAAGAAAAACGCAGACUUUCACCAGCUCCUUUCGCACAAGGAGACUCACGUAAGGCUGAUAGUUACAAAUUAUCUUACCCGAACGCUCCAAUGUUCCAUGUCAAACACAAGAAAGUGAAGUAACUUCUCAGAUAAACGAAGUCGUAUUUUAGAGGGUAGAGAAUAUAUUUAAAUGACCGUGAAUUAAACCCUAAAAUUAAAGAAGUUAAAAAAGAUGUAGGUAGACUCGCAAAGAAAUAUCAACGGUGAAAAAAGACAAGAGAAAUAACCCUUGUUUUCUAUUGUGUCUCAGCUUCUAUGUAAAAAACACGUGAAAAAGAAAUUAUAAAAGUUAUUUUAGAGUCAGUUUCGUCUACAUAUCCUAGAAUAUAGGAACUUCUUUGAUUUUGUGGGAAAAACGUUUACAAAAGAGAAAGUAAUAUUCACACGAAACAGCACGUUAGAUAAUUAUUAACAGAACUUAGAUAUGGGUAUAUAAACGUCGAAGGCGGUCUAGUAGCAGAACGACGUCAUAAACAACAACCCAAAAGUAAUCGUCCACUAAAACGGUCACGUAAAGGGAAAAGGCAACCGUGAGACGAACAUUAUCUAAUAUAGACGAUUGUUAACUCUGAUAAACUGAAAGUCUUCUGCCAGUUUCACUACUUGUUCACCAAAAUCAAUCGGUCUCACCGUGACAUUUGUCUUAUUUCCAAUCCCUGUAUGGAUAGGUUAGUGCAAGACGCUCCAUUUUAGAGAGAGAAAGAGAGAGAGUACCGGUUCGAACUACAAUAUAGAAGUAAUUACGAAAGGAACUAUCAAUUUACUGACCUAAUCAAACGACUAAGUAACAUGACACAGUCAUAACGGUUAAACAGCUUCUUUACGAUAAGAACAAAGAAAUAGCAUCAAACAGACCUGAUCGAUGAUCGAUCCGGCACGUAAAAGAAAAAACCAAAAACGUAAGAUACCAAUAAAAUACUACCAAAAAAAAAAAAAAAAAAAAACUGAUCAAUGUGUAAAUAUAAAUAAUGAUAAGAGACAAACGUGAAGAAUAAAUAUUAGAAUGAGAGACUGUAGGGUUCCCCCCACUAAGACUACUCUAACCUCGUACGGCCCUUCUAAGUCAGACGAAGAAACUAAAGACGACGCCGUCAACUACAACAACGGCUACUGACUUCUACGAGAAGAUGUAUGCCUUUCAAAACCUAAAUAAUCGUCACUUCUUCUUAAGGAGGUCUCUAACCUACAAUUUAUACUUCAAUGGAUAGGAGAAGCUGAUUGAAAACGACGUAUGUCAACCUCUCCCUUCUUCUUAUAUCAUAUCAUUAAGCCACCUUUGGGUCACUUCCACGUCUCGUAAGGUAUACACUGUCCGAUAAACGGAGGUUUCUAAGCAACAAGGCAUACCAUACCAGACCGGGGGUGAUUGGAAGUGUCUGUUCCUUAAAAGUAGUAGACUCUAAACUGCGUCUCCAUUAGACAAACACUUUGCAAAACUUCCUACAAACACUUUUACAGACGUCGUAAAUAAAUGUUUAUCCCGACUAGACAAUGACUAGUUAAGCUUGUGGCAAGGUUAACAACAUCUUGAUACCAGCUCUUAAGAACAUGACACUAACCGUACAUCAAGUAAACUUUCAUCGUAAAUCAGCGUUUAAGAUAAGUACGGUAAAUUGGUUAAAAGACAGCAUGCACUGCUCAAAAGAAAAGUAUUUCCGGUAACUCUCUACGACAACUGUUACUUUACUGUUUUUUUCUCGGGUAUUGUUUCCCCUUUUUUUACGAAGAGUGUUCAUACGACUUUUGAACGCUCUUGAAGUUGCUUUUGGGAGGUCUGGAAGCCAAAUAUGCAAAUGUGCACUCCGCGAGGGGUGUGAUCAAAUAUGAAACAAGUUGUAAAUGAGUUUAAUGAGCCAGGAUAACACGCCGUCUGCACAACUAUUUGAAAGUGGCAUGACUGCUCUACAUAAAAUAAAAUUACUUAUUUAUUUUUGGCACGAAUAGUUUUAGAUCUUUUCUUACAAAGUGGGACUUCUUUAAUGUGUUGUGCUCCUUCUUUUCCCAACACGUGAUUUUGUCGCUGUAGUGUCUCAGUUUAAUGAUGAUGUUUCUUUCUGUACGUCUGUACAUGACUAACUAUCCGUUCAUGUAAUUGUCGGCUUUGUGUUUUAUAAUCCUUUUUUGUUUGGUUUUAUACUGGUUAAGUAGUUUUGUUGCUUUCGUUGGGUUUGAUCAAUUGCAUUGUUUCAUCAUGAUAUUAUGAAUUAUUGUGGUUCUAGAAGUCGGUAAAGUUUUAUACGAAAAGUGUAGAAGUUGGGACUUUAUGUCGUCUUUAUUUUUUUUUUUUUUUUUCCUUUUCUUUUCUUUUCUUUUUCUCUUUUGGCUAAUCAAUUGAUUAUUCUUGGAUAUCAUAUUCCUCAUUUUCGGAUAUUAUCCAGAAUCGUUUAAACUUUAGUCAUUUUAUUAAAGUAUUUUAAACUUAUAAAACUAAAGCGACGUUCUCUCUCUAUCUACGUGUCUUUUGUUUCGUCAAUGGAACGACCGCUACAACAACCUCUCGGUCAGUUCGGGGAGUAUGUUGGGGAGUGGUCUACAUCGUGUGCACGAGACUUACAUGGACGUUAGUGGGGGUGUUUUGUUUAAGUAUUACUCCUAAGUUUGUUAUUAUUUUCGAAAAGAAAUUUUUUUACUCCCCCGGUCUAAAGUUGUUGACUUUCUCUAAUGACACCAUUAACAAUAGACAACUAUCUAAACCUGGUACUAAACUUAAAUAUAGUGAAUUCUUAAACUUCUUCAGAACUACUUCCCCGUCGUUAGAGUAGUAACGGUUUAUAUAUAACGUAAUAAAAGCAAUUUAUACCUGGGAACAUUUUAAUGGAAUUAAAAGUAUAUACGGGAAUUUUAAGAAAUAAAGAAUACACGAAUUAAGGACGUUUUUACUGGAGAAUUCUGUGAGAAACAUUAUACUUUGGUUGAAGUGGGUACUUCGCCUACUGUGGGGUUCCCCUUGUAUACUCUUUUAGGUAUGUAAUACCCCAAUUUAUACAAAUAUCUACUAGACACCCCCGUAUGUACAUUUUCGGGAAUUUUAAAUUCCUAAGAAGAAGAUACCUGCAUGUGUAGUCUUGUUUGUUUUAAUGUUAUUUUUUUUUUUUUUAAUAUGUCGAACUAAUUCUUGCUCACCAUAUACUACGUAUCUAAUGUCGUAUGGUCACGGAGACUGCAUCCCUCACUUCCGGUUCGAAUAGCCACUAGAGUCGUCGUAAGUAUCGUAAUCCCUCUAGAACGAACAAGCGUUUCUGCUCGUUGUGCCGUAGCGCGUUGAGUAGGACAGCGGUAAUGUUUCUUCUAGUAUUCUAAAAAAAUUUUUUUUUCUUUAUAUUGAUCAAUCAUGAUGAAAACACCUUAAAUAUAAAGAAAAAUGUUCUGUCUUCUUUCAUAAGAAAGGUAAUAUGUAAAAACAUUCAUAGCUUUCAAGCAUUAUAUAAGGAUACGUUAUAUUUUGUUCCCCGUAACAUUAUAUACUCCUUAUCAGUUUCAAACAGUUCCCUCUCCUACUCAGCUGGAGUAACUCGUAGGACACCUCGAGUAGAGAUCGGAGCUGUUAUGCUAGGGACAGUAACGACAGCUGCUGCUUCUAUUCCGGGACGCACAAGACCUUCAUUACGGAGGUGUUACCCGCCUAGACAAAAAUUUCUUGUAUUUUAUAUUUGGUUUUAGUAGUGGAACAAUUGUUUUCCCUUAUUAUUAUUAUUUUAGGGUUGUUAGUUUUACCAUAUAGUCCUAAUUUUUUACAACGAGAGGUUUUGAUUAUCUAUUGAAUCUUUGGUUUUAAAAAAUGACGUCUUAGAAGUUGUCACGGAUUAUCUGUUUUCCUUUCGUGUUCAUCCUGGUUUUAAACCAGUCUUGUAAGUUGGUUGAGGUCGUCAUGUAGUUUAGGAAUUGAUAUUUCGUCACCAUGUUUUCUUUCUCGUAUGGAACAGGACCGGUGGUUGUAGGGUAUGCCACUUCGAUUACAAGAAUAUGAGGUGUCAAAGGUGUAACUUAGGACGUAUAAAUUCGGGUUUUUUUAAUGUUAUGUUUGGCUGUCUUCUUUAGACUUUGUUUCACGUUAUAACUAUGUAUUCUUUAUAUACCGUCUCUUUUUGUCCAUUUAUUCAGAACUAGUACAGUGUCCCUAUUUUAUUUUUGUUGUUGUUUGUCACUUAGUAAAGAUAUUUAAACUUUCAGUGUGGUUCCGAUUUAGUUAGAUUUAGAUGUCGUCAAUGGUUAAAGCGACAUAGGCGGAAAGGGAAGAGAAAUUCUGGGUCUAGGUAAACAUUAAAGUAGGUGGUGAAAGUAAAUAAAGGAAAAAGUCUUGACAAAAUAAACAGUAGAUUUCUGAGGAUGUGACUUUUCGUACACGCUGAUUAAAGAAAAAAUAAAAAACCGUCGGUAGAUAAAAGAUAGUCGAGUGUACCGUAGACAUCGUCUAUUUUGAACCAAUAAUAUUCUUUAUGUUAUGUUAGAUUCAAAUUAACAUUAAAAAAAAUGACGUUUACUCAACAUUCGUAAUUUAUAUCGUUAUUACUCUUGAAGGAUUAUUGAAUUAAAGAGUGUAAUAAAAAGAGUAUUCGUUGUGUUCCCAUUCUUCGAAAAGGGUUUUUUAGUCUAAUUAUCGUAAAGGAGCACCUGGAGGAUUUUAUUAAGUUAUCUAGGUGUGCUUGUUUUCUUUCUCGAUAGGAUUAAAGCGACGUUUUCCUGUACUUUUUCGGAUACUUCCCCUUUAUGUCAACAACGGAGGGUAGUCGUAUUUCUUAAUGUCAACAACUGUAACUGCCAGCGAUACCGUUUGGAAAAAAUUUUGUAUGGGGAUUGUUUCGUACUAAGAUGAAAGGAUCGUUACAGGCGUGUAUUGGUAUAUUAUGUCGUAUUGUACUAACGUUCGUAAUCUUGAACUAAGUAUCGUAACCUUGAACUUAGUUAAUUAUCGAGAGAUGUUUAAGGUAACGAAGGAGAGACAAGAGAACGAUAUAACUGCUACUUUGUUUACCGUUAAGCUACAAUGGUUCAUUUAUACAACGUCUAGUUUAGUUACAUCAUCGUCCGAAGUAGUAACGUAUUCCUUUUUUGAUUUUCCUAGUUUCCGAGUGGCUAGCACCCUUACCACCACUGCUAGAGAGGCUCGAACUCGAACAUCUCCUACCAGCAGAAUGGUCGGCGUAGUUCGGGUUGGUAGUUAUAGGAGUAGAGGAAGAAGCGUUUCUCCGCCGAUUUCUCGAAGCACUUCCACUCGGGGUAGAAAGGAGAGGACAUUGUUGUGUGGUGUUGUUAAGUUGAAUCUAGAGAUGUCUAGGGUCGUCUAGGUUUGGGAUUACGUUGUUUGAUUGCGGUUUUUGUAUAGUUUGGGGGGUUUAGAUGUUCUAGAUUGUCCUUACCCUUCGGCUUUGGUUCUAAAUGUUGUAGUUUAAGUUUAUGACGUAAGCUAGUUUAUCUUUUCGAUAAUUAGCUAUUUUAGCUAGUUGUUAUCAUUAAUUUUAGUUGGGUAGAUUGUCGAUUCUGCCUUAUUGUCCUGAUUUUCUGGUGUUUUGGAUAUUUUUUUGGCUCUAGCUAGCUUCUGGGUACCUUAUUAUUUCCUCUUACUAGCCUUAGCUUCUAGGUUAGUUUUAUUUGUAUCUUUACCUUCUUUUUGGCUAGUUAGGUAGUCAAUGUUGCUAAAUUUUCCACUUAGCCUCUAGGCUUUGGGAUUCUUGUUGCUCUAGCUAGCGUCUAGGUUCUCUCUUAUCUCCUUUUCCUAGCAUUAGCUCCUAGCCUAGCCUUUUGUCUCCAGCUAACCUAAUGGGCCUGCUAGAGAGCGAGAGCAGCGCGCGAACCCUAGCCUCAGAGGCGAAGAAGAAGGAGCGAAGGAGGAGGGAGAGAGAGAGAGAGAGAGAGAGAGAGAGAGAAGCGCUCUUUUCCUUCCUAGCCUCUCUCUCUUGUCUCCUUUUGCUUGCCACCCACCGAAUCCGACUAAGCGGUGAGGCAAAAAUAUCACCCACACCACGCCUUUCCUCUUUUAAGGGGCAUCUUGACCAGAUAUCUGGUAAUUGAAACAUCCAGCUCUUUUCUCGGGGUUUACUGAUUUAUCAGGGACAUGACUGGGCUAAAAAACCGGAUCAGGGACUUGUAAAAAUAAAUUUGUAAAAUGAAAGAAGAAAAAAAAAAUGUUUUUUCGAAGAUGAAUAAAUGAGGAGUGAUGAUUAAUUUUAAAAAUUUAAAUAAGACUUUAAUAUUUUAUAAAAAGGACUUUAGGUUAGAUAAAUCAUUUAAGAUCUUUUUACUUCUAUAAAAUUCUUUUUAGAAUUUUGGUUGUUCUUAUAAACCUAGGAGUUGUUUUUAUAAAACUAGGUCAUUAUUUAUUUUAUAAAAAUUUUAUGACUUAUCGUAUAAUCUAUAAUAGGGAAUUUUGUUAUAUUAAUACUCACGAUCUUUUUUAUUUUAUUAAAAAUCUGUAUAUUUUAGUUAUAACUUUGUAAUAAGAUCUAUAAUUAUAAAAAAAUUUUAAAUAAAAUACAAUCUUCAAAAUUAAGAUAAGAUGUGCUUUCAAAAUUUUCUAAUAUAGUUUUAAUUUUGAGAGCAAUACAAGACCUUCUGUUAUUUUUUCAUAUCUCUUAAUUUCCUAAUUUUAUUUUUCAAGUCCUGAUGCAACAUUAUAACCUUAAAAUGUCACUGAUAAUUAAUCUAAAACGAAAUCUUAACGAGUUAUUAUUUUGUCGCCACCCCCUAAACAACGCGGAUAUUAAACCAACCCGAGUCCCUAAUGCACCACUUUGCCCACAUCCCUAUACAUAAUAAUCCGCCUUAUACUUACGCUACGAAGCGCAGUUGGAAUGCGUGUACUCUUCGCAACAUCGCGCUGGCUUGGCCUGGCCUUAGUCGUAUACGACAUAUUCAACCUGGCCCGGCCUAAACCUGGCCGUGUCACAUUAUUUAAAUUUUUAAGUUUUACUCUAUGCUCUCUAAGGUUCUCAAUUUUUAAGUUUCGUCUCGAAGAAGUUAAAUAACAUAAACUUUAUCCUAAUGUUAUUGUGUUUUCUUUUAUAUCUAAAAGAAACCACCGGCAUUCAUUUUAAAGUUAGGUGAAUUUUGAAGUCUCGAUUUUAUAUAUAUUUUAUAAUCUCUGAUUUAACGUUAUAGUCUUAUGAACCCGGUGAUAGGCAAAUAAAAUGAUAUACUUAUCGUUUAAAACCCCCCUCUUUUUCUUAAAUCCGAAACAAACCUAAACGCCCCUCUAACGCAAUGCAUGCCACCCUUUCAUGCAACCUUUUUAUAAGACAAACAAAGACAUGCAUUAUAACGUAAGGCGUAUAACGCUAAUCAGCCAAUGCGAUAUAAAAGACGCCAGGGUGGCCUCUUGCGCUUUCGUAUAGGGAUAUACGAAAAAAGUGUUGAGGUAAAAUAGAUUAUCGCAAUAUAUCCGGAGUUAUGGUUUGAUUCGGAAUAUUUAGCAUUCGUUCCAAGCAAUGUUACCUCCACCAUUCAGUAAAAGUUUUUUAUGAAGAGUGAAUAUCACUUUUUUAGUCUUUACAAUUGAAAUACAAUAUUAAGUUCUCGUACUCUUAACUUAAAAUAUAAUAGAACAACUUUUGUGGGACGUUACGUGAGAAAUUGAAAUUAAAAAAAAGGGAACAGUUUUCUUUUUUUAAAAAAGAUAUUAGGCGAUGACUGUACAUUUUGAUGACUUGAUCGUUACCUAAUCUGUCUCUUGUGUUUUGUACUAAACCCACCUUUUAUAAUAUGUUUUUUACAAGUGGUUUAGUUGUUACACUAAAUGUACUAACGCCUAGAGUAGCGUUUAGCGAUCAUUCUAGCGUUACAAAAAGAGUCUCGAACUGUGCUAGCUCGAUUCGAUUGAAUUUAAGAACAGUAAAUAUCAUCUAGUUUUGAGUUAGACCGAGUAAAUUAAGCACAGUUUAAAUGUAAUGGGUAUUUCUUGAAUAAUCCAUAGGUGGGUGUCAUAUAUGAAUUGAUUUAACUUAACACAUCAAGACUCAUAUUUGUAAUUAUAGUGUAGAACUCUAAUAAAAGAGUUGUACCGACUGCCAUUUAAAAUUAUAAGAUAUCAGAAAUCCAAUUCUCUCAAAUGUGCACAAAUCAACACGGAAUUUAAUUUUCUCGUGCUCGAGUUCGGGUUAGAGUUUAGGUUGGGUCCAAGUUCAAUAAAAUGGGACUUAGGGUAACACAGUUCACAGGAAAAAUUCACGUGCCACGUUAAAGCAGGAUAGUAUAUAAAGUUAAUAAAAGUUAGCACGACCAUGUAAACGCCAUAGAUACUCGUUAUAGUUCGAGAUUAAAACAUGUAGGUAAAUUUAAAUCUCGGUUACAAGGUAAGGUUAAUACCAUGGAAAAAAAAAGUUAAUUUAGUUUAUAAAGCUGAUUUUACACAUCCUUAAAAACUUAAUUUUUUUAAGUUUAGAAUCUCACGUUCCUCCGUUAAAUAAUCAAACUCAAAGCUUUAAAGGUUGGGGAUCUAAAAAAAAAAAAAAAGUUUUUCACCAUGUCGAGAGCUUUACUUGUAUUACUUGUCUAAAAAAACAAAAACAUAUGUUUUCUACUGGUAAUAUUUUUAAAAAUUUUAAAACUUUAAGCUUAUUUAUCGUUUAUUAUUCCUCUCCCUACUCCGUAGAGAGAGAGAGAGAGAGAGAGAGUACAUAGAAUCGAUAAAAGAACCUCAUUAGGAUAUAGAGAUGUUAUUUUAGAGAUAACAAAAGGGUUUUUUUUUUUUUUUUUUUUGUUAGAGCGGGGAGGAUAUGACAUAAUGACAUCAGAUAUUUAGUGUAGUGUUUAGAGAGAGAUUUUUUUUUUUUUAUGUUAAAGACGUUUUUAAUUUUUUUUUUAGGGGAUCGAAAAGUGACGAUGAUAAAAAUGAGCGGGGAAAAGAGGAGGUAUAGUGGGGCUGAGGCAAGAGAGAAAGAGCGAGAGAGAGGGAGAGAGAGGUAAAGCAAGAGGUAAAGCGCCUCGAGGAAGCUCCCUCUCCUCCCCCUACUCCGUCUAGGGAAUCAGAGAGACUAGGGGCAGCUAAAUAGCGAAGGGUGUCUCAAGCUAGCGCGGGGGUUAGCCAAACUAAGCUCCACUAAACGAAUUUUAAAGGCUAAAAAUCCAAAUAUCUACCUCAAGCCUUUAUUUUUUCGAUUUAAAAGUGAUGAACAUCAACGAUUAAAACACGCGAAAGAGUCUAAGGACCAAAUUUACACGUGUCCGCCUCUCAUAAAUCCUAGAUAUGUACCAAAGAUAACUCAAAAUCCCAAAAAAAAUUUUUUUAUAUUAAAAACCGAAAUUCAACCAAAUCUGAAAAAGAUCUCAACGACGGUAUAUUUCUCUGGGGUAAAUACACGAACAACAAUUCAACAUAACUAAAAGAAUGAUAUAAAAACCGAUAUCUCAACUAAAUCUCAAAUCGUCCUCAACAAAAAUACCUCCUUUUUGUUUUCUUAAAAAUGAUUUCGUCAACGAUUAAAACCUGAAAAUACGACUAAGUACCCAAAUAAACACAACACAAACUCUCUCUAAAUUUUAGAUAGGUAGCAAAGGUAACUCAAAAACAAAGGAAAGGUUAAAAAACGAAAUUUCAACUAAAUAUGAACGGAACCUCAAUAACGAUAUAUUACUUUGAAGUAAAUUCUUGAGUAAAAAUUCAAAAGAAACAAUGAAGAAUAACUAAGGAAUCACUAAAAAUACUUACACCCUCAAAACCUUCCUAAAAAAAAUGGGGGGUUGUCGUCAAUGAUGAAAACCUAAGAAUGAGAUAAACGAUCCAAAAUUUACGUAACCCAGGUUGUCCUAAAUUCUAGAUAGGUAAAAAGCGAAACCCAAACUUAACAUAAUUUCUAAAGCAGUACUUGAACCUAAACAAUAAUAUUAAAAAAAACCGUCUUUUACUAUUGAAAAACACACAAAGUAAGAAACAGGUAUAUAUUCGUUCCUGACGGAAAAAUAAAAACAGCCUUAAAACGUAAUUAACUCGGCGACAUCACCGCUUUCGAGUCUUUUAAGAAUAGAAAUCUCUCUUGAUUAUCCUCUAUAAGUAUUUUUAAACUAACUCUAAUUUAUACUUUCCUAACCUAACCUAUCUACCGAGGUCUUUAUUUCUCUAUUUUAAGUGACACUAGUACUAUCUAUUAAUUACUUGGUAGGUGUAUCUCUUUCCAGUCUAUUUGAAUAGAAAUGACAGGAAAAAAAAAUUUUUUUAAACAUAUAUUAGAAUAUUAUCCCACCACGCCUCUAAAAUGCUAGUUUAUAUGAAUUCUGCCAAGUGUAUUACAAAUCCUAUACAUGUUUAACCACUUAUAUAAUAGUACUAUUAUAAAAGUAAAUUUUUUAAAACGAGUCAAAGAUUACUAACUCCCAUCGAAGUACCAAAACCAGUCUUCAGCAUAGUAAUAUAUAUUAUCUAAAUCUACGAGACACACUGACACACAAUAGAAUGGAUAGGAACAUUAGUCCGAACCUGUUUACUGAUUACGUUUUUUCCCUUGACUUUGAUGUUAGUACGGUUUCCUAGCCUAACUAAGAGGUAGGAAACUACUUCCAUCGUCAUCGCCGCCUAGUCGAUUACCUCCUCGGGGACAAAAUUUCUUCCCUGGAACCUGAAGACGACUUCUACGGUAAGAGUAGCUGAUGCAAUUCUUCGUGCCCCUCCCCUUGACCUUACGACAAGUUUUCUUAAGCCCGGACAGCGCGACGCCAUUCUCGACGGCAGAGGCUACCCGAUUAGUAGACUCCGGUUUGAACUUCUCUCCACGGUAGUGAGUUCUCCUCCUCCUAUUCUAGUAAGUUGACGUGCGAUACAAUCCCUUGUUUACCCGAUUUUACCGACGAGCACAUUCAUUUAUAAAACAGGAAACAUGACGUUGGAAUAAAUCGUAUCACUACGGAUUACUGUCACGUAAAACGUUAUCCAGGUGUUUGAAAUUUUUACAAAAUAAUGGAUUGGAAAGUGAUACAAACUAAAUUGAUGGAGAGUUAGUUUUGAACUACCAUAAACCCUUGGAAAGAUUACUUUAUAAGACAAUAUAGUACCUUACAAGACAAUGAAGUACCCUAUAAGACAUUGAAGGAGAAGGAGAAGAAGAAGAAGCAACCAAAAUUUGCUGUUCGUAGUUCAAGAUCGUCUUGUAUUAUACUCAAAGACAAGAGUUUUCAUAGCUUUGUCAUCCAACGUUCUAACUUUAUAAAAUGAGUUAUUUUACGUUAUAUCAACUCCACUCAAGAUACGUAAAAUGGAAGAAAUAGGAACCAAAACAAAAUCGGAUACGAAAAACCAACGUCGUGUAUACAGGCAUUAAAACAGUAUUCAGAAUCAUUAUAUUUGACUUGUUCAGAGUGAAAUCGAAGAUGGGAAGAAUUAUAUAACUAAGGAGGAGGAGCCUUAGACAUGAACCAGUACUUAAGUAAGACUGCGUAUAUUUCGACACAAAUCAUGUUUUUUUAGGAGUAACAUAUUAUUUAAGGUUCAGGAGGAAACGGACGCUGAGAUAAAAUAUUUUUCCGUAUAAUACGUAUGUCAAUCGAACGUAUGAGGGCGACAAACUAUUACGAGAACUACCAAUUCAAGACAACAUAGAUAGCUACUUCAAACCUAUGAGGUAGACAUUUCUUACUUCAUGUAAAGUAUAUUUCACUGUCUAUUUAAACGUUUUCUUAUCAAUAUAUAAACUACAGAGUUAUAAAAACCCAUACACCUCUUAUAGUUAUCUGUGUUCUUGAUAUAAAGAAGUUGUACCCCAAAAUUGACUAACCUAUAGACCGUGAGCAAACCGAAGAAUUUUCGAGAUCUGUAGAGGCAAUGAACAUAUAGAAUCAAUUUCUCUUCACUGAAGAACGAAAGAGUAUACAGAGCUAGAACAUACUUCUAGAUAUGAAGAAAAGGAAGUUUGUCAACAAAAGACGUUAAAGUAAGAUACACGAAAAAAAAGUCCAAUAUCACUGUCUCCUACUCAUUUAGCGGGAUUCCGAGGAAUUGGAGAUUAGUAUCGAAAUCAAAACAGGAAGCGGAAUUUUAAAUACCUAAACUCAGGGAUCGGAAGCGAUAAACAUCGUUAAGGUAAAUAAAGGAGGUUCAACCUAUAUAGGUGUGUUAGUGGUGUAUUGAGGGCACAUUCACCGAAAACUGAAGAGUAUACCACUAAUACACCAUAAGAUAGGUCAUAUUCCUUUUUUUACCCUUGUAUUGUCUUACGAUUUCUCAUGUUUGUUUACCUUUACAACCCCUUAGUUGACUUUAUAAAAUCUCCAACCCCCGGACGCUACGUUAUAUACACUUUCUCCUGAUAAAAUAUGUUGGGACUAUUAAAGAAAAACUCUAAACAAAUUUAAAAGGUCUUAAUUUGAGUUUAUACGAAAAAAAGAAGUCAAUGGUCCCGCCUGUCUAUUGCUCUAUUUCUUGAUAACCUUGUGGGCCUAUUUCUUCGCAAACGCUUACCCCAAUGGUUAAAUGGGUCUUUUAUAGUGACAAGUUCAUGUUUUGCUUUUAGUCGUUAGAGUGCAGCGAUCGUCGAAAUCGUCGUCAAAGGGACUUUCCGGUUUGAUAUAAAAGGUGCCUUUGUUACAACUGAACGGAAUAUAGUAGAAGCUGUUAAAUUUACGGUUGGGUCCUCGGAAUAGGAUGGAUGGCGGUGGUUUGAGAUUAAAAAGAGAGAGAUCGUACGCAUAAGUCUCAAACCCCCACGUUUUAGCAACGAAGUGCUUAAGUUACUUGGUGUGUUCUGUCGAAUUACUUUGCUAGAGAGAAGGGUGACCCGAAGGACAACAACUCGUUGAGAGGUCAAUAAGAAUACUAGGACUGGGACCGUCAUUCUUGGGUCUUCGCGGAGAUCACUCACGAAAACCACCACCGGUAAGGGAAAACUUACCGAAGAGGAGACGAAGAUUCGGGGAAGUUCCCCGGCACUUCAACCUCGAGGGAAGUGAGGUUAUAAGACUCUGACUAAAAUGGUGCCUACUAGGAACCAAUCUAUUUCGUCAACUAUGAAUAGACGUUAGAGGACGAUGUUAAGUAAGCCACGUUUUGUUGUGAAAACGGAGAUACGUUUUAUGGCCAGAAAAUCUUAGGGAAUAAUUGUAUAGUGGUUGACAUUUGUCGAACCUUUUAGCCGGUACGGGUUUAUCAAGACCAAGAAGUCAAAACUGUUGGUUACUGAACCGUCUUCGAGGACUCUAAUUACAGAUGUUGGUUGCGAACCAUCCAAUAUUACUUUAUCGAAGAGGCACCUCAUUUAAAGGAUGAAAAAAUUUACUCACGUGCGGAGGAGAAACGUCGUCGGGCGAACUACUCGAAGGUGGGGGGUUGAGCGGAAAACCAUUCGUAGACAUGACGAAAUAUAUUAUUAGAGCGAAACACACAGACCGGGAUCGAAUACAACUUCGAAGAGACAAGGUUCUUCACCCUGUCAGAUCGUAGUCAGUUUACCUUCAAACCUGAAGAACAACACCAUUCUUCGACUUUACUUGAAAACUUGGGGUUUCUCGUAUUUGAGAAUUGAACUUCAAAGACGAAAACAACAGCACCCUUCAACAACGCUAAUCACAAAAAAGUUUCUCAAAACAUCUUAAUAAGAUAGAUCCGGUCUUUCAAAGACCGAAGAGGUUUUCGUCCUUCAAGAUGAAGCAUAGAAGACGACGAUCGACGUCGUGUUCCGACAAACUGUCCCAAAAAGUUACAUUUCGUUAAUCAGGAAGUCUGUCGAGAUGGAUCGUUCGUAAAGAGGACUUCGAGAAAUAAAAUCUACGCAUUGAACUUUAAGUGUAAUGAUUUUGAAGGUGUCCUAGCUUAUAAUAGAAACGAAGACCACUCGUUUAAGGUCCGGGUGCCAGUUCGCUUGUUCUUUGGGAUAGAGCGGGCCUAAAGAAUUCCGGUCUGCUUAACGAACUAAGAUUGACCAAAGUACCUUCAAGACUUUAACGUUUUCUUCUAAUACUACAGUUGCUCCAUUAUUGCCGUGAAAAUCGACUUCUGAAAACGUUGUCCGGACAAAGAUAGCUAAGUUGAAUAUAUAAGUCAUUACCCGAGCCGGAGUUACGGAAGGGCACCUUCUUGUACGGAGUCCGAACAGUUUACAAGCUUUUAGGAACUCUAGAAAAUAGCUUCCCGAUUUAACGUCCUCUGGGGAAUAUUUAUAACACUAAAAGUGUAAUGGGACGACUUUAAAUCUUUGUUGUAGAAUAGGAUAACCGUGAGUACUGCCUCCCCUGCCCCCCUUCUACUACUAUAGAACCUCAUACGUCCUAAGUUAUAAAAUCGGCCUUAAUUGCCUUUGACGCUACAAAUAACCCCUAAAGGAAGUUAAAUCGGACAUGCACUUGAAUCUAAAUAAAGCCGAAACCCACUAAUUAUCAUGAAACGAUCACAUCGGUAACGAAUACAAAGAACAAACAUUGUCAUUUUAUAAUCUACAAUAUACGAACGAAAUUCGUAAGCUGCCCAAUUAAUCCCGAUCAUUAAAUGACACUUAACAACAACUUAUUAUACUCCCUCUAAUUGCUACAAUGGGCACUAUGAAGUUAAAGUGUAUACCUCCUCAAUAAACAAAAAGGACAAUUUAUCAAAUGACGACGUACCGAAUAAAACAAAGUCGUAAGUCUCAUAAGACAUCGAAAACAACGUAAGUCCCAUAAGACAUCGAAAAUAAAGUUCACUUAUAGUAAGCCUCGUACGAUAGGCAUGUGAAAAUCUAAUGCACAAGUAGAGUGUAAGAUAAGUAGGUUUCUAAGAAUAAAAAGUGAACAAAAUAGUUGAAUAAAACAUUUGAGAUCCUACGCACCCCACAUUUUAAAUAUGGAUACGUAUUCUCAGGUCUAUCCAUCGUAAAAGGAUAGUAAAUAACAAUAAAAAAAAUAAGGUGAAAUAAUAACUAAGAUACCAAAUAAACUAAACUUAAACGUAUUGCAAAAAUAUAAUAACGUAUCAUUUAUUCAACAACCAGAGAGAGAGAGAGAGAAUUCAACGUUAUCACCUCACGGAGAGGUAGUUAGUCUUAUAUAUAUAUAUAGAAGACGAAAGCGUCAACGUGAUUAUUAGUAGGUCUAGUACAGGGUACGAUAACGUUAGAGACACUUAGUAUAGUUUCGAGGAAAACGGUUGGAAACAAAGAGGACGAUGGAGUAAAGUGGCAACGGCAGCUUAACACUUUGGACGUGUCUUUUGUCGAACCGACCUAGCAGCACCACGUCAAACUACCUUUUCUCGGGAACUGCCUGUAGUGACGCUCUUCGCGACACUUCGACCAGUCGUGACGUCAGGAAACUACAUUAGGCAGUUAUGUUGACAUUAGACCACUAGCUAUAGCUACGUCCGUCGUACCUUCUCUUCUCUAUCAACCAGAAUGUCAAGGUCAAACGUCACGCGUCGUAGCUAAGCUGUUCGCUUUCCCCUGUUAAACACGAGUUUCGAAUGUUAGAAACGGCAGCGUAAGAUCAAGGUUCCAAAGAAAACUCAAAAACCAAAGAAACUAAUCACCUUAAGUACAAAGAAGGGAAGAGAUAUAAUAAUAAUAAUAAUAAUAAUAAUAAAAGCGAACAAACAACCUUCUACAUUAGGUUUGAAAGAGAUUCUAAACUACUCUCUGUACCAAAUAGAGGUUUCUCCAGUCUAUUUCUAUACUAUCAAAUUACGGUAGUUCCACUUUCUGUACUAUCAGGUUACUUGUGUUAUUUCGGAAUAGUGACAUGCACUUUCUUAAGAAAAAUCGAUGCAAGUCAUGUUUAUAUAUUAUCUUUCAACUAGUUUCGUUAUCUGUAAAGGCGACAUUCGUCUUUGUGUAACUACUUUAAACUGUACAAAGAAAAAUCAUCCUUUGUAGUUUUAUUUCUUUUUUUCUUCAGGUUUAUUUGUUUAGAUUGGUGUCAACUUCGUAGAUCAAACUUGAUGGUAGUGAGCUGAGUCGGAGGUAUCUUCUGUUCGAACUUUCUGCGUCGCCGGCUGAUCGACGCGCCCCUCCGUUCUGCCCGUGCUAGCCUUCCGCCUUUAGAAGCGCUUAUAGGAAGUUCAGUCACGGUUCUUGUAGCGCGAGAGACUAAACUCUAUGGAGGGAGCUAGAGCUGAGCAAGAGGAGGUGCGUUCGGUUUGAGCCGCGCUGGGUUUAGUGAGGAAAACAUCUACUUAGGUGGACGCCUCCACUCACUGACCUCGGUGGAAAUAGACAUUUUGUUCUCAUUAACGUACAAGCCGGAUUGAAAACUUUGUUGAAAUGAUAAGGCUUUUUCGUUGUACUUAUCGUUAAGAUCUAAUUUCAAAAACGGUAAACGAUUUGACAAGUUCCUCUCCUAUAUCAGAUAAUCGUAAAGAUCAUAUAAAAGUUUGUCAAAAUGAGUUAUCGUGAAUACGUUUUUGACAAGUUCGAUUUUCAGGUAAGGAUAGCUCUUUUUACCAUUUAUUACCGUAUUAGUGUGAUACUAGGAUGACAGGUUCAUAAGUGUUAUUAAAGUGCAUGAAAACCAACCAGACUGUGACCCUGUUCUUCCUUUCUUCUUGUCCUCUUUUGUUACUAUUCUAUUAACAGUUAACCGUCUACUAUUUAAUGAUAAAAAGCUUUAAGGCACUGAGACUUUAUUGUUUCUAUUCUAUUAAUGUACUUUUGAGAAAUAAAAAUAUAUGAAAUCAAGCUACAUAUGUAUAUUAAUUGGUUUAAUGAGGGUUUAAGAAAGACUUGACUUAAAACUUAAAAUUUCGGACGUAUCUCGUUUCGAACACUAACACUAUUCUCUUCAUUUAGUGAGGAGUGGACGUAUCUCGUUUCGAAGAAGUUCACGACUUCGUAAACUGUCGCUGGAACGGCUGCCCGAUCUUAGUAUUUGUCCCAGACGCUGAACUGAGAGUAGCCGUACGCGGCGAAGCAAUGGACUUUAUAGCUCAUUUCUUAGCUAUUCGUUGCUAAUAAUAUUAGGUGGUAUUUACCAAUUGAUAGGUUGGUAAUGAAAAAUUUCUAAUAAUAGUGGACCAACAAACUCUAAUAAUAGAAGUCAGUGAUGGCGGAAGAGCAGUAGGCUUUAACUGCUUUAACUGCGGCUAAGAAGUCAAUAAAGGAGGAGGUAUCGAAAGCUUAAUAGAGGCGGCGAAGGACGACUGAACUAGAGUCGGAAAUAGACAAGCAGCACGUAACUGAGCGGUAGCAGCCUGCUAAGCGAGAGAUGAAAUCCUCGAAGUAACAGCACCGAGCAUCGCUCAAGUGAGACAACCGAUAAGUGAAGUAGGAGUUGUUAGAGGAACAGCGUAAGAACUAGUAAAGGGCUGCUUUGGCACAGCCUCAUGAGAACCGGAAGCGAGUCGAACCUAAGCGAGAAGAGCGACUUAAGAGAGAGAUUUAGUCGCUUUAACCAGAGGAGCCACAAGAGAAAGAGCCGUUGCUUUAUUCCAGACUUAGAGCUUCCGGAAUUCAGAACAAAGUUCAGGGGCUCUUUACUGAGCGGAUAACACUUCGAGAGUACGGAAGAUAUAUUGUUUAGGGAGCCGCCUUCACCUUGUUUUGGGACUACCCAUCUUAACAAUAACAAUGACAACAACAACAAUAAUAAUAAUAGUAGUAGAAAGGGACGUCCCAAUAAUGAGAGUAGACGAACAAGUAUUCCUUCUAGUUUUCCUAAAGACGAACCAUUCUCCUGGCUUCCUCGGCUUGGGCCUUAACACAGUAGACUUAGCUUUCCUUCUAGUUUUCCCAAAGAAGAGCCUCGCUUUUGGACUCCUUAAACCUGAACUUUAAAACUAUUAAGGAGAUACCAUCCGUUUCUAAGUAAUGGUAGGUUUAGUUAGUUUAAGAAAAGGUAAAGGCUAGAGUGCUUGAAGGAACGGGAGGAGGACCGUUAAUUUAAAAGGUUAGAGACUAAGGAGAGCUAGAGUCUUCUGGGCUGCGAGUACUCUAAGAAAACUAGUAGGCGGCAGGUAAGGUGCUGAAAUCGUACUAGUAGUAGGAAGAGAAGAACACGAGGAAGGAGAAGAAGAAGCAGGAGCAGAAGGAGUAGUAGCAGAAGAACUAAAAGUCAAAGAAGGAGCUACGAUAAUGGCAGAAGGCUAAGCGCUAGUACUCUGCUAACACAACUGCGGCGUAGUCUCGGCAGGAAGCUACGACGACUGCCGACUCCUCGGAGUCUUAGGUUGUCUCCCACCUCGAGCAGUUCGUAGCCCUACUAGAGUCUCCGCAGCCUACUCCUAUAGAGGCUGACUAGUCCGAGUGUUAGUCUUCGUCGAAGCGCUACUAGUUGUACUAGUUAGAGAUGGAGAUGGAAUCCGAAAGGUGAAAAGAAAACUAGGAGGGGUUAGAGUGAACCAUAUAAAAGCAAGAAAGCUCUUUUUGGCACUAGUAGAAAGAGAGAUUGGCUAAAAAAGAGCGAUGCCGAGCGUUGAUUUCGAGGAAGUACUACGAAAGAGUGUUCUCUUCGUAGGAAACGAAGUGGUAAAUGUUCGGAAAAUGGGAGGAGAAAUCAAAGUCCGUGUAAACCAAGUGGUAUUGAAUUCUCCUCAGGCUCUUCUUGGCGCCACGUAUCUUAACAUCCUUUACUUCGGUUGUCUUCUCGCUUUUAGCUUCCUUUUAUGGACAUAUAAUACUCCUCUUUUGUGUGUUAUGUUUCUUACUUUCCUACUAGGGCUUGUGUAGGCGCUGAUCGGGAAGCGUAUACUUAACCUUAAAAGAACUACAUAGGGUGAUAAAGGAAGCUUGGCUAGCGGUAACGGCAGAUAAUUCGACAGGUUAGAUGUAAUGUAUUGGACUCUAUAACCUUUGUUUUCUUCCUUAUUACUCUGAUUAAGAUGUAUUAUAUAUAUGUGUAAUGUGAUAAGUUAAGCAACACGCUUUUAUUGCUUUUAUUCCAAACGAAGUUCAUUAUGAUUCAAGUACAACUUAUCGACAUCUUUUUAUUAAGUACUCCUAGGUUCACUUGAUAAUAAUCCUUGGUGAUAAAGUGAUAUAUAACCUUGUUUGUAGAAAUCCUAGGUUGCCCUACUUGGUUUACAUCUUGUGUUUGAAUGUAAGCAUUGUAUUUAUAUUUUUGUGUUUGUUAUGAAGCUAUAUUCGCAUCAAAAUAAUAAGACUAAAUCGAGCAAUGUUAACGUUGUAUGUUGGAGUGUUUUACUUUCGUGAAUCUUGAUUAUUAAUGGACUAUAUAAUAGCUGUAAUCAAUUUAUUUUCAGCUUUAUUUUGUAAUGUAUACCUAAUGUUUAAACAUGUUUUAAAAAAAUUUUUUUCGAAAUGCCUAAAAUUUAGACAUGGAGUCUUAGCACGUAACUUUUACUAUAACUAUCAACACUCUCUUCUUUAAUUUACAUAGUAUAACGCUGAGAAAACUUAGCUUAAAAUUAGGAGUUUGAUUAUUCUUUAUAUAUUAUAACUAAUUUAUUCUUCUAAGUAUAUGGUUUUUAAUCCUCUUCCACAAAGUUUCGGUUCUUUUAAACUCUUUUCGCUUACUUCCUUUCCUUAUUAAUGGGUAGUAGGAGAAGUAGUAGUAAAAUGUGGUUUUUUUUUUUUUUCUUAAAAGUGUAGUAGUAUAAAUAAUCUUUAUUUAAAAAAAAAAAAAUUUUUCUUCGCUCUCUUCUCCUAUACUAAUGGGUUUCGUAGGUGACCUUAAAAUAACCUUACCUAGUAUUCGUAUAUAGUCUAAUUUUAUUAUUAUUUUCUUUUAAGACUCUAGAGGAGGAUUGGAGAGAAAGAGAGAGAGAGAAAGAGAGAGUCUUUGUUUUUACUCGUGCUUAAUACCCCGCCUUGGUGCCGAUCUAAACCCGGGUGGUCCGUCGGUGCACAGUAGUGCAGUGUCCGACCCUAACAAUACGCACCGGUAAAACGUUUGUUCCAGGAGGAGAGAAAGAUUAAACGUUGCGUACCAGAGCUAAAACCUAAAAAAAAAAAGAAAAGACCUUAAACUCGGGCUUAAAGACGACUUUCCACUAAAAAAAAAAAAAAAAAAACCCCCAAUUCUUUUGGAAAGAGUUUUGACGUUUUUGUCUUUUCUUUUUACUAGGAUAUAACGCUUUAAUUUUAUUAUCACAUAAAGAGAAGAGUAACCGUAAAUUAAUAAGAUUAAAAACAAAAGAAAAAAAGAAAACUUAAAUUAUCAAAGAGCUGUAUAAAACAAGUUUACUUCCUAUUAUUAUACUUACUUUAAAGUAUAUCCUUUGAACAAUGACCCAAACAAAGAAAUUUGUAAUGUCGACUAGUGAAGCAACGUAAUAAUCUUUUUCGUGGUUUACUAGUUAAUUUGUAUAGCUGUAAUUAGGUCGCAAAAGUAAUUUUAUUUUGUAAGUCUAUCUUCCUUUUUUUCUUCUUCUCUCAAGACUAGGAGCGAUUUGUCACAAAUCUAUAUUAAAACAUAGAGGUUAAUUGGUUAUUUAUGGUGAAUACUUGUGUUUUAAAAUAGCCCGAUUUUCUUUGAUCGUGAGAUUUCAAUGUUUCAUUACAAACCGGUGGUCUUAUAACAAGUACAUGUCGAAGUCGUCGUCGUAGGAGAAGAGACAACUAGUAAAGAAGGUUAUUCUUCGGGACUUUAGACUUUGUGAGCCUACAAAAGCCUAGAAUUUCGCUAAUACAUAUGAAAGGUUAGAGGUAGAAGAAGAACUAGCGGGCGACAGGUACCAUAUAUUUGCGUAGCUAUUAAGGUCUUUGACACUUCUGUGGACCUGUAACAAGUAUUCAUUGGUUUUUAAGCCCAAUUAUUGAAAUACUCGUUAGCAUUCAUAAGCCAUUUUGACAUGAUUAGGUAUUUAGUCCAGCUUGGAGGUUGUUACCGUGUGUUCAAUCAGUCUAUCACUUCUUUCCUAGCCAAAAGAAGGCACUUCUAGUGGACGUUGUAUCCAAGGUCAUUUGGAAACAGGUCUAUAAAAUUUUUUAUCUUUGCGUUUAUUUACUCCAACCCUAGUGUCACAUAACCCUAAUAAGUGCGUGCGUCUGAUUAAUCGACGUUAUAUUGUCGUGGUUAGGUUCGUGGGGGCGCGCGCGUUUUUGUUGUGUGUGUGUGUGUGUGUUUUAUUUUCUUUUUCUUUUUUUUUUUUGGAUUCCUAUUAAGAAAACGUAAUAUCUACAAUUUAUAUUUUAUAAAAAGAUGAGUAUAGAUCGCUAAGAAGUGAAGAUCAGAGAUGGUCUGUGUAGUGUAUUGUGGUAUUCUCUUCAUCUACCCUGAAUUUUAAUAGUAUAACUCUUGUCUAUUUGGUUUGAUCGACACGUAGUUCAGUCAUUUUAUAGUUCUUUAAGUAAGGUGGAGAUUGUUUAUAUAUCCGCAUGCAAUCUCCCCGACUAAAUUUUCUCAUUAAGACUUCUAAACUAUACCCACUAAGAGUAUAAUCAGUAUUAUGGAAGCUGUUAAAUCCUGUGAUACGGUUAACUUUUCUAAACUUCUCGCCAUAAUUGUAAUUCCUAUAAAAAUAAGUGGAAUUAACCACUCUUCAGUAUUUUCUUCUUAUGCGGUCCUUGCCCGAAUCCUAUUUGUAAAGGUAGAGACUUCACGAGACAGUGACUCUUGACACCCAACUUUUUUUUAUCUCCUUUCUUUCUUUCCUUUUACUCCGUAGUAUUACACAUGUUUUCCAUUCUAUAUAUUGUCCGUGGUUUCUCUCUCUCUCUCUCUCUCUCUCUCUCUCUCUCUCUCUCUCUCUCUCUGAUUGAAAUGGACCAACCUCACCUAAAACACGGGGGAAUACAGUCACAUUUAACACCCCUGUUGGACUCUUUCAUUUCUUCUAGGAAGUUCUACGUGAGCGUACAUUAUAGUCUCGUAUUUGUCGGAUGGUCAGGCUAGUAUAUUCUACGUUAUAGGUCUAUUGUACUAUAGCUGGUUCGUACCUCUUUUCUCGUAAUAGCAGGGGUCGGAAAAUGUUCUAAAUUGUAAAAGUUAACAAUGAUAAAGCAAGUAUUUUAAACAGGAAAAAAGAAAAAGAAAAAAAAAAAGUGUUGGUACGGGAAAUCCCAUUUUGUAUAUAAGUAGGGGUUUUUACCUAACUUUUGUAGCAGUAUUAACGGUACAUAUACGAGUGCAUCGACGGUAAAAAGAUGUACCGUUAAUACUUGUAAAGUAGGAAAAAGUUACAUUACUUUUACAUGUUAUCUACGUUUCCAACUCCUAGUUAGACAUCGGCACGAUUUUAUAACUCCUGGCGGUUACCUUAGAUGGGUCUUAUUUUCCUGAUCGUAUUGUCAUUCCGGUUGUUAAUGAGUGGAACUAUUUCAUGACUAUACGGGGUCUACUACGAACGACACAGGUCACGCGUGACUAUACAAGUAACUUGACUAAUCUUAAUACUUAUUUUCUUUGUUUUUUUUUCCUUGACAUCUAAGGUUGAAUGGGUAGUUCUCCUAAAUGUCGUGGACCCUUGAGGAAAGGCUUCCUGUCGAACAAAUAAAACACUCAUUAGACCAUAAAAAGUUUAUUUUCUCAGUAAAAUAUAGAAGUUAAAUAGGUUGUUCAGUUUACUCAAGUACUUACGUUGAGUGUAACAUUAAAAGACGAACUUUCCGGUUGUUUAGUACGUGUACCUGUAAACUAACUACCUUCGAAAAAGGUCGCCGUUUUACCUUUAAAGGUCGAUGAAAUGGUUGUAGGUUCUUGGGUACCUACAACGUAGGAAGGGGAACAAGGAGAAAUUAGAAAAGUUAAUUCGGGAGGGAGCACGUGAUUGUAUUUUGUUUCUGGUGUUCUAGUUUUAGUUUGUUUUCCCUCUAAAAGAUUACAAAAUACCUGCUUGUUUAAUAUUUUCCCCCGCCAGUCGUACUCUAACUCUAACCCAUCCCAAAAACAUUCAUGUUAUGAUUUCACGUAUUAUCUUAUUUAAGUCUCCCCAAUAGACGUUAAUCGCAUUUAUAUAUAUAUCUAGUUAUUUUCGAAGGUCUCUUUGUUAAUAUUUAAUGAUACCGGUUUGAACUAUUAAAUAUCGUUAGUUUUCGAAUUUAACAGGUUAUAACUAUCAAUAUGGACCAGCUAAUUAAGACCUAAACUGUUUGGGGUAGGAAAUAAAGAUAUACGAAGUGCUUGAAGAAGUGUACUUAAUGUCGUAACUAGUAGGUUGACGUAAAUCUUUUUGUUAAUAAAAACUCAAAUGUCUUUUAGUUUGUCGGUUGCCGGUUCGUGUUUUCUUUGAUAAUUUUUUUUUGAUUUGUGUCCUUUUUGUGUCACUUAUUGAUCCAUAGUACUAAAGGAUAAACGGUGGGACUUUAUAACUUAGAUUGUGUCGUUGAGGAGUUUGGUAUAUAAAAGUAUGAAAACGGAACAAGGUCGUCACAACGAAGUGGUUAUAUUUAGUGAAACGAUUAUACGGUCGUUCCAUUUUUGAUUUUUGUCCAAAAUUAUAAAGUUCCCCCGUUAUAAUUAUCCUCCCAUAGUAUACCAAUUCGGUUUUUCCUUGUUAAUUCGUGGAUUUCUCUGCCGUAAUUAUAAAUUUUUUUUUUUUGUUGACGUUGGUAUAAAGGUAUGGCAAAGUCGUGGUAUCGUCCUUGGUGUCAUGCAGAGCAAUACGAGUUCGGAGGGGGGUACAGAGACAUCUCCGGAGAGUUAGAUGUAUUCUUUUUUUCCCAUUCUUUAAUAUUAAAAUUUGUUCCUUAAAGUUGGAGAAUUACAGUAUCAAUGGUUCUUUAAUCUUUAUCACCGACUAUAAAACGAAUUUAAAAAAAAAGACCGUGAGACGUCCAAAAAUAACGGGUUCAGUAAUCCGUUAAUUGUAUUCGAGGAUAUUCCACGGAUUCGCAAAGUUCCUCUCGUUUUGAAAAGUCUUCGAUAUGUUUUUCCGGUUUAAGUUUGUAACUACGGAUGUAAGUAUAUUGGACGUAUCACCGGUUUUUGUCCCUUUUUUUUUUCUCCUCCUUAAGAGUUCAUAUCUAAUGUACGAAUGUACGAUUAGUAUUCAUGUUUUCAAUGAUUGGAAACCCCGUGGUUGUGGUGGAACAGAACUGGGUUAUUGUAAAGGUUCUACCAGGUUGGAAAAGAAAUCUUACAGUACGGAGAUGUUCACCUGUCUAUAUUAUGUACAUCAUAUAAGAAACUUCAACGCCGAUAUAUUUAGAUGUCGUGAUAUAUUAGUUAAUUUCUGUUGUUUUCUCUUCCCACACUUGUAUGAUACAGGGUCACAACGAGGGGCGAUUAUAGGUAACAUAGUUGUGAGUUUUCACUCGUUCGUUAUCGACCUUUUCAUUAUAGUUUGACGCCCUCUUGUUUUUCAGUAGUUAUGAGCACCGUUUUUCUUACUUGUAAACUAUACACGACUUUUUAAAAGUAGUAUUCGGAGAUAUACUUACAGAGACUAUAUUUCCAUACAGGUCAUUUAUAUAUAUCUUAUCAACGUUAAAGUUGGAUUUACAUCGUGAGUGUUCCGUUCACUUUGAUAUUGUUUGGAUAAUCAUAGUAGAUGAGUAGUAUUCUCAUCAAUAUUAAGCAAUAAUUUUAAUCGUCCACUUUUCGUACUAUAGUUCCUGAAGAUGUAUAAGAAUGCUCAAACUUUGCCUCUAUCUUUUCAAUUCUGUUAGGUUUACAUGAAGUUAUUAAUUAGUCGGGAUUUUGGUUCGGUCGUUAAAGUUAAAAUUGACUAUCUUUCUUUCACUUCAUGAUUGUAACUGUGCAUCAGAAAGCGGAGCACUACACAGUUGGUGGUUGAAUCAGAGUCAACGACUCAUUUUUUUAUCAGGACCUUUUUUUCCUACUUUAACUCUUUACUACUAAUCUAAGUGUGAUAUGUUCGUACAUCCUAUGUAGGUCCUUCCGCUGUUCUUGUGUUCAUACGUAACUAUACAUCCAUACGUUCUUCCAUACGUUCUGAGUGGUCAAAGGUUCAUACCGGAUUAUAAAUUAAUUCUCUGUGUUUCUCCUUAGGGUUUUACAGUCUAGUUCGAAUAUAGUAUAAGUAGUUGGUAAUCUAUACUAGUGUCAUGAAGUGAUAGACCCUAAUAUGGUAUAUUACGGCGAGUACGUUUUGAUAAAAGGGAUUAACGUUAUUUUGUGUUCGUGUGGUUUACGGAAGAUGUACUGGUGAUUUAGGCUAAUAUUUUAUUCAACUAUUUAGUUGUUUUUGUUAAGUUUUAGGUUAAAAAUUAUCUUGGGUGUUUCGUGGUUUUGGUUUUAGAAGCUUUUUAGGAUGAUAUGUGUUGAGUUAGUUGGUAUGCUUCCUCGUUAUGUGAUGUAUUACUCUACUUUUUUCCUCCUUUUUUCAAUUUAGGGUUUGGUUUUUCGCAGAGUGAGCAGAGCUACCACUUCUCCUUUGUCAUUUAGUUGUUUUUAGGUUAAAAAUUCUGUUGGUUGUUGGGUUACCGGAGUUUUGGAGGCCCUUUAAGAUGAUGUCUCGCAGGUUACUUGGUAGGUUUCGUCGUUUGUGCGUUGUAUCGCUCUAGUCUUCUCCGCUCCUUCGCAGAGUGAGCAGAGUCUCUACUUCUCCUUCUCGUACUGCUCUCGCCUCUGCUAUCACUGCUACGGGGGCCUCUCGCACGCCGACAUCUUCAGGAGCAACUAGAAGCCCAUGCGCAGCUCCAAGAAUUCGAACAACUCCUAGAGGUAGAGGUUUGUGAUUAGGUUAGGUUAGCCCCUUUGUUUGGGAUCGGCUUCGUUAGUUUGGGAUCGUGGCGGGAGAGAGAGAGAGAGAGGGGUUUCUCCUUUAGAUCCCAAAGGCCCCGCCUUUGUCACGAGGCUAGAGUCGCGCCGCCUCAGCGUCUCCUCCGCUGCGCAGCUGUGCGUUGCUCUCUCAGGAAACCGGGAAACUGGUGGCAGCAUACUAUAAUUAAUUAAUAAAGAUAUUAUUACUAAUUUUAUAUUCCGUUUACGAUGUAACGAUACGAAUGUAUGUUACAUAGGCUAUUACGUCGCCUACUCGUUAUAACGCAUUUUAACGCAUGCACCGUCUAUUAGUCACCUAGCCAUAACAUAUGAAACAGGUGCAGCCUAAGGUGGCUUCGUAGCCGAACUCCAGUCCAUGUAAUACUGCAUGGGUAUCAUAAUCAGAAGCAUAACUAACUCGCACAUCGCGCCCCUCUAAAUGACGACGGGAAAACAUCCGACGAUUACCGUAAAAGGGGAAAAAAUUGGAAAAAAAAAAAGGGAGAGUAAGUGGAAAAAAAAAAAAUUAAAUAAUAGUAAAACAAAUAAAUAAAUAAAACUUCUUCGUGAGUCUUAUUAUUAGAGCAAAAGCCUACAGAACCUAUAGUAAUUUUGUUAAACUUGGUAGAAUUUUAGUGCCAUAAUAACGUGAUCUUAGAAUUUAAAAUUCAUAAUCCCCUAAAAAUAAAAAACCCAAUGAAACCUACGUGAAAAACCUAUAAAAUAACCCCUAUUAAAACCCCAUUUGACCUAUUACUAGAUCUUUUCAACGUUUCGAGUUGAACACUCUUGUCUUAGUUUAUUAUGAUAGGAUAUUUUGAUAAAGUGUUUAUUAGGUUUACCUCGCAUCAUUAACCUAAUGUACUCGAGUGAUAAAGGAAAAAACCUUUGAGAAAUGUAUAUUGAACCUCCUAAAAUGUGCGCGUUAAUUAACGUCGUAUACGCAGCCUGGUAAAUCAUGCUUUUACCACGAUACCUAUAUAUCUUUAUGUAUUAAUUUUUUCUUUUUCUAUAUAAAAUGUCAUUGAUCAUAAAAUUUUACGGUAAAUGUUCGUUCGUUUAUCUUCCCGUUUUUCGUAAAAUGAGAUAGUUUUAUUAUUACUGAACAGAAUAAAUGAAUCGUAGUGUCACGUACAGAGGUAAGUGGUGAUUACCUCUUUAAUUUGGACGUCCAAAUUAUUUUAUAAUUACUUUAAAUUUGGACGCUCUUUAAGAGUAGACGAACCUCUUUCUGUUGAUAAAGAAAGGAGAAACUCUAUUAGUAAAUAUGAGACAAACCUACCUCUCUUAUUUUCCUUUUUUUUUUAUUUCUUUUUUUUCUCUCUCUUUGCAAAAAUGGACACUUUUCUCCCUUUCUUUUUCUUUUUCUUUGAUUUUUAUGUGAUGAUGGUAUAUUUCAAAAUGUAUAAAUCUUGCCUUUUCUCUUUAGGUAUGUACUAUGUGUUCGGUGUUUAAAACGAUUUGAUACUUUCAAACCUAGUGGAUGUACCUUGACUUUCUUUGUUUUUUUGUGUUUACUUUUCGAUGUUGUCCUUAAUGUACUUUGGAUUUCGUGUUGUACGGGGCUUAAAACAGCUUUUCGGGAUUACCAAAAGUGGUUAAAUUGAUGUUCAGUGGUAUAUUAAAUUCCUUAUGGACGUACCAAGCCUGUAAGAUGUCAGGAUUUCAAUCCUAGAUAAUCGCUUUAAAAUCAAACUAAGAGUUGUAAAGUUCAAAACGUUAAACGUAGGGAAUAGAAGCUCAAGAAAACGUUAGAAUCAUGAGGAUAUUUAAACGAACAAUAUUACUUACCUUUAAAAGGUCAAUUGACGGUGUAUUAGUGGUGAACCUACCUCAAUGUACCACAAAUACCUCUAUGAUGGUGGGUAAAAUUGUUUCUAUAAAUUUCCUGAUUCUGACUAUAUCUUUUGUUUUAAAGCCCUGGGUUAACAUUAUGAACUUUCGAGCUCAUGUUGUUCACGUUAGAUGGUUAUUGAACUAUAGGUCACAACGUUUACUAAUACGCGGUAGAGUGACAAGAACAGUGGUAUGUUUAGUGUUGGGGCAGCAAAGUCCUUCCGUUUCAUUAGACCAUCUCUUUUUUUUAGGUUUUAAUCAUUCUGUUAAUAUUAAUUUGACAGUUCAUACGUAGAGAACAGCAAUAAUUGUGAGUUUUUUCGCUCUGUGUAUUUCGCGAACUAUAGGAUGCGUGUUUUUAUUAGUAAAAUUAAAAGAUUCGGCAGUAUCUCAUUUAUACAACAAAACGUUUCUCCGUCUACUGUUCAUAUAUAUUAAUGGUGAUCGUGUCUUUUUUCUCUACUUUAGGCCCCUCUUUAUACGAUAAGUUCUAAUCGAUCGUAUACGUGUGUGUUAAGUUAAUGUUUAACGGCUACAAACAUAGACUUUCUUCUGAGACCGUGUUUUACGCCACUAUCUUCUCUAAAGAGGUUUAUAUACUUAUAACCUCUUAUAGGAGAACAAAUAUGUACAAAUAUUCUAUAAUGAAGGCUUCAUUGAUAAGGCUCACGAGUUUACGAGAGUGUUUGAAUGGUUUAGUCUCUUCGAAUGAAAUGAUCUGAAAAAUGGUAUUUGUCAAUUCUGGCUGGAUUUUGCCCUUACUAAUAAAAAGUAAAACCUCAUAGUUUCAUGUCAUCCGGGCCAAAUUCGAAGUUCCUACUUCUCUAACUUGCCAUUUUCACUUACCAAUACAUGUGCUAUAGCGUCUUAACUUAAGAAAGACGCUUUAAUUAACUAGGUCUGAUUGUAACUUAGUCUGAUUGGUUUUCUCCAGUGCUUGAUCUUUUUUAAAUUCUAACGAACUAAUAACCAUAGUGAAUCUUUAUUGAUGAUCUUGUACUUUUUUUUCAUUCAUAACGAACCAAUUGUUCUUUGGUUUACCCAACUUGAUGUCUUUAUCUUCCUUCGUUCUUGUCACGAUGUAUUAUCAUAAUAGAUAGUUCGGCACUUUUUCUAAGUUGUUUUCUGUUCGUUUAUGUGAUAGAUAAAAUGCAGUUCGUUAUUUUUCUUGAUUUAAAGAUCUUUUUAAGAUUUCCUAGUUAUCGUUAUCGAAAUCCUUGACAUGCCGAAUAUUAGAUGUCUAUCUUUCAAGUUCCGUAUCUUCUAGUAAUAAACAUUGUUGUAAUGGUCUUUUUUCUUCAUUUUCUUUAUGGUCUAUAUUCAAUUACGUGUUUAAUAUCAGCAGUUAGGACACUUUCCUAAUUGGCUUUUUAGGCGCUGUUAAACCACUACGUGUAUUCGUGAAGAAUCGAGACGCCCUCGGUUUUGGUGGAUAAGAGAGUAGUAAUGACGGUGAGUGUGGUAUUAGCAUUCAGUUAAGCCAGUACCCUCCUUACACGAACUCGCGUUUCUUGUAAUAUACACGUACGGGAAGUAGUGGUACUAGUACAUUAUGGCCGACGGUAUUGUGUAAUCCACUCGUUGAUACCAAGUAUUUUGCACGCUAUAACGGGUAUGAAAAACGUCAAUACCAUUACCCAUUGUUUAAGACCCGAAGGCAACUAAGUAAGCAUGAACCAAGUGGGUUAUUGAGCCAGGGUGCUAAGGUAGAACUUCAGAAAAGCGGUUCUAUACGACAAACUUUCUAUAUUAGUAGAAGGAGUAGCAAGUACAGGUGAGAUUGGAGUAGUUAUUCAAGCGGGCAUAUAAGUGUUUAUUUACAUGGCCGGGCCUAGCCCAGGGUGCUUGCAUCCGGGGUUGGCGCUAGGGCGCAGAAUUUUUGGAGUUUCACUUCGGAUUAAGGGAAAACCCAGUGAGAUAAAGCUGUUAAUUUUCUCGUAACUGUUCUUCUUGGUGUAAGUCGUUAUUCUCCGAAAGCCGAGUGUUCGUUGGGAUCUCUUGAUAUCCCUUCCAGCGGAAGUAAAACAACGCGCGUGCUCGUUAAUUACAGUGGUCCCUCUGUCUGCGAAACCGUGAACGUUGGAACAUUACCAAAGUAAUUCGACUAACCAAAAUUUAUAAAUUGGAAUCACUAUAUACACUUUACUCACCCAGGAAAGAGUAACAGUUGUAGUAAUUGUUCCGUUUGUCCAUAUAAGAGUCACGGUCUCCUAUUUAGUCUAUCAUAUUGAGAGGGGGAGGGGCUGCCCAAGAGAAAGGUAAAAACUCAGUAGAAGGUUUGGCGUUCUGGGAGCCCAACGGGACCGAGAGAGUCGUUAAACAUGAACUUUUGUAACUAUGGUCUGAAGCGAAAGAGGAAGGUGCUCAAGACUUAGAACAUCUCGGGUAGUAUCAUUAUCUAAAAGGGCCAAACCGUCAACCCCAGAAAGCGCGAGGCGUGUUGGGAUUAAACCAAGAAAGCCAUGUUCGAAGAAAGGUUUCGUUCUAAAGGGGAAAGUUCGAAAACCAGGAGCAAGAACCACGAUGGAGGAACUGGUCACAUUUAGUUCUUUAGCUGUAGCAGAAGGAGUAAGAGCAUUGGCGGCCUCCUUUGUUAUGUAUAACGGUGCCCUAGUAGAACUAAUAGCUUAAACCGCCAGUACAUCAGUUAUGGACGGUACGAUCCCCGCACAUUUGGUUACUACGUGUAGAGGUAGGAUUUUAUCUUUUAUAGGGGAUGAAGUUGCGGUCCAUGACCCGGUUAGGAGAAGGGACGUAAUCGGAACUCUAGCAAUCGGUUGUACUAACGGGGCCGGAAAUUUAGGACCGCGGGCAAGUCCAAGCUGCUGAGCAGGUUGACGUCUUCGGCGGCGGAGUCACGUAGUUUUUAGUAGUACUAGCGGAGGUGUAAGAGGGAUCCCAGUAAUAUGCUUUGGGACUCCCGGCGAUAGAGUAAAAGGCCAUGGAAGGAAUGACCGAAUUCUCCGAACUGGAAGAACUGAAAACGGCUUAGCCUCGCGAGGCGUCUCGACGAGGGAUCCGCCCUGCCGGAAAACUAAAAGGCCGGAGAUCUUCUCCAGAGGCAUUGCUUUUACCUGAGUAGGAGGAGCAGGUAAAGUCACUUCGAGCCGCCCCACACUUUGCGUCUCUAACCGCACCGAAACUACCCCGGCAAUCUAGGUAAUGAUCGUUAAAAGCCUCCGGCAGGAGAACCAGAAAAGUGGCCUCAGUGAACUCCAACACGUCGCCGUUUUCUGCCUUGCCCGCCCCUUUUCAAUCUUCCUUAACCUCUAGGUUUUAGCGGGCUUCUCCCUGGUUUCCCCCAAUACGUUUGAUCACCACCUAACGAACUAACCAAUUUCAACAGCUUGUGGUUUACCCGCCCCUUUUUACCUCGGUCUCAAGAAUUCCCGAAAUGUAGGUUUCGUAGGACCAAACUUGGAACGCCCAAGAAGCCCACGGAGGGGUAUCGUUUGGUUUCAUGGACAUCUUGUUUUUCUAGUGAUAUAUCAAGAGUCGUUGAUAUUUUUUGCAUUAAACUUGUAUAUUAAUUAUAGAUUCGCACUUUUUAUAUAUGUAUGUUUCUCCUUCGUCAUUGUUGUUAUCAUUUCUUUAAUACUAAUUGACAUCUUUACUUUUCUUGUUUCACUGGUAUAUUUUAUCAAAUUUUAGUAGUCCUUUUUUUUCUUUUUUUUGUCUCUCUUUUAAAGAGUUACUUUGAUGUUUUAUUCUCUAUUUUCUUUUUUGCUUCUUGUUUGGAUCUUUUUCAAGGAUUCCGUGUUUUCACUCCUAAAUGUGUAUGUCACUUUGGGAUCUUUUCUCGAUUCCUUAUAUAAGCUGCUUUGUAUGUUUUUGGUUGGUUUGGGAUCGUUUGAUUUUUGGUCUUUUUUGGCCGCUUGCAUCGUCUCUAGGUCUUUUUAACCUUCGAGCACUCGUUUUUUUUAGCCUAAAAGCUUCACCCAGCUUCUCUAACUUCGUUAAGCUGCUUUUUUUAUCGAAGCCUCUAGUUUAAUCACCUAUUUAAUCCGCUCAUUUAGUGUCCUUUAAACCCCUUUCCCUCCCCUAAUGGAGCUCCUCGGCCUUUGGGAUCUUUAAACGUUAAAAAACGAGCAUAAAUCUAGCCACUUUUGGGAUCUUUUCUUAGGCUCUUAACCUAGGAGCUAGAUAAAAUCUUCGGAGUGGUCGCAAGCCCAAGGGAAGUUACCUAAACAAAAAUCCCUGUCUCCGGGACCGAAACUGCCCCUCUGUGCUCAAAACAUGCCUGCCGCAGGCGUACGCCUCCCCCUUAUACGCCACCUCUAACUUCUUACUCACUAACCUGCCAGCUAACGUGCCCAGGCGUACACCGCAUCAAGCAUGUUACUCGAGACGGUAAACUACCCAACCCUCGGCAACCUAACAAACCUCUAAGCACCACGGGUUAUAGACAGCUGGCGAACAACUGCUAUCAAUCUUCGAUCUAAUGCGAACAGGAGACGACUGAAACGUUGCCACGUUUUACAUGAAGUUUUACAUUAACCAAAGAAAGAAGAAAAAAAAAAAGGAAAAAGAUUAUAUAUGUGUUAUUUUGAUAAAUGGAUAGAUUGGAGAAAUAUUUUUUUAUAAAGGAUAGAUCGGAGGAAAACUUUUUAUAAGAGGUAGAUCGGAGUAAAAGUUUCUAAUCUCUUUUUUUUUUUUUAAAAAAAUUAUAUAUAAUUCCCCAAUUCACUUCCUCUAAUAGAAAAAGAGAGAGUAGAGGAUAAUUAAAAAUAUAGUUUUAUUAAAAUUAGGGUAAGCCGGAUAUUUAAAGUACAAAAUUACAUAAUUUUGGAUUUUAUGCUCUUUAGGUUUAUCAAAAACCUAGUUCUAGUAAUAUUAGUUGAGGAAAGCUUGGUACGUAUUAUAAAAGUAGUUUUAUAUUUUUCUAAUCUUAACCAACUACGCGGUACACUUUUAAAAGAUAAAACUUUAUUUAACUAUACUCUAUUUAAUAUGUGUUUUUAAUCCCUCACUCUUCCCUAGAGCCCCUUCCUCUCUCUUUUUUUAUUAAAGGAGGUGAAUUGGGAAAUUAUAUAUAAUUUCCAUAAUUAAAGAGAAAAAAAGAAAUUAGAAACUUUUACUCCGAUCUACGCCUUAUAAAAAGUUUUCUUCCGAUCUAUCCUUUAUAAAAAAACAUUUCUCCGAUCUAUCCAUUUAUCAAGAUGUGUUAUAUCUGUUUGUAAUUGGCAUGUGCAAACUUCGCACUGUAUUUGAGGUUUAUACAAAAAAAAAAAAAAAACUCUUUAUCCAUCGAACGAUGGACGAAGUAAGUAAUUCGUUUUACUUAAUCCGAAUGUAUAACCUCCGUCGGUCCCGGAGGCUCCGCUUUGGUUGCUAAUGUUUUUGUCUUUUCUUUUUGAUCUGAUGGAAUAUCGAUGGGAAUGUUGAUUCUAUGUUUUCCCGGGAUAUCGUUGGGUAAGUUUAUUCUAUGCUCUCCCUCUUUGAGGAGUCAGGCUUCUUUGACCAAUGGACCGGAGUUAGGUUAGACACUAGUUUCUUCACUGAGCAAGUUCUUGGGCCUAUCGUAAUUCUGAGGGGAGCGUCUUCUAGGACAACAAAGCGAGACAGGUUUGGUGGGUGGUCUAACGGCGGUUAGGCCAAUCUGAAAAACGAGAGUUGAGCCGUAACACAUACAAUGGAUUAAGUCGGGUUUAGGAGGACCGUGGGGGAUGAAGGCUAGGCGAAUACAGACGUUGAGGGCAUGUUUCAUCUUCCAUAGACUGCUUAUGUGUGAGGGCUUUUUCCACUAGUGACCAAAGACGAUUGUAUCGCGUUUUUUACGUCAUACCUAGCUGUACCGGGGGAGAAGCCUAUUAAGACAGACGCCAUUCGUUAGAGAGCGCCUCUUCAUAGGUUUACUUUUAAAACUAAAACUGGCCUUAAGACUCGGAGGUCUCUACUUGCAUCUGCCUCAGAGAGUCGGGACGUAGUCACUACUUGAGCAUUUCGCUAAACUGGCAUUUCUAAACUAAGCUUCAGGUAGAGGUGAAUUAACAUAGACCACGUAGGCUACCUGAUAUGACUCGUUAGUCUAAAAACUCGUUUCAGGAGACGGCCGCCCGCAGCGACAGUCAUAAGCGUUAUUCCCGAGACCAAUAUUUUGCGGUAGAGGUGGGAAAUAGUAAGGUCGUAAAACUUUGACACCGGAGGAACAACCGUUGCGACCUUACUUAUGGACCUUUAGAUCAUGACUCUCCCCAAAGAAGUUAGGUUUAUAGUCUGGUGUCGGAUUAUAAAAAGGGCAACGGCUCGUGCAUGCUUUGUGGUGUAGACUUGUGAAGAGCUGUAGAGUGGUGUGAAGAGGUGGUGACCCUCACCCCAGCCUUCCGAGAAGGGAGUAUAUUGCCGGAAGAAGACCAUAUUAUAUUUCUAAAUUAGUUGGAGGGGGUAUCGACUAAGCCGAGAAACUUCUUCGCGGUGGUGGUAAACCAAUCAUCUCGGCAUAAGCGACGAAGGUACAGAAACUGAGGAUCGGGGGGAAGAAAAAACGAAGAUGUUUAAUCAAAGGUUGAGUGGUCUGUACUCGGAGGGCAUUAAAAGCUCGAUGGANNNNNNNNNNNNNNNNNNNNNNNNNAGGGUUGAGUGAGUUAUUGGUUUAAUGUUGAAUAUAUAUAUAUAUAUAUAUAUAUAUAUAAUUAGGCUGAAAUACUAUUAAUAGCACUAAGCUAUUGGUGCUAUUAGGUUUUCAGCCCUUGGAUGAAAAUAUGUACGAGAUGUGGGCUCCCUAGGGUUGAGUGAGUUAUUGGUUUAAUAGUAUAAUCUAAUGAGUAAAAAUAGUUAAAAAGUUAAAUCUAACGGUAGAAAAUUUGAUAGCACCAAACGCUUGGUACUAUUGAUAAUAUUCCAGCCGAACUAUAUAUAUAUAUAUAUAUAUAGUCAUUGGAUUUUAGUGGCCACUAAUAAUAAUAAUAAUAAUAUAAAAAUAAUAAAGUUUGGCCCAACAACCUUAAAUACAUAUCACUUAAUCAUGUCGAGAAAGAUACAGUUACAGCCGUCCAGUUAGUUGGCCAAUCCACGCCUACCAACUAACCACAUAUCCAACCCGACCUACCAAUUAACUUAUUCUCACCACUAUUUUGAUACUACAAAUAUCUAGAAUCUAUUGCCAUUUUAAUAUUUAGUUCAAAUUUUUAUAUAUAAAAAGAUCUUUUGCUUAUUUAUUUAUUAUUAUUAUUAUUCAAAAUUUUUAAAGUUUUUCUAAAAUUAUUAAAAUACUUUUCUAAAAUCCAGUCUAUUAGUAAAUCCUAGAAAAAAUAGAAAUUUGAAAAAAAAAAAAUUUAAAAUUAAUAAAAGUACUUUGGUUCUUCAAAAAUAAAUAAAAUAUUUUUAAAUUUUUAAAUGAUAUAUUAGAUAUUAUUUCUUUAUAAGAAAAAUAUUACUUAUAUACUCUGAAAGAGUGUAUGCAGGUACACCUCAUCAUCCUACGAUUUAAAAAAAAAAAAAACAACUUAACAAUUGGGGGUGUUAAAUAUAUAUACACUAUCUUUGGGGUGUAAAGAUAGUAGUGCUCAAANUGUAGAAACAGAAUCCUAAGGCCUAGUUUUGUAUUGUUGUCAUUUUUUUUUUUUUACUUUUUUAAACACUAAUUUUGUAUAAUUUGAUGUGUUAGAGAAUUUUUUCUUUUUUUAAAUGUUUUUGUUAUAGUUGAUUAGAUUACCAUGUGUAUCAGGCUAAGUGAUAAAUACAAUUUAUCUAAAAAGAUUUGAAAAUAGAAAAAAGUUAUUUUUAAUAUUUUGUUUUUUGUCCUCGAGUAACACUUUAGAUGAAAAGAUGGUAAGCAAUUUAUUGUCCUCGACAACUCUUUUUUAUAUGGGAAAUUUUAUUUUAAAAGUAGGGUCAAAUGCAUACAGCUCCCUACAAACAUAGCCAAUUGCGGAUAUAUCCCUGCAAAAUCGAAACUCCAUAAUUGUUCCUACAAAAGUCCCAAGUUAUGCAGAUAUGUCCCUGCAGUUAUCAUCUGUUAGUGAGCUGUUUGUUUUUUAACAGUGAAGUCGUGAAAUGACCAUUUUAUCCUCACAAAUAUAUCCCUCCAAAAGUUUUCCUCUUCCCCUUCUCUUUCUUUUCCUUUUCGGACCGUCGAAAAAGACGACGGCGGCGGCGGCGCGGGGUCAGGUUCGCCGACGACGAAGAAAAGGCAAGAACGCCGAGCACCGGAGCUCUACCCGGAGCUCGUCGCCCUCAACGUCGUCCCCUCCCUCGUCGGCACCGACGCCAACGUCCUCGGUGACCACGACGACCCCGCACACGCCCUCGUCGCCGCCCUCGUCGCCAACAACGCCCUCGAGCUUCUCGUCUAGAAACUCGCCCGCCUUUCCUUCGAGAUCGACCCCGACGAGAUUCUUCUCCCUCGCCGGUGACGAAGAAGAGGGAAGAGGAAGAAGGAAGAAGGAAGAAGAAAGAAGGGAGAAAAAGGGAGAAGAGGAAGAGGGAAGAGGAAAAGGAAGAGGGUUCGCCACCGUCGCCGUCAUAUCUCCUCGCCGGCGACGAAGUAGAAGGAAGAGGAAGAGGAGGAAGAGGAAGAGGGGUAAAUACGUCAAUUCACACUAUAAUUAAUCAUGGUUAAGUAUUUUAAGCAUGGUUAACGAAAAUUUUCUAACAGAUCUGGACGGUAGGGAUAUAUCUGCAUAACUUAGGACUUUUGCGGGAAUAACUUAUGGAGUUUCUAAUUUGCAGGGAUAUAUCCGCAAUUUACUAUGUUUAAAGGAACGUGUAUACAAAUAACCCUUAAAAGUAAUAUAGACGAUAUCUAAAUUUUUAUUUUGACAAUUAGACCAUCUAAAUUAACUUUAUGAAAACCUCUAUACCUGUAAAUUUAUUCCCACCACCAUUUCGAGUGCUACUAUAAAUAUCUAAAUACUAUUGAUAUAUUAAUAUAUAUUUACAAUAUACAAAAAAAAUGUGUAAAAAUUCAUGAAUUCUAAAAUUUUAAUUUUGACAAUUAGACAUCCUAAAUUUUAUGAAAUAGUUUAAUUGUCCUUCUGAUCAAGCAAAAUUUUGCAUAUAGUUUUUCUAUAAUUUAAAAAAAAAAUUAAUUUUUUUUGUCUUUCUUGUUUUUAUAGGUAAGUAUGGUGAUGAAAAUAUAAAGUGAAUCUACCUUUAAUUUUAUUACUUUUCUGAUAUGUUAGAAUGGAGAAAAAUAGAUUUUUUUUAUAUUUUUAAAUAUUUACAAAAUGGAUAUAAUUAUUACUGUCAUAUUUUUAACUACAUACAUCUUUAAUUAUAUAUUUUUUUUUUUGUUACAUCCAAUCUUAAUAUUUUUUUAAAAAAAAAUAUUUAUUCUCGAAAUAUGAAAAUUUUUGAUUAAAAUUUAUUUAAUUCAUUCCACAUAAAAAAACUGCGGCGGGAGCGAUUUUCUCGGGUGGAGUUUGAAACGCGGCACACCCGUUGGUGGGCCCCACGGGCCGUCCCCAUCUCUCCACCGUACGAUCUCCGAAUCGAUGUAUCUUAAUAUGUGCGAUGACGUGUCGCUGUACACCGACGCACGGAAAAGGAGGAUUUCGCCACGUGUACGCCUAAGCGUCGGGCCCGAUCCACGUCACUCGACCGUUUUUGACCGGCACGUGUCCCUCUCCGGUUGGUUUAACCGGGUCGGUGACCGGGAGGGGCAUUUAAGUAAGGAAAAUAGUAAACACACUGCCCAUGUUGUUGUUGUUGUUACUUAUACUCGCUCCUCGGCGGCGAUUUACUCUCCUCUCCUCGGCGGCGAUGGUAAUGGGGUGGUGGGACCGCAUCGUGUUCCCGAUGCGGAGGGUCUGGAUCGGCGUCGCCUCCCGCCUCGGGAUGCGCAAGUCCGGUAAGAUGGACGGCCGCGAUCGAUUCUCGCCUUCGCCGGAAUUUUCCUUNCUAUUCUUUUUUUUUUCCUUCUUCUUUCUUCUGUUUUUUCAUUUCUGGCCUGACAAUGGCGGUGGCAGUUUGGAUUGUUGAGCAGCGGCGGCGGCGGUCUCGACGGCGUCGGCGUUUGUGCACAACAGCAUCGGCGGCAGUCACUACAGCAACGACGGCAGUCACUACAGCAACGGCGACUUUUCUCCUUUUCGUUUUCUCUUUUUUUUUAAAAAAAAACUCUUCUCCUCAUUCUUUUUUUUAUUCUUCUUCUUUUUUUUCUUUACUUCUUGCCUGACAACAUCGAAUGGCAGCUUAGGCGGUGCCAGCGGCGGCUUGGGCGGCGUCGGCAGUACGCACGACAGUGGGAAGCAGCGUCAGCGGUCAUGGUGGCAGUGGCGGCCGCGGGGACAAUGGCGGUCGCUACAACAACAUCAGCAGCGGUCACGACGGCAACAGCCACCGUUUUCCUUUUCUUUUUUUUUUUCUUUUUUUUUGUUUCUCUUCCACUUAUUCUCUGUAACUCGCUCUUCUUCUUUUUCUUCUUUUUUUUUUUAUCUCUUCUUCCUCCUCUUCCUUCUUCUUCUUCUUCCUCUUCUUCUAUUUGAAAGAUAAUUGAAAAUUUAAUGUCACUAUAAUUUUUUUUCCCUAAAAACACCUCCUUAAAUAUAUUUUUUUAAAAAUUAAUUAUUUUUUCGCAUAUUUUUUUAUUUUUAUUUAAUUAUUUUUUUUAAAUAUUAUAUUUAUAUUAUCUAUCCACAGCGAAGCGCGGAUCCUACACUAGUUAUAUUUUAUAACACAUCACUAUUACUCAGGAGGAGGAUCAAACAAACUCUCAUGUUAUUUUAUUCAUUACCGGUUAUUACAGGAUCGGAUGUGCUGCUCUAAUCACUCCAAACAUGUUCGUCGACUUAAUUUAGUAAUGCACACAACACUCCCAACUUAAACAAAAUUAUACCAUACAAAACAAAAUUUCAAAUUUGAAGAGGGAGACCGACCGUCCCUACGGCAAGUGGCAAAAUAUUUGGUGGUUGAUAUCCAAGGUCCCAAGUUCGAGUACUAAUUGAUUUACAUUUUCAGCUAAAUUUAUUUUUAAAUAAAAUAAACGAAGCGGGUAGCGUGCUAUCUAUCUCUCCAAAAAAAAAAAAAAUUGAAGAAGGAGAGAUUUAAGUAACCGUAUACAACAAGAAGGGAGGAUUCUAAUCGACUCUAACACUUUACUGUGGAGAUAUAUAAUCAAUAACCAUCUCAUUUUCUUUACGGAAAAAGGCUCAUUCAAUACUUGCCGAUCACUGCAUCUGCAUUCAUGGGACAUACAAAAAGCCCAAACCACAAAGCAAAAGAGUAGGCCGCUCUGAUCCAGUCAGUUUCAGCAACAAUCAUAGAUGGUCCCUCAUCUACUGACUUUUAUCUUACACGUCCACUCUGUAACUGACCUCAUUUUAAUUCAGCAAUGUCUGGGUCAACCUUUUCCGUUGACCAACCCUUAAAAAAAAAAAUUCAAAUACCACCCCUAUUAUUUUGCUUUUUUUUUUUUAUUUUAGUACUAUACGGUUUAAAGUNUCUCUGUGUAUCGCGUUUUCACCCUUUUUUUUUUUUUACCAUACUUGUUUGUUGCGUUGUACGUAUUAUUAUUAUUAUUGUUAGUACUCUAAAUUAGAAUUAGUAGUGUAUGAUUACUUUUAAUGAGUAUCAUUAUUAGGGAUAAUUUUAUUUUAACUCGUUCUAGAAUUAGUAGUGUAUGAGCAUUGCUUCGAUUUUUUUUUUUUCUUGGGAAUUAAUGUUCAGGAGGAGGAAAAAUGAAAAAUCGAAAUUUUAUGGCCCGGAAUGCAUAUAGUGGGAUUUUUUUGUUUGUUUUUUUAUGCUGCCUCUCAAUAUUUAUUUAUUUAUUUAUCUAUUUUUCUCAAUUUGGAUUUUUUUAAAAAAAAAUAUUUCAUGAAAUUAAGCAAAAUUUAAUAUAAAGUAGAAAAUGAGACAUAUAAUUUAUUUUGCGCUCGAAUUUUAGAAAAUUUAGAGAAAGUAAUGAAACUAUUAUUAAUUUUUAUUUUAUUAAAAUUAUUAUUAUUAUUAUUAUUAAUGUUGGGCUUAAGAUGGGUCCAUAAGGUGGUUGGCUAUACUUAUUUGAGGUGGACGGUGUUAAUAAAUAAUAAAUAAUAAAUAAUAAAUAAUAAUUAUUAUUAAGGGGAAAGAAACAGAAGAUACUAUGCCUUGGAUAUUGUAAUCAGAAUAUUCCCGAAGAAUAUUCCCUCUAUGUAUGUGUGUUUUUUUAAAAAUUUUUAAUUAAUGCUAAGCACGAGAUUUGUGGUGAGUGACCACCAAAAUAAGAAUCGGCACUGUAUAUAUUCUUUUAUUUUAUCUUAAAAUAAUAUGAUAAUAUAUAUAUGUUAAUAAUAAUAUGUAUGCUCCUACCACGUUCUUUGUGGGGUCUUUUUAUCACAGCAAUUUGUUUGUUUAUAUAUAUGUAUGCUAGUGAAAUGCGCUCGCUGCGGCGGAUCGAUUUUAUAAAAAUAAAUAAAAUUAAAAUAAUAAAAUAUAAAUAAAAGAAAUUAAAGAAAAACAAUAGCUGCUAUAAUAAAAGCAUAAGAAUAAAAAUAUACAAAGAAAAAAAAUAUAAAAAUUAUAAAUUAUAUUUAUAAUAGCAAUAACAGUUGAGAAUUAAAAUAUCAUAUAUCUAAUUAAAAUAUGAGUUUGAAAGCGUCACAUACUUUAUAAUUUGAGCAAGAAAAUAUUGCCCAUUAAAUUUGAGGACUAAAUUAUCACGCGUCUUAUAAUUUUAGGAUCAAUAGUGUAAUUUAUUCUUUUUAUAUUUUAAUUUUAUUCUAAAUGAAGACCGUUGGUCUGUUUUGUUCAAUCAGUAAUUUUAUCAAAAAAAAAAAAAUUGUUAAGCCAUCUAAUAAAUUUUAAUAUUAGAUUUGAGUCAAUUACUAAUGCUUUUACUUUAAAAUUUGAAUGCUUCUUUUAGCUUUAUAGAUUUAGUUACUAUACUUUAUGUAAUCUUUGUAACUAAAUUUAUUAAAAUAAAUAAUUAAUUUAAACCUCAUCAAAUUUUUUUUUAUUUAUUUUUGAGUAUAUAAUCUAUAUGUAAUUGAUUAAUAUUAUAAAACUAAAUUUUUUAUUUAAUAAUGUAAUCUAAACUAUUUAAAAGUAUAUAUAAAUAAAGUCUGGUUGGGAUUCUAUCGAUAACACCAAACGUUGGGUGCUAUUAAGUUUUUCACCGUUAGAAUUAAGUCUGUGACUAUUUUUAUCCGUUAGAUUAUACUAUUAAAUCAAUAACUUACUCAACCCUAAAGGGCUCACAUCAUCUUAACCAUAUAUUUUUUCAUCCAAGGGCCGAAAAUCUAAUAGCACAAAUAAUUUGAUACUAUUAGUAGCAUUCCAGCAUAGUUCGUAUGAAUAUUUAUAUAUUUUAUUUUUCUAUAAUAAAAGAGAAAAAAAUUAAAUUGAAUUAAAAAAUAAAGUCUAACUUUAUAAUGAAAGAAGAAAAUUAAAUUAAAAAAUUUUAAAAAAACCAUUUCUAGUGGGCCCUACACACUCCCAAACCCACCGUCCCACUCCCCCUCCUCCUGCACGAAAAAUUCUAAAAUGCAACAGGUGUAUUAGUGAUGUGGCGUAAUAAACCAAUCAAAUGUAUCAUUUUAAGAGUAUCUGUCCAAUCAUGAUUCAUGAUUGUAAAAAAAUAUUUUUAUUGUACUCUUUGUUUGAAAAGAAGGAAUGUGAUUGGCUUGUUAUUGAUGACAUUGUGCAAGUGUGACAGUGUAGAAUUCCUCCUGCACGCGCUCCCCCGCCACGUGGCAUCCGACUCUCAAUUCAUGAUAUUUAAUUUAAUAGAUAGAGAGAGAGAGAGUUGAGCUGAAAUAUUAUUAAUAAUAUUUAAACUGUUUUGUUAUAAAUUUUUUAGCUGUUAGAUCUAUACUUUAAUCAAUUUUAUCUUUUAAAUCAUACUAUUCAACCAGCUAUCCACUUAAAUCUUAGGGGGACCACUACUAAACCCUAGGGAUCACUAUUAUUCUAAUCUUAUUAUUUUUAAUCUGAUAAUUAAAAAUUCGAUAGCAAAAGAGUCUAAAUACUUUUAAUAGUAUUUCAGCCUAAUUUUCUCUCUCUCUCCUCUCUCUCUUCUCUCUAUAUUAUAUAUAUAUAUAUAUAUAUAUGGGUCCGGCUACUAUACUAUUAUGAGUACGAUCGCCUUCGUACUCAUAAGUUGUUUUCGAUGAUAGAUCUUCCGAAUCGACGAUCCACACCGUUAAACGUCAUUUUACAGCAUUUAAAACUUCCUAGAAAUCAAUUUAUAAUUUUCGACGUCAUUUACCUUACCAAACGAUCAAGAGGUCACAAAUUUGACAAUUUUUAACGGCCGGUAUGGGAUACUUGCUAGUUUAACGGUGUAAAAGAAUCGAAAUUUGUUGAAUAUUUGAUAAAAAAUUUUAUUCAAUACAUAUAUAAAGAUCAAUAACUCCGAUCUUGAAUUGAAGGAUCCGAUCAUCCUUUUUAGGACGUCGUUCGAUUUUGACCGUUCAUUUUAUACCCACUUGAUGGACUUUAUUAUAAUUUCGAAAAUUUACGAAAUUUAUUUUCUAGAAGUUUCAAAUACUCUAGAUCAUAUUUAACGGAGUGGAUCGUCGAUUUGGAAGCUCCAUCAUUGAAAACAACUUAUGAGUAUGAGGGCUCCAAUACUCAUAAUAGUAUAGUAGCCAUGGCCUAUAUAUAUAUAUACACAUAUAUAUAUAUAUGCUAAAUUAUGAGCCGUUACUAAUUGGAUAGCAUAGUUUUUCCUUUUUUUUAAUUAGUGGCGGAUUUCUUUUUCUAAAAAGAAGGAUAAACUUUAAUUUGCCUCGGUGUAAUGUUUUUCUUUUUAGAGAAACAGAUGGUUCAAAAGAUCUUCUGUUCGCUUUAUUUAUUAAGCAAAUAAAUUAGGCAAUAGAAACUGAGUCAACUAGGCUUCCGCAUAGUUGAUUUUACUUUAAAAAGUUAAAAUUAACUAUCCUAUUAUUUAGUGUGUUUUUUUACUUUACUAUCUUGUUAUUAAAAGAGUUACAAUAAAUUAUCCAGUAAUUUUAUUUUUAUUUUAGUGUAAGGACCCGAGGUUAAACUAUUCUGUAGUUUUUUUUUUCAGUGAAUAAAGUAUAGAAUAGUUAAACACAACUUUUUGAAUCAAAGACCGACUAUCUCUAAAGCAAGUGGCAAAAGGCUUGGUGAUUGGUACCCGAGAUCCAAGUUCGAAUCCUAGUUGAUUUACAUUUUUAGCUAAAUUUAUUUCUAAAUGAAAUAAAUGAAGCGAGUAGCGUGCUACCUAUUUCUCAAAAAAAAAACCUUUUUGAAUCAAAGCGGCUAAAAAUUCUUACCCAAACAGAGCUUUGGAUUUUAGUUCUUCUUUGGGCUGCAUGUUCACUUGCUCUGGGCUCUUAUGGGGGGACCAAUUUCUCUUUAAAUUGUUGAAUUUACAUGGGCUUGGUAUAAUGUAGCCUCUAUAUUAGUAGAGGUUUGGUUAGGUUACUGGGGUUGUCAAUUUUUGUAUUUUCAAAUUUUCAAAACGUUUUUGGUGUCACAUUGAAGGAGAGAUUCAUUAGUUAAUUUGCUAAGAGCCUGUUUAGAUGUUUCUUUUUUUUUUACCCUUUGCAGGAUGUCAACAGAUCGGAUUCGGGACGGAUUUUUACAAAUCCGAACCUAACUCCAAACCCGAAACUCGAACCCGAUGAAUUUUAAAAAUUCAUAUCCAAAUCUGAACCCGACCAACAAUCCUACACCCGAACCCGAAAAUUCGAAUCCGAAACAAUUAUUUCUCUUUUCAAUAUUUCAAAAUAUAUUACAUUAAAUCUAAAAUUUGAAAAUACAAAUUCAAAUAUAACAUUAAAUUUUUAUAUAUAUAUAUAUAUGUAUAUAUAAUGUAAAAUAAAUACGGGUUCGGAUCCAGUACAAUCAAAAUCCAUAUCCGAAUUCAUAUCCGUUGGAUUUUUGUUUUUGAUAUCCAUAUUCGAAACCAUAUUCGUCUAGUAUCGGAUAAAUCCGUUCUGUUCGGAUUCAAGUUCGGAUAAAAUUUCGAGUGACACUCCUAUUUGCGCCGGUAGGAGAAUGAAGUAACCAUCACUCUUGUUUCAGAGUAUGUUCCUUCUUUGAGUUUCAUCUGCAAGACUGCAGCUUACUCUUAUCCAAACAAGUCUUAUUAGGGAAAAAAAAGUUAUUCCCAUGUCACUACUUAAAAUGGAAAUUUAAGAUGCAAUUAGCUAUAUGUUUGAGAUAGCUAUUUGAUGCUUCAUUAGGUGAUAAAUAAAAAGAAUAAAGGCACAUAAAAACAAAGGAAAUGUCAUAGUUAAAAAUUAGUAGAACUAAAGAGUAGAUAUGCACAGAGAGAGAGAGAGAGAGAGAGAGAGAGAGAGAGUACCCAAUAAGGAAAUGAUAUAAUAAGCCCAGAAAAAACUGAUGAAAAAGAUUUAUUGGGAAUAAUUCCAAACGUAAGACCGUUCUAUCCGUCAUUCGUACAAUUUUAAAUUUUCUGUUGUCCAUACGACGGACGGUGGAUGAAAUAGUCUCACAUUCGAGAUUUGUCUGCACUAAAUAUUUAUUUCAAAAUGUAGAUUAAGAUUAAAUAGCUCAUGUAAUACAUGCUUUAUUUGAACGAAAUAAUUUUCCUGUUUUUUUUUUUGUAUCAAAUACAAUUUUUGUUUUGGUUCAAAUUAACCUGACCUUUUAAUCAUCUUUUGCGUACAUAACCGAUGAAAUAUGAAUAAUAAUUUAGUAAUAAAACAACAAGUUUGAUAUUUUCCUGAUAAGAAACAGAGUUUGUAGUGCAAUUUGACCUCUUCUCUAUAAAAAACCUUUUCUACAAAUUUACCUCAAAAAAAAAAACUAUUUUUUCAUUCUAGUCCCUAAUCUUCUUUUUCACCAUUUAAGUUUCUAAUCUUUAGUGUAAUUUUAAUUUAACUCAUUGUCUUUAUAAUACCACUAGUUUUGAUGAAAAAUUGCCAUGUAGCGAGAUUCAAUUCUUAUAUAUUGUGCUCUGGAGCUCAACUGGACUGAUCGAUUGGACUAAAAUAAUUAUAGUUUAAUUUGAAAAAUAUCAUACUAAAAAAAUAGUCAAGUAAUUAAUCAGUAGAGCCAACAAGUGAUUCUGAUUAUAGAAGAAAAGUUAUUAUUAUUAUUAUUAUAUUAUUAUUAUUUUUAUAUAUGACUAAAAUAAAUUGUCUAUAAUUUUUUAAAAAUAUAUAUAUAUUUAAUAUACAUUAAUAAUUCGACUUCAAUCAAAAUUUAGGUGAAUUUCUAGAUCAUAAGCCUUUUUUAUUAUUGUUCUUUUGUCAAAAAAUUAUUAAUAUAAAUAUUAAUGUAAUAAAUAUUUGUCAUAUUUAUGGUAUUUCUUUUUAGAGUUAACUAGUAUAUGACUCGUGCGAUGCACAGCUAAUGUAAUAAUAUAAAAUAACAAAAGUUAUUAUAGGAUGAUAAAAGAAAAAUAUUUUAAUUAAUAUUAUAUUUUUUUUAACAAAUAAAGAAAUAUACUAUCAAUCUUAAUUAUAAUACAUAUUAAAUUACGAAAGCUAGAGAAACAAAAUUAUGGACCAAAAUAAAUACUCAGGUAAAGAGCAAAAUUAAACCAUGCUCUAUUAUCUAUGAAUUGGUGUGCAAAAUAAUUUGUUUAAUAGUAUUAUUAAUUAAGAUUGAUAGUAUAUUUGACAUUAAUAAUUAAGUAUAAUUUGAUUUAAUAAUGUUUCCUAAUAAAAUUCUAUUUUUAACCAUCUAAUUGCUAUAUUUGAGUUUGACAUGUGGCAAGUAUAUAGAAAGAUGCAUGAUAAACAUUUAAUUUGAUUUAAUUGUAUAUAUAAUUAUAAUUUAAUUUAACGGUGUUUAAUAGUGUUUACUAAUAAUAUUCUAGUUAAUUGUAUAUAUAAUUAUAUUUAAUUGGUAUAAUUUGAUUUAAUAGUGUUUCCUAAUAAAUAACCUAUUCUAUAUUUGUAGUGUUUCCUAGUAAAAUUCUAAUUUGUAUAAUUUAAUUUAAUUUGAUUUAAUAGUAUUUUCUAAUAAAAUUUUAUUUUUAAUCAUCUAAUUGCUAUAUUUGUGUUUGAUAUGUGGCAAGUAUAUAGAAAGAUGCAUGAUAAACAUUUAAUUUAAUUUAAUUUGAUUUAAUUGUAUAUAUAAUUAUAAUUUGAUUUAAUAGUGUUUAAUUGUGCUUUAUAAUAAAAUUCUAGUUAAUUGUAUAUAUAAUUAUAUUUAAUUGGUAUAAUUUGAUUUAAUUUGAUUUAAUAGUCUUUCCUAAUAAAAUUGAUAUUCUAUUUAUAGUGUUUCAUAAUAAAAUUCUAGUUAAUUGUAUAUAUAAUUAUAUUUAAUUGGUAUAAUUUGAUUUAAUAGUGUUUACUAAUAAAAUUGCUUUUCUAUAUUUAAGUUUGACGCGUGGCAAUCAUAUAAAAAGAUACGUAUCAGUUUUACAUCAAGAGUUCUACUUUAGUAUAUAGUAAAAUUGAGUUUGACACGUGGCAAGUAUAUAGAAAGAUACGUGUCAGUUUUACACCAAGAGUUCUACUUUAGUAUAUAGUAAAUAUAGUAAAUAAAUAGUUUUUUCAACGACCUAUACUGAUAUACAUUAUCUAAUAAAUAAAUACUAAAAAUUAAGGACCGGAUUGCAAAAAAAAAAAAAAAAAAAAUGAAUCGAGGACCCAAAAAAACACGAAUGAAGGUUAGGGACCAACAAGGCAAUUAACCCUUUAAAAUCCGUCGCUUCUCUUCUUCCUUCCUCGCUUCUUUCGCAGCGCAAACGAUGUCGGAGAACCCCUUGGAGCCCCUCCUCAAAACCCUAGACUCAAUCUCGCGCUGCGUCCAAACUCACCUCUCCCGCGUCUUCGUCGCCCCCCAAAACGCUUCUCCAAAACCCACGCUGCUUCGUCCCCUCUUAUCCUUCUCGCCGACUCCCGUGGCUCCGGAUUCUACCACUUCACCCAUAAAGGUGCGCCCUUUGCUUCUCUUUUGCGUCCAAAGAAGAGGUGUUGAGCGCUUAUGGAUUUGGGUUUUACGAGGUCUGUGUGUUUGGGGCUUUGUUUAGGAGAAAAAGGCGGCGCCUUUAACGAAGGAGGAGCUCGGGAGGGCGACGUGGACUCUGCUCCACAGCAUUGCGGCCCAGGUGUUUGGUUUUUUGCCUCUGUGAUGAUCUUGUGCUUUCUCAUGUUUUUUCCCUGAAAGUUACCUUGUCAUUUCGUAGUGAGUUCCUUUUUGUUGGUGAAAGAGGAGUAACUUUGUCUGAUAUUAGCCUUUGGAGGUAGAAAUGACGUAACCUUGUGUCAAUUUAAUCUUUGUAUUGUUUAAAAUGCUGUUGGAAAUGUUGAUUAUAAGAAACUGAGUGUCAAACAAGUGAUUAAUCUAAAAGUACAAGCUCUUAGCGAGUGGUGUUUUAAUAAUUUAUAUUCAACACUUCUCAUUGUAUCUAGGCUCAAGACAUUUUGAUAGGCCAAGAUGCAGGCUACAAUUAAAUGGAGGGAAAGUAAUUGCGACCUGCUCUGAUACCAUAUAAGACAACCAAUUACUCUAAAAAGUUAAGCUAUCAGAUAACAUUGUUUUAAUAUUUUAUGUUCAACACUGAGCUGGCCCAUUGAUACUUUUUUUGGCUUGCUUUCGAAUAGGUAUUAGCAAUAGAUACUUAAUUAGGAUGUUUUCCUUUAUUAUCUUCUCGUGCAUGAUGGGGAUGUUAUGAUUGUUAAGAAUGUUAGUCCCAGAGUGUGAGACUUGAAGAUUUGAAAUAGUUCUAUAUAUAAGAUAUAAUAGAACUAAAUUUUUUAAUCCGGAUAUAGCAUUUUGGACUGUGGCUAGGUUCAAAAGAUUAAAGGAGUCAAGCGUGCUAGGGUUAGAGUAGUCUUAAGAUGCGUGACCCCCUGAGAAGUGGGGCGUCAUAGUUGGUAUAAGAACUAACUACCAGCCGGAAGUAUGAGAUGAGUCUCGGUUGAGCCAAGUUAUACAGUGGACAGAAUGAGACUCUCUGGCCGAUGACUGUUGUGCGUGGAGCGCGGCUUCUUAUAAGGUCGACUAAGGCUAGCGAGAUGAGUCUCACAUUGUCUGGUACUUGUGAGUGUGCUUAAGCCUGAUGAGGACGUCAGAGUUUAAAAGAGAGAAGAAUGUGAGACCCCAGGAUUUGGAAUAAGACUAAAUUUCUUAACCCGGCUGUAGCAUUUUGGACGGUGGCUAAGCCCAAAAGGUUAAGAGAGUUAAGAGUGCUAGGAUUAGAGUAGUUCUAUAAUGGGUGAUCCCCUGGGAAGUGGGACGUCACACAGAGGGCAUCCAGUGUGAACGACAGCCCCAGAAUCUAGUCCCAAAGAGGGCUUUGACAUGGUGCCAGAGUCAGCUUAAGUAUGAAAGGCACCUAGUAAUUGUUGGUUGAAUAAUUAAGUUUCUUAAAUUAAGGCUGAAAUUCAUUAUUCUGAUCUGUUUAACCAAAUCUAAAUUUCGACUAGGUUGCGGGCAUGCAACAAGCACCUAUGUUUGGCUUCGGGAGUUGACUAAACUUGGUUUAUUAUAUUUAUUUUGACCCAUGUGUCACACAUUUAUUGGCUAGAAGAAAUGAUUUUGCUUUCUUCUAGCUGGAAACAGCAUUUAUUAGCCAUAUGUAGUGUGAGCAGCUUUAUGGAGUUGAGAUUUCUGCUGAAACCAACGAUAAUAGACAGAAUAUUCUUGUAAGUUAAGUUUUCAUACUAGAUUUUUUUCUGUUGAACUACUUUCACAAGUCUGCUACUUGUUCUGCUAGCUAUCAAAUUAAGGGCUUACCUUGGUGUAUAUCAUUCUCCUUUGGACACAGCACAUUGAUUUUCUGUAUCUUGUUUAAUACUUUUUCAGUAUCCUGAUCACCCAACAAGGCAGCAGAAAAGAGACGUGAAAGAAUUGGUAUGCAGCAAUGUCAUUUUCAUUUGCUAAAUUAUAUUGUUUAAUACCCGAUUGCAGCCAAUGGUGUCCAUUUCGUUUUGAUUAGAUUUUUCCAUGUUGGGACCAUGCACUAUGCAACAAUUGUACCCUAGGGCGUUGAAGACUUGAAGUUGAUUUUGUAGUUGCUCCAUGUAAAUUGCUAGAUUUAAUGAAAUAUGAUGAUAAGGUAGUGGUAGAUUUCUGCAGAAACAUUGGAAAUCUCUUUUGCUGCGAUAGCUAUUAAUGGAUAAUAUAUUACAUGUUUUGUAAAUCGAAAUAUGAUAAAUAUGUUUCUUUUUUAAGUAUUGUUGCUCAGUUCUUUGAUUUUUUGUAUUAUUGUCUCUCACUAUAUUAAUUCGUAAUAUGUGACAAUUUUUUUUUUUUUGGGUAUAUAUUGUCGCUAAUCAGAUCGUUUUUUAGAUCUAAAAAAGACAAGCUUGAUUUCUACUUCAUGUUUUUUUUCUCUUCUUGCAAUAGUUCAUUAACCUUUGGUUCAUUCAACAAUGGAGUCUCAUAUUUUGAUCAAAUUAGACAUGAGAAUAACACAGGUCUUGGGUUUGUGCACGCAGAUGGCUAUAAUAUCUCGACUUUACCCUUGUAAAGAAUGUGCCGAUCAUUUUAAGGAAGUGUUGAAGUAAGUAUAUUAAUUACCUUCAUAGGACUUGCUUGCUAAAUUGUUAUCGCAACCCCUGUUCUGUACAAAAAAGUCAAAAUGCCAACAUUAUCAAUGUUUUUGAAGUGCUCUUGGGGUCUCUGAAGUUUCUUGGGUUUGAACCUCCCAAUUACAGUUGUUUGAUUUUGGUCGGGUUCCAUUAGACUUAGUAGUUUCAGUUACUUAAUAUUCGAAAAUAACAGAAUAUUCUGGUAAAUUCCGGAAUAUCCUGUCAAAAAUGUUUUAAGAAAGUUGGUCUCACCAAAGCUGACUAAAACCAUUUAGUAUAGUGGGGCGUUCAAAGCCAAAUAUAUUGAAGUCCAGGGAUCUGCUUUUAGAACACCUAGAGCUAUAGUUGGCUUGUAUUGGCUUAGAGAUUAUUUUUGGUGUGCACGUAUUACAUGAAAGAAUAAAGGGUAAACAUACAGCCAUUUGCUGUGUUGUGUUUUGGCAGAGCGAAUCCCGUACAAGCAGGAUCACAAGCUGAAUUCUCUCAAUGGCUAUGUCAUGUACACAAUGUGGUUAAUCGAAGGUAAAUUUAAUCCUCUCCGACACUGUACCUCUACUGUCCAUCUGUUUUUCAUUUUACUCACAGGAAGCAGAUUGAGUCAUUUUUCAGUAUUAAAAAGAGUUCAUCAUUUUUCUGACAUAUGUUUUUGGGUGAUAUUUAUAGCCUAGGGAAAGUGAUAUUUCCCUGUCAGAGAGUGAACGCUCGAUGGGGUAAGUUGGAUUGUAAGGAUCGGUCCUGUGAUUUGGAAGGCACUGUCGACAUCAAAACUUUAACUUCCCACACCUGAUGUAUCACAAAGGAUCAUUUUGAGUAGUGCGAUAUCUUUCUACAUCAAGGAAGAAAAGGAAAUACUAAAGUUCACUCUCUCUUGUUUUACCAUUUUUGUAGUCAAUUUGAAGUAAAGUUUAGAUGGACAUAAUGAUGCUCAUUGUACAGCAGUGCAAACCAUCGUGAAGGCAAAAAAGUAGUAAAAUGAUUAGAUUUUUAACUAUGGAUGAUUGUCAUUGAACCGUAUGCUAUAUGCAUUUUGAGACUGUGACAUGGCAUGUAUUGACGUAAGCUAUAUUAUGUAUAUUUGUCAAUUAUUGUCCGUUAAAUGAUUAGAAAAAAUUGGUUGGGUCAAUGCAGUUGUUAUGUUCGAACUGAAUCUUCAAUCUUGUGCAUGGCUUGGAUGAAAUCUGGUGAAUAAGGUUAUGCUGUAAUUGUGAAGUAGGUUAUGAGAAUAUGUAGUUGCUUAAGCGUUUUCACAAUGCCCAGAAUUGUAUGACUUGGUUUUCAACUGAAGCUAGUAAGUAACCUGGAAACAUUACUGUUUUUUUUUUCCCUGUCGUUUUGCUUCUAACUUUUUAAGGAACUCAUGAGGUGGAAUUCACAAUCCAGUAUAAAGCCCCCCUUUUUUCUGGCUAAAUUUUGAAAUGCACUUUGCCUACUAGAUAGCAAACCAUGCGUGUAUUGCCUUUUUUUUUUCUCUCUCUCUCUCUUUUUUUUUUUUUUUUUUUUUUUUUUUUUUUAAGGUGCUGUGCUUUUAUGAACAUCCCUUAUGCUCAUGAUAGAACAUUCGUACCGAUGAUUAAUAUCGUAAAAUAUAAUCUAAAAGAUUUAAGAUACAAACUAACUAAAAUUUGUCUUUUUGACAUUGUCUACAUUAUGAAAUGCACCUUAAAGUCGGUAAUUUUAAUGGCCAAAAUGAAUUAUUUUGGCAUUCAACAGUGUAAAGCAAUUAAAAUCAGUGAAAUUUUAGUCGAUAGUAUUUUUUCAUUGUUUAGAUUUAGAUCAAUAAGCUAACGCUUAUAACUCACUCUUAAGUUGAAAACUAUAUUUUCUACUUCCACAAAGCUGUUCAAUAUUAAACAUUUUAUUCUUUGACCCGUCAUUUUUAAAAUUGAUCAUCCAUAUCAUUAAGAAUAAGUACUUGGAACAUGUAGAAAUUGACUUUUUGCAUUUUUUUUUCCUCUCAAAUUUAUUCUCUGGAGUAGCAAAAGAUCACAGAAUCAAUGGUGAAAAUUAAACAACCUGAAAAACCCUAGCAUUUGUUUGGUUGGGGGUUAGGGGUGGAAUAACCCCUUAAUCCCCCAUAUUAUUUCCAAACAUUCCAAAAAUAGGUGGGGUUAACUAACCCAACCUCAAAUGAGCUAUUCUGGAUUAGCUAAUCCUAUCUAACCUCACCAAAUCCCAACCAAACACUAUUUUCUAUUCAUAAGAACCCACUAUCUUUCUUAUCCCACCUACUCCAACCAAACAUUAUUUUUUACUAUCCUGAACUAACUCCAAUCCUCAACCAAACACAAAAAUACUCUAAUUCCACCUUAACCCUGAAUUUAACUCUAUCUUUGAAAUAACUAAUUUUUCUUAAUUCCGAAUGAAACGGUAGCUUAAGAUCAAGAAAAUAUUGAUUCGAUAUUUAAAAUCAACAAUAUAUUCAUUUUCUUCACCCAUUGUUGCAACAUGAAAGUGCUGUCCUAUGACUCCUAUCAGUCAUACUUUUUUAGGAUAUUAUAUUAACUUACAACAAAAUUUAUCUUAUUUUAAUAAAAUGACUCAGCAAUUUGUAUACAGACAAGACAUGCGUGUACAAUUAAUGUCUCAUCUACCAAUUAUUGUAUCACCCUUGAAAAAAUAAAAAAGAUGUGUCGAUUUAAAUGUUCGUGCAUCCGGACAAGUAAUUUUGUGGCCAAGCAGAGAAGAUCUAAAUCCUUUUUUUGAGUUUUCUCAAAAUGUCUGAUUUUGUCUGAAGAACACAGAACAGAGUUUAAGCUUGUUCCAAAAUAACACCUACAACAAGAAAAGCUAAAAAACCAUGAGCAUUAUAUGAUCUCAUCUUGCUUUACAGCUUAAUAAGCCAAAAGACUUGCUCUAACUCUCACCCCUGUUAAAGAUCGAAAAAUGUACAUCAAUCCAGUUUCCGGUCAAAAGAAAACAUAAGAAAAGAUGGCCGUUAUUUUAAGAUUUUGCAGAGCCACCCUUGUUUUGCAAACUACAUAAUUCAACGCCAUCAAGCGAUCGGAAAGGCGGUCUCUGUCCAAACUUCAACAGAUGCGCGGCUUCAUAAACGGGUUGCAACUGCUGAAUCAACUGAACAUCUAGAUAUGCUUCACAUGCGAAGCACCAGACUGACAAAUCACUGUAAAAGAUCAAUUUAGUUAGAGAAAUAUAUAUGUACUAGUUCAACAAUUAAAAACUAAAAACAAAUUAAUUCUUUUAUAGAAAAGAUUGCACGGUUUGUUGUACCUGAAGCUAAGAGCAAGACAGUGGCCAGUUUCUUGAUGAUGAUUAAGCAUAUGUUUGUUGAUAAAGCGGCUGCAUAGGACCUCUUUGCAGCUCAAGCAUAGCCAGUUCUCAGCAGGAUGGUGGCAUCUGACGAGUACAGAUAUGCUUUCAUGAGAGGAAUAAUAAUAGGGUUUUACAGUCUCAAGGGUCAACCGCAAAUAAAAUUUUCAAUUUUUGAUUAUUUAUAGAAAAUCUGUAUCUUUUAUCCAAAGCUGUAAAUGAAUUAACAGAAUUUUACAAGUGUCACCAGCCCUCUAAAAAUUCGUGUCAUUGCACACGGGAUAAAGUUCUUUAAAGACAGAAUAAUCCAGCCAUAAAUAACAACUCAUCAUUGCAGAAAAGAAAAAUCGAGCAAAUCAAUAUCAAUGCUUAAAGAUGUCUGACAAUUAAAUCAAACCAAAAUUGAACAAUCAAUAUCUCAAAGGGCUUGUUGUGAGAACUUUCGUUAUCAGAUGAACAGCUGAGUAAAAUUCUGACGGCAAAAUACAGAUAUGCUGAAUCAGAGAUGAACUUAAUUAGGUUUAACAUAUAUAAGAAGACAAAGCUGCAAGAUAUUUUGGAAAAUUCAGAUGUAUACAAACAUGUAAGGAUGUCUUAGAAAGUAGAUCAGAAAAGUGAAAACAAAUGAUAAGAUUGGUCUAUUCAACUUUCAAAUUCAUUUCCAAGGCAAUAAAUGACUAAAAGUAGGUUCUUUAUCUUCUGCAAUAGCCAUUGUCAUACGUAGGGAUAUCACUUUGCAGGGUCAGGCGAAACCAGAUUAUGUCCAAUUGAGGCUCAAGGUCUAAUCCGCAGGAUUGAACCCAGACCAGCCCCAACCAAACUCAAAUAGCCUUGACCAUACAUUACUCAGGUCCCCAUUCCUUUUCCCUUCUUAUUUUUUCCAUGAAAUUCCCACCCAGAUUAAGCAUAAAUUUAAACAGAAUGGCAUAAUUUGUGACGCGCCAGUCAAGCUGGUCAGCCCACAAUGGCGGUUGCGUCCUUGGACAACAUCCUUGGUUGCAUGAGCUAACAAGGAGCAGCAUAUAGAAAGGAUAAAUGUUCCUGAAUCAAUAACAAUCUUUCUUCAAAAUAACAGAAUAAGCCACCUUCUUUCCAAAUAUACUAUAUACCAAUUAGAAAUACUUCUAAUACGUGCCAAAGAAAUGUAGAAAGAUGACUUAAUUCUAUGGCUAUUUGUAUAGUACCACGCAAGAAAACAAUAAAGAUAAAAGAAAGAAAUCAUAUUACCUAGUUUUCAUAAAAUGUGGCAGGAUUUUGAUCAAGAAAUGUUGAUGAACUUUGCUUAAAUAGUAUCAUACUUCUUUUAGGAGGAUACAAGUAAAGUCGAUGCUGAGACAUGAUUAGACAAUCCCCAAUCCCCUUUUCACUGGUACUGGACAGGACUUGACACUUCUAUUUCUUCCAAAGAAUUCCACUUUAAAAGACACAAUCUUACACUAUCAUGUCCAUAUCCUCACCAAAACUAUGCACCUUAUACUGUAUCACUUGUCUUUUGGCAUUACUUUGAUAAUGUUAGCUACAAUGCUUAGAAUAACUGCAACAAGAGCACAUGAUCCAGAAUUCUAGCUUUAGCCACCAGCGAGUGGCAACCACUAAUGAGUAAACAAUACAGAAAUUGGACAACACGGCUAUUGAAUCACCAACAUCUAGUUCUCCAACUUUGAACUCAUCUAUAAUUUUUUCCAUGAAGAACAAGGGCAUGGCAGCAUGAAGUUCAGGUAGGGGUUCUUCUCAAAUAGAUUCAAUGGUCAUCACUGAUAUGUUUCUUCACAAAAUGGUUAUUCUGAUAAUUAUAGACCGCCAUCUAAUAUUGCACAAAAACAAUAAAUAAUCACCUUUCUUCCAAUUACACGCAAUGCUUCUGAAUUUCUUUUCCGAUUUCGAUGUACUCCAUUACCAGAUUCAUGAUCUAUACCUCAUCAAAAUAGUGAAAUCGGGAAAAAUUCAAAUUGCCUAACGGUGGCAUGGCGUAUAAUGAAACUUAACCAUGCUGAGGUUGCUAUGUCGAUUGCCUGAUAAGAACUUCUGCUAAAUGCAGUAAAAAUUGAGCAAACGACAAUCACAUAGCCGGUUUAAAACUACAUAAACUAAGUUUUUGUUAUUUAACCUUAUUGAUUCUCAUGAAUCACAUGAUUAAUUAAGCACGUGAUUGUCAUGUGCUCAAUUUUAACCUCAUUUCAGCAACAAGUCCUCACAGGCUACCGAAACAGCAAAUUUGGGCUGGUAAAGUAUUACAGUCUUAACCAUGGCUAUUAAAGUGGCAAUACACACAGAGGUAUCAAACAUUUUCCAUUUCAAGGAAUAAAAUUUACAAAGCUAGAAAUAUAAAGUAGAUACAACAAAGAAUAGGAAUUGCAGAAACUUCUCUCAUGGGCUCAUUAGACGCAAGCAUCCAUCAUAGUAAGUUAGGAUAUUCCAGCUAAAAGAUCGAAAGGGCAAACGAAACACUAGAAAUAACACUCCAAUCUUCACAACGAAUCUUUUGGUCCGCCUUAUUCCGCAUUGUUACUGUUCUUUUUUUUCCCAUUCCAAACAAGAAUUCCAUGUAGUCGAAUGUAUUAAUAGGUGAACUUCUCAACCGAUCUUGCAAUGCAAUCACGCCAAAUACUAAAAGGCAUCUUCUUUAGAAACAUAUAGGCAAAAAAAAAAAGGUUCUCAUUUUUUUUUUUUUUCCUUUUUUCUCCUUCUGUUGCCAAAAAGCAAAUCCACUAUCCACCCUAACACUCUACUGCAUAGAAUUUGCUUUAAAAAAACAUAAAAAAUAAAAGAUGACAACAAUAUUAAACAAGGAUUUACUAUCAUUUUCCCUCUAUUGCGUGACAUCUACUUGGAGAUCCAGUGCUCACAAAACGUCACAAUUACCCAAACAAAUUCGUUCUAAAAGAACAAACAAAAAAGGGGGAAUUGAUUCAUAACCUGAAGCAAGGGGAAUCGGGAGGAGGGAUGUGGACCAGAUCGGAGGCCAAGGAGGCGAGAUGAUCGCACGACGAUCGAGCUUCGACCCAUCCCGAUUCGGCACCAUACAGCUCCCCCAACUCUUCCUCCUCCUCCUCCUGAGAUCGAGAUUUUAGGGUUAGGGUUUCAAAACUGGAGGAGAUGAGAAGUGUUAGGGUUUGAUUACGUACGAAUCGAGACGACGACGUGCCCUCGUUCGCCAUUAACGACAACGAACUGACGAAGUGCGCGGAGCUUCUGGGUUCAGAAAUUAAUAAGGAUUUUUAUUAGGGGUUUAAAAGUAAAGUUGAACAGUAAUUGCACAUAUAUACCUUACAGUUUUAAAAUUAUGAAUUUUUUCGUUGGAGUUACAAUUAUCAAAUACAUUCAUCUAAAAUUUUUUUUAAAAUAAUUUAUUAUUUUGAGCAAACUUGUAAAUUCCACCGUGAGAAUCCUUUUAAACGCAAUAUGCAGAGAAUAGGACUCAACGUUUUUUCGACAAAUCUUUUAAGGAAGCUUCUUAUUCUAGAUAAUCUUGUAAAAAGAUGUUAGACUCGCAACACAACUUGUGUGUUGUGUGGAGUUGAAGAGAAAAAUAUGAACCAUCUAUUUUUACGGUGUGUUUUUAUUUGAUUUCUUAUAGUGAUGUCCGUAGAGAAUGCCAAUAGUAGGGAUUUGGAUGGCGACGUGGUUUCUGUUUGGAAUAGGUGGAUGGUCGGGAAUGGACAACGACCACCUCAUGAUAGUUUGGCUGGUUUAAUAACUUGCUGCUCAGUUAUUUGGCAGGUUAGGAACGAUACGAUCUUUCGCAACAUCCGAUCAAACCCCAUGUUGUUAAUCUCCAAGAUGAAACUGUUGACGAACUCUUGGGAACAAGUCUUCUCUCGGUUAGCCGAGUCUAGUUUUUUAUUUUUGUUGUCAUGUGACUCAUGUCAUGUCGUGUUGUGUCGUAUCUCAUUGGAGGCCAAGAAUAUUUUACCGAUAUAGUUUAAUUCAUAUAUCCAAUGAUCUAAAAGCAAAAAAAAAAAUUUAUCUGACUAAUUAAUACUAGUCAAUUUAUUGCUAAUAUUUAAUAUUUAAUUAUUUAUUUUUAAAAUAUAAUUUUUCAAAUUAUUUUUUAAAAAAAGAUUAACAUUUACUGUUAGAAUAGAGACAAUGAUAAUAAAAAAAAUUAUUAAAAAAUACCUACUGAAAUCCAACUUAACUGAACAGAAAAAAAAUUAUAUAUAUUAUUCAAUUUUCUGCAAAAGUUUCAAAAUAUAUUUAAUAAUUAAAACUUUUGGGGAGUCUCUCUGUAAUUUUGAUAGUUUAGUGAUAUGCGCGCAAUUUACUUCUCAAAAGAGUAAAAACCGGAUCCGAUAUAAAACGGAUCCGUAACGAUGACCCACUCGUCGUUUGGAUCGGGUUAACUCCAAAUUAGGGUUUUUUUUGCUUCGCAUAUAAAUGCGAACCGAACCCUUCCCUCCGCCGCACUUUCCUCAUCCCCGAGAGUUCGAUUCUAGGGUUUUCUCUACGAUCCAGAGCGAGAAUUUAGUGAAAGAUGGGGCACUCUAAUGUAUGGAACUCCCACCCUAAGAACUAUGGCCCAGGAUCUCGAGUUUGGUAAGUGAAUCCUCGUCCCCAAUCUUCUUUUCUAUCGAUUCAUCGCCUAAUUAAUGUUCUUUUUUUCCCUGGAUCUCGAGUUUGGUAAGUGAAUCCUCGUCCCCAAUCUUCUUUUCUAUCGAUUCAUCGCCUAAUUAAUGUUCUUUUUUCUUUUCUUUUUUUUUUUUUUUCCUUUGGUGAUUCUAUAUGAUUUUAGAGUUAGGAAUCAUUGGAAACGCGGUGAAGUUGCGAACUUGGAGAUUUGUUAGGGCUUUGGGGUUGUUUGUGUGCUAUAUAGUUUAUGCCUUUGAAAUGUUUUAUAUUUUGUCUCUCGUGAUGUUAUAUUUAGAUAGAGCCAUAGGUGAUUAAGAACUUGCUUAAAAAAACCCCUUUUUUGGGAUUUUUUUGGUUCCGAUAUCGGGUUCUCCUGCACCUGAUAAUGUUUCCUUAAAUGAGAUAUCUCUUAUUGCAAAGUUUUUUUUUUAAAAAAAACCUUUUGAAAAAAAUCAUCUGGUUCUUUGUUGGAGUUUUUUUUAAAUAUGGAAUCUAAAGUCAUUAAAAAUCUUGUAAAAGGAAAAAGUGAAUUUGAUCAACUGGGAUUUUAUUUAAUAAGGUUUUAGUAUUGAGAAGCUAGCUGAACUAUACAUUUUUUCAGUUGAAUUGUUUGGUUUAGUCUUUUGAUUGUUAGAGUCUGCUUGGAUGCGUGAAUAUCUUGUUUGGCGUAUAUCUUUUGUGUACUCGAGGGUCGUAUGGUAAUAAAGUUGAUUUGGAGUGCAAAUACCUAUAUCUGCAAUUGCAUAGUAUAUAGUGCACUCUUUGAAACCAAUAGAAAGAGGGAAGGAAAAAAGAGAAAAGAAAAGGAGUAAAAGAAACUGAAUUUCUCUUCAGUUGUUUGGAUGCACAUAAAGAAAGAGAUGAUCUUUCUAUAAUUUGUUUUCUCUCUCACAAAGUUAACAGGAAACAUGCAAAAACAUUUCUUUCCUACUUGUCUUUCUCUCCUUUUCUCUCCUUCAAAGAGGGAGCUAGCGAAGGAGGUGAAUUUUGCAUCAAUGACUAUUUUUAACUUUUUCUCUCGUUGAUCUUGCGCCUUUUUUUUUCCUUUUUUUUUUUUUCUAUUCUGCAUGCAGCCGGGUUUGUGGGAACCCCCACGGAAUGAUUCGGAAGUAUGGGCUUAUGUGUUGCAGGCAGUGCUUCCGUAGCCAUGCCAAGGAUAUUGGCUUUAUUAAGGUAAAUAUCUAAUGAACCUUUUUUAUUCUGCUUAUGUGUGGAGGUUACUUCUUUUUUACUGUGUGGAUUAUACGUGGUGGAUAUGAAUCUUUAGCAAGAUCGAGUGCCCUCCGACAGUUGGUAUGAUGUUUUGAACUUGUUAAAUUGUCUGCUGUUAUAAAUGGCCAGAAACCUUGAUAUUUUUGAACCUGACUAAAUCUGAAACUGAACUGUAUCAUCUGGAGUGGUUUUUUAUCAGCUUUUUUAACUAUAUUGGAUUCAAUUUACGCCAAUGAUGUUUAUGGCUUAGCAACCCUGCAAGUUUGUAUGACUACUUGUAGAUGAAUGAUUUUCAGGCAACAAGAUUCUUUUUCACACUGAUUUAUCCAUUUUUCGUGCCGUAAUAGUUAACAUAUGUGGUGUCUAUUAGAGUAAAAGGAGAGUAGCUAGUGCGAAACCGCAGUAUUGUCCCAGUGCAUCGGGUCUGCCCCCAAUCUGGGUUUUGUGGAAUCUCAGAUGCGCAAAAUUUGCUCUUGAACUUCCAUUUUGUUCCUUAGUUAUAAUUGGACCAAAUGAUGAACUACUAACUGAUCAUGUUUUGUAUCUCAAUGGUCACGUGCACCAUUUCAAAAUUUAAUAUAUGCUGUAGCUAUCUCACUGGUGAUAUUAUAGAACAAAGAUAUAAAUGUUACCCUUGAUAAGUAUUGUGGCCUGGGCCAAUUAAUCCUUUUGGAAAUUUUAGAUCAGUGCAAGUAGUAAUCCUGCUGCUUUCAAUCCUAUAUUACUUUUCCACUAUUUUUCUGUCCUUUGCCUUGAAAUUUCCUUUUUAGCAGAGGUAAUGUGAGCAAGAACUGAACUUUUAUGGCUUUUUCUUUUUUAUAGUACCGCUGAGCAUAGUUCGCGGUGAUUACCAUCAACUGGACAUGUGGUUUAAUGGGAAAUCAAGAGUGGAUUCGUCAUCUUUCGGAAGAUUGUCUACAAUAUUUAGCAAUGCCAUGUUAGUUUUCAUUGACGUUUUAUAUUUAAUUAUGUAAUGGAUCAAGUACCUGUAAGAUGUGGUUGCAGAAUCUAAUUUCUUCGUGGUUUAGUGUCAAUUGUGUCAUGGAUGAAAGUUUCACAUGUGCACCUUUCUUUUUCCUAGUGCUACUGCUGCCCGUUCCUUCAUCCUUGAUUUGUUUCGCCAAUACUUUUUAUUUGAUUGUUGUUUAGGUAGUGCGGUCCAAUCGUAUUUAGAUAUCCUGUGUUGGAUUUCAUCAUAUUAAUCUUAGUAACACCAAUAAGUGAUGUUGUUUUAUACAUCAACAUGCCAUUUUGGUGGGCCGCUAUGAACCACACACUGCCCCCCUACUUAGUUGUUUUAUACAUCAACAUGCCAUUUUGGGCUGCUAUGACACCCCCUGGCGAGUCGUAUUUUGCUUGCUUUGAUAUUAAUCACUUCUACUUCUCAUGGUGGUACUAUAUCAUUAUUUCUUAAAUUCUGUUUCUGCUGUUGAUUCAAGUGUUCACGAAUUUUCGAUGCAGCCUCAGUCUUAGUUGUUAUUGCAAACAGAUUUUCAAAACAAAUGCUUGACGUUAGAUUUCAUUGCUGGAGGUGUUGGAAUUCAAAUCAGUCAGUAAUAUAAGGAAAGCUUCAGAUAUGUGAAACAAAGCUAUUAUUUUGCUUUCUUUUCUUAUCUGAAUUAUACAUGAUUGUUAUACGCGAGAGACAGAUACGGAGAAAAGAAAAGAGGAGUUUGAUUGAAGAAAAAAGAAAAGAGAAAGGGAAAAAAGGGAAAGGGAAAGAAACUGUUGAAAUGAGACCAUUUUUUCUAUGGUUUAUUAUUAAGUAAAACUAGGGAGAUUGGAGGACCAAUAAGCGUAAAUGUUGCUGAUGAAUCAAUUUUUAUAUGUUGCUUUUAAUAAUAGGUUUAGCUUUUUAAACUUAAACCAUGAAGCUUGGUAAAACACUAAUUUUGAAAAGCUGAACUGUUCACUAGAUAGUAGAUAUUCCAGGAUAGAGUCUGAUGCAGAUGAAUCAUUGCUUAUCUUGUAAACCUCUAUUUUUUUUUUUUUUUUUUUUUUUUUGUUCUCUUUUCUCUCCUUUGAUUGCUAAACUAUAGUGUGAUUCCCUUUUCUAUGUAUCUAUCCAUCUCUGUUAUUCUCACAUUUUAAUUAACAAAUCAAAUGUACAAAUCUGUCAAUUUGUCAUUCAUCAACAGGUGAUGUUCUGAUUCUCGAAUCUUCUUUCUUUAGCAACACAUCUUGGAUGUAGAUGCUUAAAAAGAUGCUCAAUUAAACGGAUAAAAUAUCGGCAAAAGUCACAAAUUUGACCCAAAAAGAGAGAGGAACUAGUCAAGUGCGUGUUAUUGCUCGUGUGUGGUGUCACUAAAAAGAAAAGGCUAAUGUGAUUAUAGUUUCCGGAUCGCAGAAACCCCCUCCGACCUGUGAUCGGGAUCGCACAUACCAAUUUGUGUUGGGUUCUCGAUUCAGAAUACAAAAAAAUGGCGAAUUGGAAUCAUAGAGAAGCACCUCAAUUUUCUAAAUCUAAAUCAUAUUUCAGAAUAACGUUCCGACUAUUCCAUUCCAAGCAACAUUAAAUGUGAUUAUCUGGAAGGAGACUUGAAACCUACUAAAGAAACACCUAUCAACAACCUCCCUGAGUUAACCUCAUCAUAACAUGUUUUCUUUUCUCUUAAGCUAAUCUCAACAUUGGUGUUGUCGACUCUUUUCCUUCCUUUUCUUUUUACGAUUCUUUUAUAGUAAAUUGCACUACAAGCCCCUUAAACUUUUGCUUUUCGGUUUUUGAUUUUGAAAUCAUGAGCUUUUAAUAUUUUAGUGCUGAACUUUUUAAAAUUAUUUCUUCUUAGUCCGCACAUUAGAAUAAAAACUAUUUUCUGCACGUAGUUCAUCUGACACGGUGGACACCGGAAUUGUCGAUAAAUGUAUAAGUGUAGAUAAUAAUUUAUCGAGUAAGUAACGGUAAACACACAAAAGGACUAAAACAAAACUCUCAUUAGAAGAGUGAGCUAGGGCCUCAAACUUUUGAGCAUAAACUUAGCAGAAAGAAGUUCAGGGACUUAGCAGUACAAUCCAACCCAUUUUUGGUAGAUUGCUGUCCUGCUGAAUGAAGAAGUCAGAAGCACUUUGAGAUGCCACAGCUUUCCUACCAUCCCUUCUGCACACUCUCAUUUCACUAUCAACUAGGGAAGAGUGGAGUGGGGUUUGUAGCCCAUAUCAUAUCUUAUCUUUGUCCAUUGAUUCCUCUUUCCCAUAAUAGUGAAUGGAGUGUGCAGCAAAAAGGGGGUGCUUUCAUAAACAGAGCCCAGGCAAAAUCAUGCUCCUUAAGCUAACACCCACUUUUGAGUGCUGGGCCAUGUAAGGUACUUAGCUAGCAAACCUUCUCAGUGGGACAUGACAUAAUUAGGAUUGAAUAGUAAGUCUCAAGUGAGAAAUUUUCUUUUUCUUUUUAAAGGAUGCAUUUGGAUUCACAAAUCUCUCGAUCCAACGUAACUCAAGUACAGUGAUGUUUGAGUUUUUCUGAAGUGUGAUUAUUUUUUUACUGUUUGGUUUGAUGUGACUUGCACAACCUGAAAGUUGAAUUCAAUCACUUUUUCUGUUUGUUUUGCUGUAACUUGAUACUGGUGAAAUUAGUUUUUUGAGUUUUAUUAUUUAUUUUGAUAUAAGUAAGUGGAUCCUAUUACCUCCUAAGUAUAAUGGUAAACUUAUCCAUAUAAAAUCAAACCUAUUAAAUAAUUAAAUUUCUCAUUAUUGUUUAAAAGUAAUCUUAAAUCCAUUGCAAAGAAAAGUAACUCUAACCCAUUCUAAAGAAAGUAGAGUUUAAGUUUUAAUAUUUAAUAAUUUUUUUAGAGAAAGAUGAGUAUGGUGGAACUUGAGUUCGAUACUUUAGAGGGAGAACUUAAGAGUAGAUAAAGUAGAGGUUGUAGCUUGCGUUAUAUUAUAUUUUUCAACUUACAAUAAAACAAAUAUUAGAAAUGAUGGAACUUGAAUUGCACCCCUUCACUUACACCAAAACAAACAGCUCCUUACCGCUUGGAUUGGGGAUAAGGGGUGGAAUAACCCCUUAUUCCCUCUUUAUACCCAAAUGCUAAUUUUUUAUCCGAAAAUAAUAGUCUCGGGUACCUGAAAUAAACUGGUAUAACUAUUCUCACCAACACCUUCAUUUUCUAUAUAUAACUACUCACUAUUUUUCUUAUUCCAUAUUAUCUAUCCAAACGUUAUUUUUCUUAUUUCCGGAAACAAUCCCAAUUUUCAUCCAAACGCUAUUUUUCUUAUCCCCAUAUUUAUACCUAUCCCUGUAAUAGCUACUUCUUGCAGGAAGAGAGGACCAGCCAUAGAAAAAAUUAGAAGCCAAUACGAUUUAAUGAUUUUCUACUUUCCUGGUUGAUCUUCUUGUUUCUUACAGAUUAAAAGAGGAAAGCAUAAUUUCUAUGACACUUAACAAAAUAUAGUGGGAGAAUAAAUAAAAAAUUCCUAGGUAUAUAUGAUCAAAAUGACAAGUUGGAUUUUCUUUUUCACAUGAAAAAAAAAAGAAAAAAAAAAACCUGCAGCUAUUAUUUGUUGUCCAUAAUUGCUUGCAUGCCUGCCGUGUUCUGAGAAAACUUGUUGUCCAUUAAUUCUCAGAAGCCAUUCAGUGGAAUUAAUUAUAUUUUUUUGUCUGUUGCAGGAAUAUGUUCAAAGUUUCCAUAAAAAAUAUGACCAAAGUGCUUAGUUUCUAUGCAUGUAACUAAAAUACAAAUGUUGAUGCAAUCCAAAUACUAUGAUGAGACCUAGAGAUCUUAAUCUUUCCUUUGGAUUCAUUCAAUUCUGUGAGCUCAACUUCAAUAGAAGUUUUUUGGAUGAUAACUAUAAUGAGUUCUUUAAUUAUAAUUAUAUCCCUAAAAUGCUUGUGAGUGAGGAUUCCAAUGGCAUGCUUUAAAUGCAUGCAUGCUUUGGAUUUUACUGAUUAAUGCUAUACCCAUUUCCAUUGUUUGUAUCACUUUUGUAAUUGUUAUUAGAGAAUUAACAAAAAAAAUGUCACAUCAGUGUAUGUGAAAUGUUAUUAAAAAGAUUGCAUAUGAGCAAAGCAUUUUUCUAUACGUCUAAAUCUGACGCGAGAAAUAAAUGAUAUACUCGUAUUCUUGUAUAGUAUUCUCCUCUAGAUUUCGAAGAAUAGUUUGCUUUUGAGCGCUAGAUUUACUCUACUCAGAAGCUCUAGAUUCAUCAUUUGCGACACUGAACUUUACGAAACUAGGCCAAACAAGCACUUAAUAAGUCGAACGCACACACAUGCGUGACGUUUCGCUUUGCACCAGUAAAGGAAAGGUUCGAAAGAAUAAAAGUAGAUGCGUUGUGCCUAUCUAUAAGAGGUUUCGACUUCGACCCCACAUACAAAAGAAAAAAAGAAAAAUGUAGAAAAGAGAGGAAGAGGAGCAGAACCUCCUUGGAAGCAAAGGGUAAGAGCUUAGCGUGCAAAUAAAAACAGUUUUUUUUCACGCUAAAGCUGAUUAUUUUUUGCACAUUUUUUAUUUUUGCUGAUCGCAGUUAUUCGCGAAUGAAGCAUUAAAUGCAGAUGAUUACGCGCGAAGAACAAGUGUUAAUCGUUAGCUUCGUCGAAAGCUAAGGUACUCGACUAUAAAACUGUAUCUUUUCAUUGUUAAUGCCUAUUCUUAAGUUCAUGCUCUUAUUACUCAUUUUCACUUUGUUUUCUAAACAUGCAACUUAAUUACAUUCUAGUUGAUUAAAUUUGUGAGAUGAAUUAAUGCGCAGUAAUUGAAUAUUUUGUUAUCCAAAUUAAGCGAACUAUUCGUUUACCAAUGUUUUUUUUUUCGAUUUUUUCGCUUUCUAUUCUACAUAAACAAGCAAGAUAUAUAUUCUACUGUUUUGCGGUGCUUUAAUUAGAGAGAUAAUCCAAAAAAUUAACUAAUAAGCAGGAAUUAAUAAGUUUUGUUUAUGCUCCAUCAUCCAUGGUAGUUAUAAUAAUAAGUUUUGAUUUUGAUAAAAAUUUCUUUUCAAAAGUGAUUAGGAAACAAAUAGGUUACAGUUAAUUUAAUUUGGACCAAAUGGAAUAAAGCUUAAUAAUUGCUUCGCACUUUAUUAAUUCAAUUUAUCUUAUACUGUUAAUUAUCUAGGCCAUUAGUUGUAAAAUGUAACAAUAUGUUUCCUUUUUUUUUUUUUUUUUUGAAGUUUUCCCAAAUUUUAAAGCAUAAUGUUUAAAUUGAUACGUAAUCAUUAUAAAAUACCAAGUAAUGAGAAAUUUGUAGUUAAAUAUGUAUAUAUUUAUAUUCUAUUUCAUUAUUAUCAUAUUUUGUGGGGCUAUUGAAUUAGAUCAAAUUGGCUUUUCAGAGAGUACAUAAAACUAGUAGCUAGGUAUUGCCUCCUUGUUACGUUUACUGUCCCUAUCCAACCAAAUUUAUAUUCGCAAACGCUAACUCGGUCCACGAAUCAAUUCCCAUUUCUUGGAUUUCAUUUUUGGGCUAAUCAAAUUCAAAUCUACUUAAACUAUGCUUCAUCUGUUGAAAAUAAAUAUUUGAAAAAUCGAUAGUUUUUUUUUUUUUUGCUACCUGUUUUGUUUUGUUUUUUUUUAAAAUAAACUUAGUUAGAAAUGUAAAUCAAAUAGACUUCGGCUUUUUUGGAAUUGCGGGGAGAUUGCGUUACGUGCAGUGAGGAAGUGCGAUGAAAAAAUAUUCUAUUUGUUUCCGUACGUAUGUUUCGCAUAUCGCGAUUAAUCGGUAUUAACUAUCAAGUCCUUUGUUAUAUGCACUAAAAAACGGUUGAUUUUUUGAGAAUAAUAAUUAUUUUACAUAAUUUAAUAAGAAUCACAACAAGAUAUACUGAGUUCGUAUCUUAAUUACCAUACUUUUUAGUCUUAUUUAACUAUCCAGCUCUUUUAGCUGCCGCUGAACGCUGAAACCCUAAUUUGAUCCAUGUCGAACUUGAUAAAAAUCGAGUCGGAUUAGCCUGAUCGAGUUUCGUAUUAGAUUUAAUCCACCCUUAAUUACAUUCUGUCGAACAAGCCACCUAAUUUAUGAAUUGAUUACUGGACCUGACUUUAAGUCGACUCAUCGACAUCAAUCGAGCCAAUCGGAUCAAUUUGGGGUCGAAUUAAGUGGAUUAGGCUCGAAUUUGUUCCACUUCAGAGUUUGCGCCUAUUGCAUGUUAGUUUGCUUGUGUUCGGGUCGUUUAAUUAAUUCAACCCAGAAUUGUUCCACUUCAGUUCUAAACGAUCCGAACACGGGCUAGAUACGAGAUUAAGCUUGAAAAUAAACUUGAGCUGCUCAUGAGUGGCUCCUACUAGUUCGUCGUAGGAAAGAGGUUUCACGACAUUUAUUUAUAUGAUCAUACUUCUUAAUCUCAUGAGAAUAUUUUUGUACUGAAUAAGUUCUUAAUAGAAAUCUUAUUCUGACGUAUUGUGCUAAAUGAACCAAUCGAUUAAAACUAAACAAAUCCUAUAGUUUCAUUAGAGAACGUCCCACUCUUGCAGCAGUCGGACUUGCAUUCUGUGCGAUACGGUGUGCAGAAAAGUUUCGUGCAUACCUAUCCAUCAGUACUGAGAUGCAUCUAAGCUGGCAAUAUCGGAUAGCUCGAAUAUAUUCUGCCGCUGACUAUAAUAAAGUUAUUAAAUUAGGUUGAUUGUUUCUGCACAGAUCCAAAAAUAUUUAAAAAGAAAAAUUGGGUUUUAGCUAGCUAGGUGGUCCUGUUAAUUCGGCCUAGCCGUGUAAUGCAUGCAUGUGCAAUUGAUCUAAUGGGUCCCCUUAGAAUGGAGUUGCUCUCUACAGGGCUUGGUGCUUAGGGCCCCUUCGGUAUCGAGAUCCAUCUACUGUUAAUAGAUAAAAUUAAUUAAGUUGGGACGAAGCAGAUAGAGAAAUGCUUUUGCGUUUUUUUAUAGAAACUACAGAAAAUAUAUUAUAAUCGACUUACUAUUAUAUACGAAAAUAAAUAUGAUAUUUUUUUUUAUAACGCAAUUUUUCUACAGUCCUAAACAGAGCCUUAAGCUCUUGUUACGUUAGUAAACUUUUCCUUUUCAUAGGAUUUGUUUAUAUGCAAGAGAAUUGUGGUCCUAAAUUAAUUAGGUUUUAAAUAGGUGGUUCAAUUUGAUUAAUGACGUAUUAACCGCCGCAUAUAUGUGUCGUGCCGCCUUUUCUUUUCCUAAUUUGGAAAUGGGGUUUGAUGCAAUUUUAGGAUACUUAAAAAAAUAUUAAGCACUUCAAUAUUUUCCUUUUUGACACUAUAAAAUGGUUGUAUACAUGACCUGAAUGUUAGAAAUAUACUGUACUGAAAAUUCGAUCGUGAUUAAAAUCUAAUUAAUUUUGUGAUAAAGAUAAAGACGAAUGUAUAGAUAAACGCAAUUAUCCAAAUAAAAACGUGACCUUAACGGGAAGCAAAUUAGAUUGUAUUGGAAUAAAAUGAAAUGACGAAUCAUCCAAAGAUUUUUAUUUUGUUAUUAGUAUGAAAACUGGAAUGGACAGUUACGAUUUUGAGAGAGGGUUUUGGUUGAGAGAGGAGAGUGAUGAAGAGAGAGAAGAGAGAGGCGUUUGUGAGAUAGGAUUUUGAGUUGUUUACUUUAGAAUGAGCCCGUCGAAGAUUCAAAGCAAGAUUGGAUCAUCCCAUUCCAAUCCCAUUCCAGGGUGAAAUAAGAAUUAGAAUUUGAUUCCUUUAAAACAAAUAACAACUAUUAUAAUUAAUGAAUCCAAGAACUCAUGGCUCAGUUUGAACCUCUGAACUUUAGGAUAGUCCUAUGGAUAACAACCAACUGCAUUGAGUAAGGAUGAGAGAGAGAGAGAUAGUGGUUUGAUAGUUAAGUUCCUUCUAUUUAUGAAAAGUAAGGAUUUUUAUUAUGGUAGCGCAAACAAGUGUUUAGGCAUCCAAUGUUACUUUUUUUUUGAGAAAAAUAGCAUAUUACAGCUUCAUUUAAUUAGAAAAUAAACUGAACUAUAGAUUAAGGCAACCUGGGCCUCGAAAAAAAAGGAAAAAGAAAAAAGGACAAAGGAAAAGAAGAUUACAUGCAAAAACGUUCCCAUGAAUCAAACCAAGAAUAAUUAAGAUAAAUCUGAUUAAAGUAGAAGAAGACAUUUCUCACUAGUUUACUGUUUUGUUGUUGUUGCUGUUGUUGUUGUUGUUGUUGUUAACUUGUUAUGCAUCAUCUUCUUUAAUGCUUAAUGUGCCUACUCUACCUUUUCGACUUGUCAUUUAUCAUCUAACUAAUUACUUGCACUUAAUUUUAAGUCCAAUUGAAACAGGAAUUUGGUUGGUCUUUCUAAAUUUCUUACUUACUAUUAAUUGGGGCCUUUUUAAAGGAUCUCUUGGUAUCCUAUUAAGUUAAUUUUCUUUAGAUAUUUGGAACCAAUUUGUGUUAAAAAUAGAUGAAAUGAAGCAUGCGUAGAACCUAAGAAAAGAACACAAUAAAUCAAAGGGACAAAGAUAUAUAUCUAGGUAGGUAUAUAUCCCUAGUAGAAUGUUCCCUUGUACGUUCCCUUCUUAUUAAGGUUACAGCAUGAAAGUGCAUUCCCAACUAAUUAUAUAAUAAAUCAUUAUUGUUCAUGUAAUGCUUCUUCUAGUCUAGGAUAUUAAUUACUACCUAUAGUACGUGUGUGUGGCUCUUAGCUAGGGAGAAAUUAUUACUAGAUGUGUGCAACUACAUUAUCAUGAAUCACACCAACUAAAUUAAAUGCAAUAUAUAUACCUCUCAAAUUGUACGCAUACGUAGAAUUAGAAAGUUUUUUAUUUAUUGACUAGAUCAAUGUGGAACCUGUGUUCAGUCUAGUUUAUGCAUAUCAAUCUCGUAAAUCAUAUGGAUGUUAUGAUUUUAUGUGCACAUAACUGUGCGUGGACAUGGCAAAAUUUUUUAGGAUCUAUAUAUUUUUCUCUCUAUUUUUUUGCUUGAUCUAUGCAACGAUCAAAAAAACUUAUUUUUCUAGUCUAAUUCUAUGAAAUAACUGAUUAUUUUGAAAGUUUAAACUAUUGAAGAAUAAUACUUCUAAUAUUUUAUACUUAAUAUUAAUUCUCCUUCACAUCAGGGUUAAUCGCGAUUUGAGAUUUUCUUUGUAAUAGGCCCAAGAAGCAGAUUUAAAAAAUGAGUGAAAGUAUACAGGAUUAAAGAGUUCUACAAUAUUCAAAUUUAAAAUUUUUUUAUUCUGAUAUGAGGUGAAAAAAUGUUAAAUUAUGCGAAACAAUUGUUGCUUUCCAAAAGUUUAAACUAUUGGAGACGUUUUUAAUGUCUAUAUUCAACACUUACAUCUACGCUUAAAACUUCUUGAUGCUUUAAGAGGUAGACUUGAAUUAAAUGGAAAUACCAUAUCAAAUUAUAGGAUCAAGAAGUGGCUUGAACUAAAAUGGGAAUGUCAUGUCAAAUUAUAUGGUAUAAUUAUUGUUCUUUAAAAGCUUAAACUAGUAGAGAACAGUAUUUUUAAUGUUAUAUUUAACACUUUUAUUCUUGUCGUGACUCAAGACAUUUUAAUAAACUCAAGACAUGAACUUAAAUUAAACGGGAGGAAAAUAAAUAAUGCUAAGAACUUGGUAAGAUUCGAAGUGUUUUUAAUAUUUAUAUUUAACUCUUUCACUCGUGGCCGGACUUGAGACAUUUUGAUAGGCCUAUGACAUGAACUUUAAUUAAAUUGAAGAAAAUUAAAUAAUGUUAAGAACCUAGCAAGAUUUGAAGUGUUUUUAAUAUUUAUAUUUAACAUUCUCCCUCACAUCUGAACUCGAAAUAUUUUAAUAAACCCAAGACAAUGACUUGAAUUAAAUGAGAGGAAAAUAAAUAGAGGACUUGAACUAAUGAGAGGAAAAUAAAUAAUGCUAAGAACCUUGCAAGAUUCUAACUUAUGACGUUUAGCUCUGAUAAUAUGUUAAAUUAUAUAAAAGACCAUUUUUCUCCGAAAGCUUAUACUGCCAAAAAAUGAUAUUUUUAAUAUCUAUAUUUAUGCACAACAAUUGUUAUUUUUCAAAAUAUUAAGCUAUUAGAGAAUAAUAUUUUAAUAUUUAUAUCUAACACUCUUCCUAAAUGUUGACUUGAAUUAAAUGAAAAAAAAAAUUAUGUUAGGGGCUUGGCGGGACGCAAAGUCAAAAUCUCCUCUGAAAGAAUAAGUUGUCAGAGAACAUUAUUUUUAAUAAUUAUAUUUAACAAAAGAUCUAUUACUUUAAAAUCUUAAGUUACUAGAGAAUGAUAUUUUUAAUAUUUAAUAUCCAACAAGUCAGUUUUACCAUGCCUUAAAAAAAUGAUGAUGAUUUUCCUCCUGAAGCCAAUUGUGUAUGUUAAUCCUAGUCUCAAUCAACAAACUCCAACUAUAUAUAUAUAAUGCAUCACUUUAACCUACCCCUUAGUUAAAAUGCCACUAUCACAAUUAAUUGAGCUCCUAUAUUAAUGAUCAUUCUUAUUUAUGAAAUGAUUUUGAUGAAAAUCUACUUAACUUCCUGAAGAAAUUUCAAGCAACAUUAAGUGGGUGAAUUAAGAUGGUAAUUAAGCAACCUAUAUUGAAAUUGAAAUGCAGUUAAUCUCCUCUCUCUUUAUUCUCUUUUGCUAGCUUAGAAAGGAAGCAACAAAACUACUUGAAAAUAUUUAAUUAGGUGGCUUAAUUUGUGUGAUUAAGAUUUGUGAACAAAAACUCUAUUUGCAGAUCACUUGAGCAUGCAGAGUACUGAGGUAUCAACCACAAAGAGAGGAAAUUAUGGGAAAUAAAUUAAAUGCAAAUACUUAUUAACUUUAAUGCUCACAUAAAUUAGUUUCUUCAAUAAGAGAAAUGUUAUCUAUGAUUGAAUCCUUAACCUGGACCAUUAAUUAAUUUCAUGCACGUACUAUCUCUCACUUAAAUUUCUCUACCAGACACUUUGACUUAAAUGCUUCAUAUGUACAUGAGAAAAUGACCAAAGAAAUGGAGCAAAUUUGCAUGAUAGUAACAAAAAAUAAAAAGAAGAAUAAAAUGGUGCAAAAUUAAUUGUUCUUCACAAGAAUUGAAAUAAAACAACAAAAAUAUGUAUGCUAUAAAAUAGAAGAUAUACAUAAAUAGACGAAAAUGUAUGAACAAAUUCAAAUAUUGAACUUGAAACCUCUCAAAGUGGAAAACGCUUAUGACCGUCUCUGAUACCAUACUAUCAAAAAAUCAAUAUAGUAAACAACAAUUCAGGAUUAAUUAGUUUGUAGUUUCCAAAAAGAAAAAUGAAAAAGGAUAUGACAAACAAAAUAGAAAAACAAUUUAAUUCAAGGAUCCAACUCUUACUGUUAUAUAUAGAAAUUAAAAAGCUAUUGAAGAUAUUUAAUUUUUUUGGAAAAAAACUGUUAAUGCCUCAACUUAAUGGAUUUGUAACUAUCCAAGACUAUAUAUAGGGCAAUAGAAAAAUUAAAUUGGCCCACUUAAGUGCAUUUUCACUUAGAUCUCUUGUCCUAAAUUCGAUUAAUUAUAUAAUAACUUGAACUUAAUUAACUAAGCAAUGGAUUAAUAAAUUAAACUCUUCAAUAUCGUGUUUUCUAAGGAUUGGAGUGUAGAUCACCUUCUAGCAAAGCUUACCCCCAUCAACUUAACUCAAGGUGGUGGCAUAAUUGCAUAAAUGGACCACGGUUAUACGUGACAUUAUUAAUAGAAAGAGACAACAGUGAUAUGUGAAUUAUUAACGGAAAUAAUUAAUUUUGAUGUUAAUAUAUGAAUUUCUUGAAUCCAGUCGCUGUUUAUUUAACAAAUUUCAUGUAUUAAUGUCAAUGAGUCACUCUUAUUGCUUAGAGAGGUCAAAAUCUUGUAUUGUAGCGGUAGGUCAGGUUAGGUCAAAUUGUGUUUAAAAUAAUAUUGAGUUACGAUCGAGAUCAGUAGGUGUUAUUCUUGUACACUUUUAAUGAAUUAAUUAUAUAAUUCUAAUAGCUCGACGUUUUAGAAUUAACCCUAUAAAUAAUAUCAUUUUUGUUAUAAAAUUGUUUAUUUUAUUUUUUCUUUUUAAACAAGAAGUUGGUUCGGUAUCUCUAGUACAAAAAUAAGGCAUUUAUCAGUAAACUGAUAAUAUAUUAUACUAUUUGACCAUAAUCUAAGAAUAGGAGUAAAACUGAUUUCACCAUAAUCUAAGAAUAGGAGUAAGAUUAGCUUUGGUUCUUUAUCUAAGACUUAAUUUGGCAGUCCCUCCACGUUGUUUUCUCCAUGUCCUUUUAUUAAUUAAUUAAUUAAUAUUAUAUUACUGUUUCCUCAAAUUUGUAUAUUAAAUUUUUUCUAAAAAUCAUUUUCUCCUCAACUUUGUACUGUUUCUCUCUCUCUCUCGCUCUCUCUUCCCUCUCCAGCAACGGUAUUAUGAGUAGCCGUCUCCCUAGACCGGUUGUACGCACGUCAUCAUCCGGUUUUUAUGCUGCGCCGGACGACGUGUCGCGGAUUGAUUAGUCGGGUCUACUGGACCAGGUACGAGAAUUACAUUGACCGGCCUCUAACAUGGCCUAUUCCUUCGCCAUCACCCUUCUCUUUGUUAACACAUAAAUCCCAAAAUAUAGUAAUAAGUGUUUGUAGACCAAAUCCCAAUUCCGAAUCUCUCCUCCUGUGUAUGUAAAGUAAAACACACUCGCUAGUCGCUCACUCACGCGCCCCAAAAACCAAUAUCGUAUUUUAGCAAAUUAACUCGUCUAGAUACUACAAAAAUAUCCCACUAAUUCAACCCAAAAAUAAGGGAACAACACUCUCUAAACAUAAACAUAUUAUACACUCUCUCUAUCUCCUCACUCCUCAAGUUUCUCUACUUCCUCAAACAACAGCAGUAGUAGAAGAAGCGACCCUAAGCGAAGGGAGAAAGAGGAAGCGCUUCCGGUGAGAUUACCGCCCCCAUCUUUUGAAACGUAUUUGGGAACGAGAAGACGAUAAUAUAGCUCGAGCUCGAGAUCGAGAUCUCGCCACCGACAAUGGUGGCCGCCGCCGCCGGGGUGAAUCCGCAGCGCCCACCGCUGAUCCCGUCGGAGAAGGACAAUGCCGGCGCCGCCGCGCUCCCAAACGCGCGGCGCCGCAGCGCUAAGGAGGUCACCUCCCGCUACCUCUCCUCCUCCUCCUCCUCGUCCUCUUUGACCUCCACCUCCACCUCCACCUCGACCUCGUACUCUUCUUCUUCUUCUUCGACCUUUACCACCACCUCGACCUCGCGGCGCUUCCCCUCCCCGCUCGCCGCCGCGCGGCCCUCGACCCCCUCGCCCGGAGCCUCGACUGCUCCCUCGACCGGAAAGACUCCAUCUUGGCCACCGUCCACCUGCUGCAGCGCUCCAUGGUGCUCGACGACCCCACCCGGCGCGCCUCCUUCGACGCCGCCGAGCUCUCCGCUUCCUCCGAUACGGAGAGCGUCUCCUCCGGGAGCAAUUCGGACCUCGCCACACCCGCUCGAUCGAAAGCCCCGCCCCGGGGGAUCAUCGUCCCCGCGCGGUUCUGGCAGGAGACGAACAGCCGCCUCCGCCGCUUGCCCGAGCCCGGAACGCCUCUGCCCACGAAACCAGGGCUUGCUUCGCCGCCCGGUAACCGCAUGCCUUCUCCGGCGAGAGGGAUGACCAGCCCUUUGAGGGCGCGGGGCGGCUCCGUUCCAGUUAUUCAGCUGGCGAAUGCGCCUUCUAUAAUAAGCUUCGCGGUGGAAGUGAGGAGGGCGAAGAGAGGGGAGAACCGGAUAGAGGAGGCGCACGCGUUGCGGCUACUGGAUAAUCGGCAUUUGCAGUGGCGGUACGCGAACGCGAGGGCCGAUGCCGUGCUUCUGGCGCAGAGAUUGGCCACAGAGGUAACUGAUUGCUAAUAAUGCUAUUGCUGUUGGUGUAUUUCAAAUUCAGAUGUUCACAGAAAUUGCUUAGUUCAACAUAUAAUUUGACUUAUUUCGUUUGCACCUUUGAUUUGUAGAGGAAACAUCAUACUUGCUUCCCAUUUCGUAAUUCUUUUACUCGGGUUUAUAAAACCAUAAUUUGUUAGUGCAUCGCCUGAUCUUCGGUAUGUCUCUUGAUUCGAUGAUCAUGCAAAUUUGGAAUUGUAGCAACUUGUUAUAUUUGGCUUUGUCGUAAUUCGUUAUCUUUCAUAUUGCUUAAUGAAACUUAGAAGGUAUCCUGCAAUAAGAUAACGAUUGCUAACUUGCUUAAUAAUUGCAUGCUGCAUCUGGAUAUCCUGUGUCAUUUUCUUGUUAGCGGCUACUUAAAUCUGUAACGGCAGCGACCAUCAUAUGCUCAUUAAUUUCUUCGUUUAGAAGUGCCAUUAUGAUUAAAUUUGGGUUCAACUAGGAGUGGCAUGCAAGUCUUAAGCUCUGGCCACCUUCAAUGUUGACGAAGUAAUCAAACAAUUUUGUGAAGUAGGAAACCAAAAAAUUGUCAAAACAGAGAACCGUGCAUGCAAAGCUUACAGUUGCUAAAACAAGUAUCACAACACUGCUCCAAUCUUGCCAGGGUUCUUCUGGGUCUCUCUCUCUCUCUCUCUCUCUCUCUCUCUCUCUCUCUCUCUCUCUCGUUCGCUUGCGUGCGCAUGCGUAUUGGGCUUGUGGGAGGAUCUUAUUGUCAUUUUCUGUAUCAAGAUUUUUUGGUCAUUUUUAUCUGAGAUGUGUAGCACUAAGUGCUCUAACCUGCAUUUGUUGAUUAGUCUAUUAACACUGGUCACUUUGAAGAUAGCUUGUGCUUGUACACAAUUUUAGGGUUGUUUGAAAACCCAGGUGCUAAUAUUCUUUCAUACACGCCAUAUAUUUCUAAGAUUUAUCUUUGAGCACUCUGGUGGAUGGCUCUUUGUUUAGCUAUUAUUUUUGGUAGUGAUUUGCAUCCACACUUGAGAAAAUUGAUUGUUUUUCUUUAUUUUGUCUCAGAAAUAUGCUUAUGAUCUUAUCUACUGAUACUUGUUUUAUUGUUGUCAGAAAAAUUUGUAUAAUGCGCGGAUAAGUAUCUCAGAAUUGCGUAACUCUAUCACUGCCAAGCGUAUUAAGCUCCAACAUCUGAGACAAUGUAUUAAACUAAGUACAGUUCUCAAAGGACAAGUAAGUUCUCUCGUCGUUUCUUUAUUUACCAGUUAUAUCUACAGUUACUCCAUUUCACCAUUUCUUAGUAAUUUUGCUCUGGAGUACAACAAUGAUAUUGGACAAAUAGCUAAAUAUGUAUAAGGUUUCAGAAUUCCAGUAAAUGCUUUCUUAUUUACCUAGAUAGCAAAACACAUUAAGAAAAUAAUUUGCGAAGGCCUAAGUUAUAGUGAUAAAUACAAACUGUUCAGGGCUAGAAAGAUUAAGGAUGAAUUGGGGAACCAGUCAUAUCUACUAUUGUAGAUACUCUGAGCUACAUACAGACUGUCAUGAUAAUGCUCAUUUAUCGCUUAAAAAAGAUAAGAUAAGAUCAAGCCCUGCAGUGCCGUGAUUCAUACCCACGCUACAAUGGCAUGUUGGUUGUGCUACUGACAUGCUACCCUUGUGUCAGACAUGCCCUGGCAUGGGAUAUUUGUUCAGAACAUUUAAGCUAAAAGCUCCAUGUCACAGAAUAUGAUGGAUGUUCAAUUAUAAUUCUAAGAGUUUCAAAAGUAUUAAUUGAUAGAAUUUCUCACUACUCCUGGGUGAAGUUCCUUGAAAUUUGAUUGAAUUGAGAAUUGAAAGUAGGGAAAAGUAAUGUUUUCCAAUACUGGGAAAUGUAGGUUGAAAUUUGGAAAAUAUUUCAUGGCAAAAAUAAAUCUGAUUUCAUUAAAUUAUCUUAUGCAAUUAUAAGAAGCAAGCUUACGCACAGUGGCUUGUUCAAAAAGAUUCACAUGAUUUUUUUUCAAUUUUAUCAAAAGAUCUACAUAGAAGGGACUAACAGUUAGCAAAUGGCCUUAUUAAAAUAUUAUCUGAAUAAACUGCUGAAGUUAAGAAACAUUGCUCCUAAGACAUGAAACAAAAGGAGUGCAGAUUGCUUUUCUACGACCUCAUUGCCUCCCUUGUUUCUUGAAGAUGUUUCUUGCAACUUCUUUGAGGUUGGUUAUUGGUAAAUCUGCUCACUUAAUGUGAAAAUUAAAUGUUUCCAUGUGAUUAUUUUACAGAUAAAUUAUCUGGAAGAGUGGUCUCUUCUCGAUAGAGAUCAUUCAAGUUCGUUAUCAGGAGCUAUUGAAGCAUUAAAGGCUAGCACGCUUCGUCUUCCAGUUGUAGGUGGUGCAAAGGUUUGUUCCGAUCUGAUAUUGGUUAGUGGUUUGAACUUACAUAUUUCUGAAGACUAAUAGCCGCAUUCUCUUUGACAGGCAGAUGUCCAAGAUAUGAAAGAAUCUGUCGGGUCAGUAGUUGAUGUAAUGCACACAAUGGGAUCAUCUAUAUACUCUCUACUGUCAAAGGUAGAUCCUUUAUUAUAUUCUCUUACAACAUCUUAUGUAUUAAAAAACUCUCUCUCUCUCUCUCUCAUGUUAGAUUUGAAUUCUUCAGGUAGAAGGAACAAGUUCCUUGGCGUCCGAACUUGCUAAAGUGGCGGCACAAGAAUUAACUCUGUUGGACCAAUUAAGAGAUGUCUUGUCCACUGUGGCAGUCAUGCACGUAAGGCAAUGUAGCCUUCAGGGGCAUUUAUUGCAACUAAAAUAGCGUCGGAGCUAGGCACAGUUGUAAAGCAAAUUCUCUCACCAACUCUGUGAUUACUAACAUCAAAGCGGCCUCUUUGUUUCCUAACUGAAGAUUGCGACAAAAGGUAAUAAAUCAUGGCAGUUUGUUUGCUGCAUCUUGAGAGUACUAGUUCUCCCUGUUUGUUUGCUGCAUCCUUGAGAGUUCUAAUUCUCCCUGUUGAUUUUCACCAAAUGCAGCUAAUUCAUGUAUUUUUGUCUACAUAACAUUAUGAGUGGCUCUUUUUCCUGCAGUGAUUUCAGGAGAUGUAUACAAAUUACUUGUGCUUAUAAAAGAAAAGCUUAUGCAUAUAUAUGUUUAAAUUUAGUGUUUUUUAGUUAAUUUCUUUUUAGAAGAAGAAAAGGUCAUAUAACUCUUUUAUCUCUACUGAAGCACUUCUUGUCUCAUCAAAUGGUUUUAGGAAAAAGGAAAUGAGUAGAGUUCAACCUACACCGAAGUAGGUAAUGAACAACAGGAUACAGCAGUAUCUCUUUACUGUAAGUAUGAUUUAAUUGUAAGUAUGAUUACCUAUAUAACACAGCAACUGGUAGUCGCCACUAGCGUCAAAAAACAGCUAUGACAACUUUGUAGUCUCUGUGUAAUCUUUUUUUUGUUUUUGAGAUCAUUGUUAUUUGCCUUCAUCUUUUGGCUUAUUCCUUACUUCCCCUUCUCCCUUUGCAUUAUUUAAUCUUUGAUGUUCAUGUGAUCUUCUAGGUACUGUUUUAGUGGCACAAAAAAACAUUUAUUAAUUGCAUGUAUAAAUUUUGCUUCAUUAAGAAAUUAUACGAAAUUAUAUUGUAGCUUUUUCUGAGUUUUCUCAGGAUUCUAACUAUUGACAAUUGUUAACUGCAGCUGACAUGAUUUUUUUUUUUUUUUUUUUNCAGAAAAAUUUGGAUCCAAUAUAAAUUGCCAAACACAACUAAGUUAAUGGCAGUAUAUAAUGGAACAAGCGCGAAUCAGUCACUGAUUUGAUAGAGAACUAUAAACCUAUUUUUCUGCCUCAUUGUUUCUUUUAGUAAAGGUAUUAUUUUAAAGGCAACUAAAUAGACUCCUUUGAAGGAACUUUAUUUGUCGUAUUUUCUCUAUCAAAUCAGUGACUGAUUCGCGCUUGUUCCAUUAUAUACUGCCAUUAACUUAGUUGUGUUUGGCAAUUUAUAUUGGAUCCAAAUUUUUCUGGGUGUGAAUUACCUGCUACUGCUGGGUUUUUUCUUAUUAUUUAUUUUUUGCAAAUCAGUCCCUCAAUGAUGCUAUCACUCAUGGGCUCAAUAUUGUUGUAGGAUUGUUUUGCUACCCUUAAUCAGGCUCAAACCCAAGUGAAUCCGAACACAACAUUGGCCCGAAUGAAAAUCGCAGAGACCCGGCCCGUUAUAUAGUGAAAACUUGGAUCUUGGUAAGCCCGAUAGGACUAUCUUUCAUUUUCCCCUUGCCUGCAAUAUAACAGGAGAAAAGUUAAAGGUGCCAAAUUAAUGGCUUUUGUUUAGUUUUAGUAUUAGUAAUUCAUCGGGCCUGAACUGUAUGUAGAUACUAGUCGAUUUUUUUGGACGUUGCAUUUGGUAUCAGAGUCGUAGAUAAUAACGGGGUCGGAGAUAUUUGAUUGCGGGUCCCGUGUUUCAGGGCUUUUUUCUUUUCCAAUUUAAAUCUUCCAAAAAGAAAAAUUUGGUAUCUAGUCUUGUCAAAAUUUUAUUAUGAUAAAUAACUUUCUUUCUUGAUGCAUAAGUGUCAUGACAUAACAGAUUAUGAAAAUUUACAAAGACGGUGAACUAUUUACUAUUUGCAUGCGGUGGUGUCACAUUGCAUUAAAGCCCUAUUUGUAGAUUUGAGAUAUUUGAUAUUUGUGCGUACGUAUUCAACAAUUGCGUUCUGGAUUGAGAAGAGAAUGUAUACUUACGUUGCGUUCUGGAUUGAGAAGAGAAUGUGUUACGUUAUCAUAAAAGAUAUCACGUUGCGUAGAUCAUAAUGAUUUCGUUAAAAUAGUAUUUUGCCAUCCUAUUGAGGAAUAAAUAAGGUUAACUCUCAAUAUUUUUUACUUUAUAUAUGUUCGGUUCUAACUCACGAGCAUUAAUAACUCGCAGGCCUAACCCAAUGGCUCAAAAUGUUCAAGUCCGAUUAUUAAUAUUAGUGUGUUCGUCAUGUAUAAAUUUCUCACAUUCGUUCAUAUUAUCUGAUGUAAAAUUAUCAGAAUGGUACACUUUGAUUUACUUUUUAGCUAAAUAAUAAUAAUAUAUAGCCCUCAAUACGAAACAGGCAAUCUCAUCAAAUCAGCCGCGAAUUUGCGUACAUUUUAGCAUUUGAGAAUCUUCGCGUCCUACUGCUAAUGCUUUUUUUGAGAGAUAGGUAGCACUCUACCCGCUUCGUUUAUUUUAUUUUUGAAAAUAAACUUAGCUGGAAAUGUGAAUCAACUAGAAUUCGAACUUGGGUCUCAGAUACCAACCACCAAGCCCUUUGCCACUUGCUCUAGGGACGGUCGGUCUGCUAAAAUGCUAUUAUGCCAACCAAACUAAUCAAAGGUUUCCAGGUUGGGCUCAGCGUGGCGCGUGGACGCCAUGCACUAGUAAGAUUCUUUUCCCAUGGAGCAAAUAUAUAUGCACCACACAUUUGGGAAUAUCAACACUGGAAUUGUGUUAGUUUACUUCGAAUAUCUGCACAUAAAUAAAUAUAUAUAGCAAAUAAUUAGUUAUUAGGGACAAAAAUCAUAUGAAAAGGGGGUGGGUCAACCAAAUUGCGGUUCAAUGUCCCGUCGUAAUUCUCAUCCACUUGUUUGAUGCCUUCGAUUAGUGGAAAGAAUGUUUGAAAUCUUGACCACACUUUGGCUUUUUCUGCAAGCAGUCGAUAGGUUUACAUGCCAUUUACACGCACUGGAUGUUCUUUUAAUUUUUGGAGCAAAGAAAGAAUUAUUUGUUUUUUUUUUUUUUUUUUUUGAAGUUCUUUUAAUUUUGUGGUUUGUUUGGGAGAACAUUAUAGGCAUAAAACUAAAGUUUCCCACCAUCAAUAACUUAUUAUUAUUAUUAUUAUUAUUAUUAUUUGGGCGGGGAAAGAUACAAUGAACCAAAUAAUAGAAGUGGAUAUUUAUAACUGAGCAGUGCUCUCGUCUCCACUUUGGUGAAACAAACACAUCCAAAAGUAAGUAGCAUGUUAUUAUUGAACAAAAAGGGCUAAAAAAUAUCUUAGGGCAAAAGCAUCUAGAAAUACGCUUUCUCAUUUUUCGAUAAACCUGUAGAAAUUAUAUUUUAUUUGAUGUGUAAAUAUGAUAUUACUUACAAAGGCGAAUAGUCUAUAUUUCUAUCAUCUGUUACCAAAAUCAAAAUCGAAAGAAACUAAAAUUGAACUCGGGAUCCCAGAUAUUAACUUUUGAGACGUCAGGCAACGCUACUAGGUAUAUAUUAUACGGUUUAAUUUGUUGAGCCUGAAUAGUGUAUUAAUGGCAUUUAUCUAAUCAUUUAUAAUAAAUAAAGCUCAUUAAUAAAACAAAGAGCUGGCUCUUUCUAUAUAUCUUGUCAAUCUACAACAAAGAGUGCAUGCAUGAGAUGUAAAAUUUUAAGACAUGCAUUGUAUCCGUCGCUCGUUCGCUCGUUCGUGCAGCUGCGGCGGCGGCGAUUGUAGUUUCUGCGCGCCCCCCUCCUGCGGAGGAGGAAUUCUACACUGUCAUACUUACACCACGUCAUCAAUUAACAAAUCAAUCACAUUCCUUCUUUUCAAACAAAAGUGCAAUAAAAAUACUUUUUUACAAUCAUGAUGGAACGUAUAUUCUUAAAAGAAUUAAUUUGAUUGGUUUGUUACGCCACGUCACUAAUACACCUGUUGCAUUCUAGAAUUUUUCCCUGCGGAGAGUCUAGACUCUCUCUCUCUCUCUCUCUCUCUCUCUCUAUAUAUAUAAUGGGUUUAAUUGCACACAGGUUCCUGUAAAUAUAGUAAAUUAUAAAUAUAUUUCUAUAAAGUUUAACCUUCAUAUAUUAUUUCUAUAAAAGUCUUAAUAUUUUCAAAUAUAUUUCUAUCGUAGAAUUCAUUAGAAAAAUUUAGAUAAUCAUAGAUUAAAUAUUUAAUCCUGAUUAAUUUAUAAGAUAACUUGAUAUUUUUGCUCCUCUUAUAUUAUACUGUUGUGACUUUUGAAAGACAUAUUUGUGACGACAAAAUUGAAAAUAUAAAUAGUUUUUAACGGUUCUCUAACGAUAACAAACCAGAAAAAAAUAUUUGAAAAUAUUAGAAGUUUUGUAGGAAACAAUAUAUGAAAGUUGAAUUUUGUAGAAAUAUGUUUGUAAUUCACUAAGUUUGCAGGGACAUGUAUGUAUUUAACCCUAAUAAUAACCUCUCUGGGACAACUAUGUCCUGGACAAUACAUAUAACGCUUUUUAAAUUCUCUAUUUGACGUGCGUGUCGUAUCCGAAAAGUUUACUAUAUAAAGUUUAUACUAUAUAUCAUCAAUAAUCAAUCAAUUAUAUUUUUUAUUUAAAAAAUUUAAUAAAAAUAAUUUUUUAAUAAUUAUGAGGGGACAUAUGAAUACAAAGGAAACAAUCUUAUUUGUUAAGAUUGCCAUAUCAGCAAUAUAAUUAGUAUAUUCUAGAUAUUUUCGUUAACACCAUAACUUCAAGGCACAAAAGUUACACCAAAGUUCUUGGAGGACUCUUUGCAAUUUAAUACCAAAUAGUUUAAAUAAUACAAUUUUUGUAUAGAGUGUAAUUUAGUCUCAAAUAUUAUAAUUUUAUUUCAAACAGUGUAUUUUUUUCUUUUUUCUCUACAUCUUAGCCUUUCUUAUAGCGACCACGACAAAUGGUGGCCUUCCAAGAUGAAGAAAUUUUUUUAUUUUUUUAUUCUUUUUCGCAUCCAUUUUCGCCAUCGUGCAUCCCUCUCCCGUCCUCUAUCUGCUGUAGCAACUGGCUCCGUCACAACUUCAUCACCAUGAUUUAUGCUAUAUCUGACACUACAACAAAAACGGUCUAUAGCGACACUUUUAAAUGUAGGUACAUGUCAAAAAAGUGCUGCUAGCUAAAAUUACCGACACUUUUAAAAAGUGUUGCUAUAUGUGGGGUCGCUAGGUAUAUAGUGACAGUUAAAGAGUGUCGCUAUAACCUAAAAGAGUGCUACUAAUUUACGAACACUUAUUUAAGCAUUUAGCAACCGCCGAAACUUUAUCUCGUUAGCUGCGGUAGCGGAGGAGGACGACAGGAAAGGCUAUUCGUCUAGAAUUUCAGUGGAUUGAGUGAAGAGAGAAGAAAAUAUGGCAAUUGAUUUUUCUUUUUUUUUUUCUUUUCUGUUUGUAAUCGGGCCAAAUGGACUGGGUGUGGUGGGUUGAGUAGAGUAAUCUUUUAUUUUUGGUUGGAUUGGACUUUAUAUUUAGGCAUUAGCAGAUAUUUUUUUAAGUUUUAGCAUAAAUGGGACACUUACUCAAAAGUGUCCCAAACAUGUGUCCCUAUAACCUAAUUCUGUUGUAGUGUGAGCUCGCGUCGCCGCCGCUGGCAUUGGAAGAGAUGUGGGCGAAGUCGGGGAGAUGCAGUGAAUAAGAAAGAGGAGGAAGAGAAAGCGGAAGGAGAAAAGGAGGAAUGGACGGUGAGAAAAAGGGAGACAAAGAGAGAAAAAAAAAAAGGGACGAGAGGAAGAAAGGAAAAAUAUAAAUUAAAAAAGAAUAAAAAUAUUUUGAUUAGUUUAUUGAAAAAUUAGACUUAAUCUGCAAAAUUCAAAAAAAAAAAAACAUAUUUUUUGCAAAAAUGCAAAAAUGGUGAAUUUUUAAUACAAAUUGGCUAAAAAUAUGGUAAUUAUACAUAAUUUAAAAUAUUAAUGGAAGAAAUUUUUUUCUUAUUUUGAUUGUCUAUUAUUGUGAUUGUCUAUCGGCUUGCAUGCAUUACAUUCUCGCUAAAUAAUAAAUAAUAAUUCAUUUAAAAAUUUGAAAAAACUAUUAUUUUUUAGUUUUUGUUUUUAGUUACUAAAUAUAUUAAAACUUUUGAUGCAAGGAUUGUAAGCAAUUUACUAUCCUUUCUAUACAAUUUCAUGUAAAAAUUCUAUGAAAAAAAUUAAACAAAAGAUAACAACGCCAUACAGGACCUCAUUUUCCAAAAUGAUAUUUUAAAUAUUAAUUCUUUUCAAAUGAAUUGUAAUAUUAUUCUUGUUUAGAUUUUUUAUUAUCUCAUUUGGUACAAUAAAAUUAGUUUAAAAUAUAUCUCAGGUGUUCUAAUGUCACAAAAAAAGAAACUUUUGUCUCUACGACUUGCCUAGCUUGCUCCAAGUAUAGAACGUGGCUUUCGCUCAUUCCAAUCUUAUUUGGAUAUAAAAGUAUAUAUCUUAUUCGGUAUAUUUUUUUGAUUUACUUAACAUACUUUUAAUGUAGGUACGUACCGAGUGUCGUCAACAAUCUGAAGUGGAAUACCAUAUUUAACAUUCUAAGUCCAUAUUUUUCGAAAUGUGAUAAAUUAGUAAACUAUCUAUCACUACAACAGAAUUAGGUUAUAGGAACACAUGUUUGGGACACUUUUGAGUAAGUGUCUCAUUUAUGCUAAAACUUAAAAAAAUAUCUACUUAUGCCUAAAUAUAAAGCCCAAUCCAACCAAAAAUAAAAGAUUACUCUACUCAACCCACCACAUCCAAUCCAUUUGACCCGAUUACAAACAGAAAAGAAAAAAAAAAGAAAAAUUAAUUACCAUCUUUUCUUCUCUCUUCACUCAAUCCAAUGAAAUUCUAGACGAAGAACCUUUACUGUCGUCCUCCUCCGCCACCGCAGCCAACGAGAUAGAGUUUCGGCGGUUACUAAAUGCUUAAAUAAGUGUUGGUAAAUUAGCAGCACUCUUUUAGGUUAUAGCGACACUCUUUAACUGUCACUAUAUACCUAGCGACCCCACAUAUAGCAACACUUUUUAAAAGUGUCAGUAAUUUUAGCUAGCAGCACUUUUUUGACAUGUACCUACAUUUAAAAGUGUCGCUAUAGACCGUUUUUGUUGUAAUGUAUAAUUUAUAACUAUAUAUAUUAUUCCUCAAUAACUAUGCAUGCAUUACAAAACCAAAGAGAUAUAUUAAAAGAAUAAGAUGUUAAUGCAACCAAAAAUAUCUAAAAUAAAAUAUCAUAUUCAGCCUUCAAUUUAUGUUUUCAUAUUGACAUAAAUCAUCUAGUAAAGUUAAUAUUGACUGUUUAGUUCAAAGACUAGUAGUGCAUUUAUUGUCCGUUUGUUUCACCGAAGGUAAUGUUAAUAUUGACGGUAGAACUAUUUAUUUAUAUAGCUGUUAAAAUAAAAUUCUUCUAUUUCUGCUUUUGUUUUUGGCACAAAAUCAAUAACUUCAAAGUUAAAAAUGUAACAAAUAAGUUAAUAUUAUAUUUUUUUUUAUAAUUAAUUUUAUAAUCAAAGAUAAACUAUAUAAUAACAAAAAUAAAUUAAUGACUAUGCAUGACCAAAACCCACUUCAUGCAUGCAUGUUUCAAGGAGGCAGGAGCUAGAGAGGAAGAACCUUCAUUGCUUGUGAAACAGCCAUUUUGUACUUUAAACAUUUAAGCUAUCAAAGAACGGUGCUAAAGUUAUAUAUUUAACAUUCUCCUUCAUGUUUGAACUCAGAUACAUUUUAUAACGUCCAUAAUGUGGACUUAAAUUAGAUAAGAGAAAAUUAAUAAUGAUAAAAGUUUGGCGCAACUCGAACUCAGAACCUCCUACUCUGAUAUUGUAUGAAAUAACCGUUGUACUCUAACAUAACGUUUGGUUAGAGAACUAAAUUUUAAAGAACAACUUUUAUUAUUUUUGAGAACAGAGGAUACUUCGGUACAAGAAAAAAGAAUUAUAAAUUUGUAUUUGGAUGUAUUUGGAGAUAUGCUAGAGGAUUUUUUUUUUUCUUUUUGAGCGAAAGGUGGCAUGCAACCCGUUUCGUUUAUUUCAUUUAGAAAUAAACUUAGCUGGAAAUGUGAAUCAACUAGAUUCGAACAUGGGUCUCGGGUACCAACCACCAUGCCCUUUUGCCACUUGCGCUAGCUAGGGACGGUCAGAGGAUAUUUUUAGUAGCGUUUGGAUAAAAAAUAUAGAACAAUGUCUAAAUAUAUUUUUAAAAAUAAAAUAAUUAAUUUAUAUUAGUAUAUUUUGUAUAAAUUUAUUUAUAAAAUUAUUUCAUAUAGUAAUUUAUAAUAUAAUUUUUAUGUAACAAUAAUUUAAAAUAGUAUAUUUAUUUUAUUGUAUAUAAUAAUUUAUUUUAUAUAAUUUAUUCUACCAUAUAAUGUUAGAACAAAUACCGCAACGAAAAUCUGAUUAUGAUUUAAAUCUAACUAAAUUUUAUUAUGAAAAUAAAUAAAUCAACUUACAGAUAAUUGCUAAAUCUAAAUAAAGAAUUUGAUCGAUCCGGAAGCGUGCGAGGCACUGUUCUAAGGCGUAUUUCCGUCCUUCGUGUGGGAUUAACUGGAAACACCGGCCCAAGAUACGAUCGGAAUUCCUCCUCUUACGAGCACGAACGUGAAAGAGGUUGAUGGAGACUGGAGACUCUUUCAACACCCGAUGACAAAAAAAUCAAAACUAAAUAAAUUAAAAUAAUAAAAAAAAAUAUGUCUUUCAAUGUUUCUCUCCGCAAUGUUCAUCUUUUUAUGAACAGUGGAAAGAAUACCAUAUAAAAGGGUGUAAAAGGAACGGUGGAAGCACAAAUGUUCCACUCCAUUAAUAGAUUUAAUGGCCGUACGUUUCAUUAAUUAAAAAAAAUAAAUAAUAAUAAAUACUAAUAAAUGAGAAUAAAAAAAUUAAUAAAAUAAAAGAAUAAUAAUAGUAAUUGAAAAAUUAUUGGAUUUUCUCCCACAUAUAAUACUAACAAUAACCUUAUAAUUUUAACUAAUAAUUAGUAUAGAUUUCAAUACAAAUUUAAAAUGUAUAUAAUAUAUGAAAAAAGGCUUAUAUAUAUAAUAAUUAAUAUAAAAUAAAAUAAUUAAAUAUUAAUAAAUAAAUGAUAAAAACUUUAUAAAAUAAAUAAUAUAUCAAAUUUAAUUAAUUUAUAUUGUAUAAAAAAUUAAAGUAUAAAUAUAUUAUCACAAAAAUAAUAUUUAUUAAUAUAUUUAUUUAUAUAUCUAUUUACUUAGUAAAAUAAAAAAAAGAACAAAAUUAAAUUAUUUUAGNAAAAAAAUUACAAAAAAAAAAAAAAAAAAAAAAAGCGAGAGAGAGCGCCCGCGCGCGCGAAUGGGCAUGCAUGUGACGUGUCGUACAAGCGGGGUGGUACGAAACUCGAAGGAAAAGGUCAACGAUUUCGGCGGCCCAUUAAUUGCUUGGGGAGCCGAGCCCUUUCUAGAAACCAUGCACACAUGGAUUUGAUAAAUGGGCGCUCCAUAUAUAUAUAUAUAUAUAUAUAUAUAGGGUGAGGCUACUAUACUAUUAGAAGCACGGAGCUUUUCGUGCUUUCAGCUCAUUUUCGAUGUUGCGACUUUCGAAUCAUCGAUCGGCUCCGUUAAACUUGAUCUAGAGUAUUUGAAGUACCUGAAAAAUAAAUUUUAUGAUUUUACGAUAUCAUUUGCCUAGUGAACGAAGGGGCUCAAAAUCAACGGCUGAAAAUAAAAAUCUUACAAAAUAUAAUAAUAUGGCAUUAAAAUUUUAAAUCAAAGAUAUUGAUCUUGUUUUAUAUAGUAUAAAAAAUUUUCUAUCAAAAUUUCACGUGAUUUCGAUAUUUCUACACCGUUAAACUUGCAAACGGCUCACUACGGCCAUUGAAAUUUGUUGAUUUUGAGCCCAUUCGAUCACUAGGCAAAUGAUAUCUAAAAUAAUAAAAUUUAUUUCUAAGUACUCAAAUACUCUAGAUCAAGUUUAACGGAGCCGAUCGACGAUUCGAAAGUCGCAACAUCGAAAACGAGCUGGAAGCACGGAAGGCUCCGUGCUUUCCAAUAGCAUAGUAGCGCCUCCUCUCUCUCUCUCUCUCUCUCUCUCUCUCUCUCUCUCUCUCUAUAUAUAUAUAUAUAUAUAUAUGCCAUGGCUACUAUACUAUUAUGAGUAUUGGAGCCUUCGUAUUCAUAAGUUGUUUUUAAUGUUGGAGCUUUUGAUUCGACGAUCCACGCCGUUAAAUAUGAUCUAAAGGAUUUGAAACUUUUAGAAAAUAAAUUUCAUAAAUUUUCGAAAUCAUAAUAAAGUCCAUCAAGUGGGCAUAAAAUAAACAGUCAAAAUCAAACGACGUCCUAAAAAAGGAUGAUUGAAUCUUUCAAUUCAAGAUCAAAGUUAUUGAUUUUUAUCUAUAUAGUGAAUAGAAUUUUCUAUCAAAAGUUCAACAAAUUCCGAUUCUUUUACACCGUUAAACUAGCAAGUAUCCCAUACCGGCCGUUAAAAAUUGUCAAAUUUGUGACCUCUUGAUCGUAAGGUAAUGAUGUCGAAAAAUUAUAAAAUUUAGUUUUUAGAAGUUUUAAAUGCUGUAAAUAAUGUUUAACGGUGUGGAUCGCCGAUUCGGAAGCUCUAUCAUCGAAAACAACUUAUGAGUACGAGGGCGAUCGUACUCAAAAUAGUAUAGUAGCCGGACCCCAUAUAUAUAUAUAUAUAUAUAUAUAUAUAUAUAUAUAUAUAUAUAUAUAUAUAUAUAUAUAAAGGGCAAUUGCUUAUAUAUUCUUGAAAAGUUGCUGAUUUUUCAACUUAUCCAUCUUAGAAGCCUAAUAUUGAAAGUAUCCUUUCUAUGUUCAAACCUAUUUCUAAUAUACCUCUAGAGUAAAAAACUGUUAAUGAACUCUAUUAUCUCUGUAAAAUUAUUAUUUUGUCCUUUCAAAUAUAUCCUUCCACUAUCACUGACUUUCUUAUUUGCCCUUAAAGUCAGGAGUACAAAAAGUAUUUUGACUUUUGGUCUUUUCUAAUAUACCUCUCUACUAACACCAAUAUUUCUUAUUUGCCCUUAAGUUAAGGGCAACAUUGAUAUUUUAAUUUUUUUUAACUGUGGUGGGUAUUUAACUCACGUUUAACCCAAAUUAACUUAACAGGAGAUAACUGCAGGGAUAUUUUUGGGGUAUUUUGUAAUAACUAUGAAAAAUAUGAGGGGUAUUUUAGAAAGAAAAAAAGUAGGGAUAAAUUGAAUAUUUUCAAACGUAUGAAGAGUAUAUAGGUAAUUAUCCCUAAAUAAUAAUAUCUACCCACAAUCAAAAUUUCGGUAAUGAGUUAGUUUACUGAUAAAGUGAAGUGUUGUUGUUUGGUAGUAUUAAUCCCAUAUCACGGAUUAAUUUUAAAUCUAUUCAAUAACUCACAACUUAUUUUGAAUAUUAAAAUUUAAAUAUAAAAAUUUUAAAAUUUAAAUUUUUUAGAUAUAAAUAAAAAUAAUACUUCGAAACUUCUUAACGAGACAUUGUUGAAAACUUCUUGCAGAAUAUUUUUUUUUCAUCUCGAUCCUCAACACUCUCCCUUCGGGUUUGCACAGCUUCACGUCUCCCUCGAUCUCUCUCCCUCGCUCGUUUCGUUUUAUUUUUCAUUUUUUUUUGAGAUAGAUAGGUAGCACACUGCCCGCUUCGUUUAUUUUAUUUAGAAAUAAACUUCGCUGAAAAUGUGAAUAAAUUAGAAUUCGAACUUGGAAUCUCAGGUACCAACUAUCAAGUCAUUUGCCACUUCCUCUCACUAGUUUCGUUAAUCGCGAAAUGAGAUGGUGGCACGCAUUACAAUAUGUGAGAGUUUUUCUUUUUAUUUAUGAAAACAAGAAAAUUUCAAAUAGUACUGUAGGCUACAUUUGGCAGUAAGGUCCAUCUACAAAAUAAAGUUGGAAUGAAAUUAUAUGGAAAUAUAAUUUGAAUUCGCAUUCACAUUUGAAUUUGAAAUUCUAAAUCAGAAUUUAAAACUAAAAUUUAAAUUUAAAUUUAAAAUCUGAUUUUAAAUUUAAAAUUAAGUGCAAAAUUUGAAUUUGAAUUCGAAAUUGGAUUUGAAUUUAAAAUUCUCAUUCAAAAUAGAAAGUUAAAUUUAGAAUAUGACCCCAAAAUUAAAUCCAAAAUUAUACUUCAAUAUUAAAAUUUAAAUUUAAAAUUCGAACCCAUCAUAUUUAAAAAUUUAAAUUUAAAUUAAAACAAUCUAACCGUAAAUUUAAAAUUUUAAUUCAAAGUAUAAGUUAACUUUAAAUUUUAAAUUUAUAAAUUUCAAAUAAAACAAAAUUAAUUUUCACUAUAUUGAUUGAUUACCAAAUAAAAAAAAGGUGCAAAGAUUGGCGACCAAUAAUCCAUUUCUCUCCAUCGCAGAAGCCAUAAUUUUUUAUAUUGGAGCUUCUACGAUAACGGGAUAACGCUUGCUCGGGCCAAAACUGAUAUUAGGUAUAUAAUUUUGACAUUAAAUAUCACUAUUAGUUAGAUGUGUUAAAUAUAAAAAUAUAUAAAUGUCGGUCACUUACAUCUUAAACUUUUAUAGUAUAACGGCUGUUUCACUGACUUGGACUUGAAUUAAAUAGGUGAAAAUUAAUAAUGCUAGGAGUUUGACCUAACUCGAACUCAGAACCUCAUGUUCUGAUAUCAUGUGAAACAACCAUUGUACUUUAAAAGUUUAAAUUGCUAAAGAAUAGUGUUUAUAUAUUUUUAUAUUUUACAAGAUGAUUAAUUAAUAGCUCCUUUAUGUUUGGAUUUUGUUAGGGUUUUUAUUGGAAAAAAGAACAUUGUUGUAUGGCUCCAAGGUACUUGAAAGGUCAGAUUAAUUGCUUGGGUUCCUAGAAAGGUUAACAUGAAUAAACUAAAUAGCAUACUAAAAGGAGCAACAACCUAAGAUUCUUGGAAACCAAGUGGAAAGAGAGAAAAAUAAUUAUGUGAAUUAAUAAAUGUAUUGGGAAUAGCUUUCAUUCACACUCAAGUUCCAUUUACAAUGUACAUACCAGCUGGCUAAUGGAAGAGACACUGGGUACUAAUUGUUUACUAUCUUAGUUAAAAGAAAACUACUACUGAGAGUUAAUGUAGUAAACUUUUAGAAGUACAUAGAAUCCUUUAUUUCUAUGUUAGUUUCAGCGAUAGGUAUAAAUUUAAUUUAUAUUAUUUAAACAGUUUAAGAACUAAAUAUUUUCUAGUUUUUGACAUUAUUUACCUAAUAUUUAAGUAGUUUCAAAACUGACAGUUUCCAGUGGCUAAUACAAAGUGAAUUUGAGGCUUCCGCCAAUGGAUAUAUGAUGUUGUAAAAUUAUAACAUUCCGUUUCUAUAAACUUCAAAUAACUUGUGUCCAGUUUAACAAGUUUUGAUCAUUGGUUCAUAUAUAUGUCCCGUCAUCGAUCGAAAAUGAUGCGAAAAUAAAAUUUUUAUUUAUUUCUGAAAAUAUUCUAGCUCUAGUUUGAUUGUGGGUCCGUCAAAAUAUUGUAUUCAGAAAUCAUUCAUUUAUUAGCCAUAUAUGAUAUAAAAGAUUUUGACUGAUAAAUACAUGCUGUUCAAUACACCAUAAUACAGAAAUGCCAAAUGCAUUAAUAAUUUACAAAACCCUAUGUGGUGGGCCUAAGAAAAUUUUCCAAUUGAAAAAUAUUUUAGUUGUUGUACCUUUUCUUUUCAUAGCAUUCCUCUCUCUUGACGCAUUCAAGAUCCUCUGAUAAAUAAUGAAUUUCUUAUGAGGCAUAUUCUCAUAAAUGUUGCUUAAAAAUCUUUAUUCGUUGACAUUAAUUUGGUGCAUUUUGAAGGCGAGAAUAUAGGUUGGGUCAGGAAUCAAACCAUAUUAUUGAAUUUAUUUGUCAAAUUACUGCUAUGCAUGGUAAAGUCAGAGUUUCGAAUCUGAGUUCGCUCCCUAUCCUUUUAGGGCUUAAUUAAUGCUCGACAUAAGCAAACCACCAUAAAAUAUUCAGGAAUUUGAAUUUCUGACCUUUUAGAUAGUUAAUGCGAAAGACAUAUCAACUUAUAUAUAUAAAAAUUAACCCGCCAAUAUGUAUAGAUGGUUAUAAAUGUCAAGUUAAUUACGUGGAGAUGAUCAUCAAUAAUGUGGAAUCCUUGUCACAAACUUUUGCCAUAAGAAAAUAAAAGCACCACCAUUGUAAAAUGCAAUAUAAUGUAUUAUGAAAAUAUUAGAUUAUAUAUAUAGAGUGAGGCUACUAUGCUAUCGGAAGUACGGAGCCUUCCGUGCUUCCAGCUCGUUUUCGAUGUUGCGACUUUCGAAUCGUCGAUCGGCUCCGUUAAACUUGAUCUAGAGUAUUUGAAGUACCUAGAAAAUAAAUUUUAUGAUUUUACGAUAUCAUUUGCCUAGUGAACGGAGGGGUUCAAAAUCAACGGCUGAAAAUAAAAAUCUUACAAAAUAUAAUAAUAUGAUAUUAAAAUUUUAAAUCAAAGAUAUUGAUCUUGUUUUAUAUAGUAUAAAGAAUUUUCUAUCAAAAUUUCACGUGAUUUGGAUAUUUCUACACCGUUAAACUUGCAAACAGCUCACUACGGCCAUUGAAAUUUGUUGAUUUUGAGCCCAUUCGAUCACUAGGCAAAUGAUAUCGAAAAAUAAUAAAAUUUAUUUUCUAGGUACUCCAAAUACUCUAGAUCAAGUUUAACGAAGCCGAUCGACGAUUCGAAAGUCGCAACAUCGAAAAUGAGCUGGAAGCGCGAAAGGCUCCGUACUUCCGAUAGCAUAGUAGCCUCACUCAUAUAUAUAUAUAUAUAAAAGUUAAAACACUUCCAAACCACCAACAUUCACCUUAGAAACCAAUCAAAAUAUCACAAUUUUUUUUAAUAAAAUAUGCGUAUGUGGUGCAUGCACUUGACGAGGCACCACGCCAUACCAACCAAUCACAAACCAAAACAUGGAGAGAGAAAAAGAAAAAGUAAUUAAAAACAAAUAUAUAUAAAUAAUAUAUAUUAUAUAUAGAGAGAGAGAGAUAGAGAGAGAAAAAAAGAAAAAAAAACAGUUUUUGGUGUUCCCUUCUAUCCCUCCAACUAUUUCUCUCAUUUGAAAAAGGGGGAGAGUAUUAUUAUUUUAUGCAUUCGAAUCUAUGUGCACAGUAAGAUUAUACCACUCCAGGUAUCCUACUUUACAGCAUCCUUAUCUCCUUCAACAGUGCAAUUUUUUUUUAUUAUCAGUGAUAUAAUUAAUAUAUUUUCAUAAUUAUUAGUUCUAUAUUCUGAUUGUAGUGACAAUUUUUGAUUCGCGAUUAAUUUAUCUAUGAAUAUUGAAUAAGUUUAAAUCCUCCAAAUUUAGCCCUUUGAAUUUGAAGAGUUUUGGGCUUAUUUUGGACGAUUAUAUUUAUAUAGCGCGACAAAUGAAAAUAUUUCCAAAAUCCAAAUAUAGGGGCCACAACCCACACUUUCCAAUGGAUUUGAGUUGGCUCAAGUGAUUCGGGCGUAUCUUGCUUGAAUGGAUCAAAUUUGGCUCUUAUCGGGCGUGUGGUCCAUCGCAUUCGUUCUCGUGAAUAUUUUUAUGUCUAGAUGUAUUGUACUUUAAUAUCUAACCAACAAAUUUUAAAAAAUAUAUAUAUAUUUUUUUAACAAAAUAGGCAUUUUAAUCCUGUAAUACUAAUAUGGCUCAUUUCAAUCUAGGUAAAAAUGUAUGGGCACCACCUCGGCUAUGCAUGAUUUUGAAUUGGCACCCUCAACUUUUAAUCUUUUAAUUUUUAAUUUUUUAGAAUUAAAUAAAUUUAGCUAAAAAUUUUGCAGGCUUUAUUAAAUUUCUUGAUCCUUUUAUCAAAGGGAAUUAAACCAAGCAACUGUUUAUAAUUAAUAUGAAUAUUAAAUUUGAAAAAAGCUCAUCUUAGCUGAUUAUAAAAAUCUGCAAAGAGUUAUUAAAUUACUAAACAAUGAGAUAUAAAAUGUAGAUCUUAUAAUAGAGUAAGGCUAUUAGCGAGUCGAAUACCAAUGAAUUGGGACCGGCUCGUAUUCAUUCGUCUAUUAAAUGAGUCGAAAAAUCCAACUCAUGCUCUGCUUGUUUAUUAACGAGCCGAACAUGAGCUGGCUCACGAGCAAUAAGAUAGAUUGUCAGUCCUGUUAAUGAAUAAAAAGUUGAAAGAAAAUUAAAAAAACAAAUUAGAAUCUUAAUCUAAUAAUUAAAAUUUAUAAAAAUAUAAAUUUCUUUAUUUUUUGAGUUGACCUAAAAUUCAAAUUGUAAAAAAAUUGUAAUACAUAUAUUCGAGCUAUAUUGAAUAGAACACGGGCGAGUUGACUCCAGCUUGUAUUCGACCUAGUUAAAAUUUUGAGCUAAAAAAAUUAACUCAUGUUCUAUUUUGAGCUCAUUUUGGAUCAGACUCGAGCUGACUCGCAAACACUGAGCUGCAUUGGUGGUGUCUAAUUUAACAUAUAUUAGCUCGGAAGGAAGAGGGCCACCGGUAGAUCGUGUGGUGCGGGGAGAUGGACGGUCCUGAUGGAGGGAGAGAGGUUUCGAUUGGUGGGCCCCGCUCGCACGUGGGUGACGCUCGAGCAUCGCCGCGGCCAAUCAGUGGUGUGUGGGAUUUGGGGAAUCUCUCUCGGAAGAGCUUCGUGAUAAAGAGGAUGGGCCCCACCACGAACGCGGCGGGGCGAUGGGCAAAUCCAAAUAAAAAGCACCGGAAUGGGAUAAGGGCGGGAUAGGUAUCAUGCAAUGCGUACCGCUUCGUGUACCCCGAAAUGGUUACUGCAUGCGCUAUAUUUCUUUUGUUUAAAAUUUCACCUCCCCCCCCUACAAAAAAAAAGCUUUUUGGAAAAUAAAAUUGCAUAAAAUGUUUUAGCAUGUCUUGGAAUGAUAUUGUCGGAUCGUUGGCGCUAACCAUUAAUCUCAAAAGCUCGAGUUUUUAGAAAUGCGUAACUAAUUCACUUAAAACGUAAUUUAAGACAACAAACCGCCCUCCAUCCCAAAAGCUUGAGUUUUUAGAAAUACGCAAUCAAUUCACUUAAAGCGUUAAAGCGUAAUUUAAGCCAACAAUCCCCCCUCCAGUUAAAGUGUAAUUUAAGCCAACAAUCCUCUCUCCAGCACCUGCACACAUUUGCAACAUGCAGGAAUCGAACUCGUGGCCUCUGAUUCUGAUACCACUUAUCGGAUAGUUGGCACUAACCAUUAAUCCAAAAAGCUCGAGCUUUUAGAAAUACAUAACUAAUUCACUUAAAUCGUACAGAAACAGCGCCCACGGAUCUCGAUGGUGACUCCGCCCACCCGGCCUCACGCCACUUUGAACUUGACUAGGCCCAACCCAACAGCACGCCAUUUCAAACAUGACUCGGCCCACAUGACCUCCCACCACAGGGCAGGAUGCUGGCCCAUUUAAGCCAACAGAUAUAAUAUUAACGCGUUCACUGAUGAGUAAUUAAUAGCCAAAUUCAGUAUCUAAAUUAAUCAUGAGCAAAUUUAUUGCCACUAAUAUUACUAGCUGAAAUUUAAACUGCUUGUGAUUCGUUUGGCAUUAUUAAGAGAGUUGCAUUAACAGAAUUGUAGAAAUUAUAUCUUAAUCAAAUUGAAGCAAACACUACAACAUAAUUAUUGUUAUUAAUAUUUUACAAAAAUUAGAGUGAACUAUUUUUUUUUUAUUAAAUGUGCUCUCUUUGUAUCUAAAACAGUAACUUUACUAGUUAUACCAUUACGAACAUUUUUCAUUGAAAGUGGUGGGGGUUAGUUGCUUGGUUUAUUGUAGAUUAAAUUCGAUCUAUUUUACAUUUUCAUAAUGCCAUAAUUGAUACUGAAGUCAAUUAGAGAUAGAAAAAAAAAAGUCAAUUAUUAAUUAUAAUUGUUUAUCUUCUUAUACACUCAUCCGAAAGUUUUUAAUAAAGAAAAAAUCUUCGCUUUCACAGUGGAGACUUCGUACCUAACAAAUAACACUAAAAAGAAAUUAUCUAAAUUUUAGUGCCCUUUUGUUGGAUAAAAUUCAAAAUUUUAUUAUUUAUUUAUUUAUUUAUUUUAUUAUUAAUUUUAAUUAGAGGAACGGCCGCAUCCGUUUCACGCGUUGGGAGCUUGGUGCCUCAAUUGCAGCCGCUCCGUUCGUUGGGAUCCUGCGCAAAUCCUUUCACUAAUUAAGACAUUAAUUAGUGCAUGCAUUGGAACGUUGGGCUGGAACGUUGGGCUCCAACGUUCCAUACUUUUUGCCUUUAUAUACUUACCUCUCCUGUGGCUCUAAUAAUACUAUGGGCUAUAUACACAUGAGGUGAUACAACUGCAAUAAUGAGAAGUAAUUUUUUAGAGACUUGCUAUUUUCUUUCAUUCUAUUAUCUCUUCACUGAGUGUUGAAAGAAGCUCCGUCAACCUCUUCCGCGAUCGUACUCGUAGGAGAAGGAGUUCCGGUCGUACCUUGGGGCGGUGUUUCGGAUUAAUCCCACACGUAAGGACGGGAAUACGCCUUAGGGCAGUGCCUUGCACGCUUCCGAAUCGAUCAAAUUUUCUAUUUGGAUUUAGCAAUUAUCUGUAAGUUGAGUUUAUUAUUUUUAUCACAAAAUUUAGUUAGUUUUAAAUCGCAAUCAGAUUUCUAUGCGGAAUUUGUUCCAACAAUCUAAGGCGUAUUCCAAUUUGAUUGUGAUUGAAAUCUAACGAGUGCUAAUUCGUAUUAAAUUAAUUUAAUUUUAUAUGUAUAUAAUCUGUUUGUUAAUUUGUUUGUAAGAUUGGCAUUCAAACAUAAAUUUUUCAGAAUUAGCACUUUAACCUGUAAAUGCAUAUUAUUUAAUUUAUUGUUUAAAUUACAUUUUAUUUGGUGAUUAUUUUAUUUAAAAAAAAUAAAAAUACUUUUAUUAUAGCUCUUUUGUUAAAAAGAAAUGCUACAGAAAAAAAAUUUUCCGGUGCAAAUGCAUAAACUGUUUUGUGGCUUUUGGAAAAAAAAAAUAAUUUUGCUACAGUAAAAAUAAUUUUAUUAGUAUGCAAUUUUAGAAUUUUGCUACAGUAAAAUUCUUUGGUAAAACUUAUUUGGUUUAAAAAAAAAAUUUAUUAUUUUGCUAUAGAUUUUUAUGCUGCAGUAAUUUUCUAUACUAGCACGAAUUUAAAAGAAAAAUCUGCUAUAGUUUAAACUCUUUGUAAAAAAAAAAUAAUAAUAAAAAAUAUUUUUUAAAAAAAUCAAACUUUUAUAAUUAUUUGGAUCAUAUAUUUGCUGAUGAACCAAACUAUAUUAAACAUGAUUAAUUUCAUAAUUUUAAGUUUUGGUGUAUCACAGAACUUGUGGGGGGAGCUAUUUUAUCAGUUUGAUAAAUUUUGAUAUUAUAAUUGCUCUCGUAAUUUUAUCCUAGAGUUCAUCUUAAAAACAAAUUUUGUAAAUUCUAAGAUUGGCAGGUAAAUUAGUUUGAGGUGUAAAUUUAUUAGAUAAUUAUUUUUCGUAAUGUUAUUUAUUUGAGUUUUAUCAGAUCUGAUCAGAAUCUUGCAGAUUGCUUGACGAAAGGCCUGAAUAGGACUAAGGUCCUGGAGUCAUCGAGGGGGAUGGGACUUUGCCCGUAAAGGGCCUUCCUGCAGUGGGAACCCAACCUUUGUGAUAGGAGAUCUCUUGAAGAAGGUUCAAUGUGGUAAAAACAAGCUGCUAGACUGGCCAAAUAGCACUUUCUACAGUUUAUUUAUAGGAGCUUUAGCUCCAAUCCCAUCCCUAUGGUGAGUAGUGCUCUGUGUAGUGGAUUAGGUUGAGCUGAUAGCUCUUAAUGGGAUCCAAGGCGAUAAUUUUCACCAGAUGUGACUCUACACACAUCCCUGGAGAAAACCACCUAUAUAAGAGUAUCCGUAUGUGGCCGCGGCUAUGUGAAUGGGCUAUACAUAGAAACUCUUAUGAAAAAUCAAGGUACUGUGCAUGGCCAUUAACGCACAGACCCGCGACGGAGAAUUUUGUACUGUGUGUGUGGUAGUUGAAGUCAGGGACAAAGAAACGUAGUUCAAGACCUGGUUCACUACGAUUCCUUCUGAUGGAAACUGCUAACACUAAGUGAGAUUAAGUCCUUAAAGACACCUUACCUAUUACAUAGUAUAAACACUCGGUGACUAAUUGAUUUCUUUUCUUUGUUAUUUAAUUUUUUAUUUUUAUUUUAUUUUAUUUUAUUUUUGAAAAUUUUAAAUUUUGUAGGGAAUUGUUGGAUAAAAUCCAAAAUUUUAUUAUCUAUUUAUUUAUUUUAUUAUUAAUUUUAAUUAGAUGAACGGCCGCAUCCGUUUCACGCGUUGGGAGCUUGGUGCCUCAAUUGCAGCCGCUCGAUGCGUUGAGAUCCUGUGCAGAUCCUUUCACUAAUUAAGACAUUAAUUAGUACAGGCAUUGGAACGUUGGGCUUCAACGUUCCAUGCUUUUUGCCUUUAUAUACUUACCUCUCCUGUGGCUCUAAUAAUACUAUGGGCUAUAUACACAUGAGGUGAUACAACUACAAUAGUGAGAAGUAAUUUUUGAGAGACUUGUUAUUUUCUUUCAUUCUAUUAUCUCUUUACCGAGUGUUGAAAGAAGCUCCAUCAACCUCUUCCGCGAUCGUGUUUGUAGGAGGAGUUCCAGUCGUACCUUGAGGUGGUGUUUCCGGUUAAUCCCGCACGUAAGGACAGGAAUACGCCUUAGGGCAGUGCCUCGCACGCUUCCGGAUCGAUCAAAUUUUCUAUUUGGAUUUAGCAAUUAUCUGUAAGUUGAGUUUAUUAUUUUUAUUACAAAAUUUAGUUAGUUUUAAAUCACAAUCAAAUUUCUAUGCGGAAUUUAUUCCAAUACCUUUAAAGUUGUUCUUUACCUGAAAAUCAAUUGCGGCAACAAAAUAGGGCUCUGAACAAAACUUCAGUUGUUGGAGAGCAUCCCGACAACGUCUCGUUGAAAAACUACUGAUCUGUUGUUUAUUUUGCCUUCAUUAAAAAAAAAUUAUUAAAUAUUUUUAAUAUUAAAAAUCUAUAAUUCAAAAUUUUUUUAUAAUUUAAAAGAAAAUUUAUAAUGUUUAAAUAGAUAUAAAACUGAUAUAUAAUAGCAGAUUGAGAGCUCGUAAAUGAGGCGUUGUUGAUGUGACUCCUCCAAAAUUUGAAAUAAUAAUAUUUUUAGACAGUGUUUCUCUCAAAAAAAAAUAUUUUAGACAAUGAUUAGCUCCAAAAGAUUAGAGAGCACUUAAGCGUGUUAGAGCUAGAGUAAUUCUAGAAUGGAUGACCCCACUGAAAAGUAUCACAUCAAAAUUGAUAUCAGAUCCAAUCACCAACUAGAAGUGUGAAAUGAAUUUCGGCUAAGAUAGAGUCAUACUGCAGGUAGAGCGCUGAGCCACGCUCCAUACUCCCCACAGGGUUGGCUAAAUCCAACAAUAACUCCCUACUAAGUCGACUAAGGCCAGCGAGAUAAAUCUUAUUUUGCUCCCGACUAACGACCUUGUGGAGAGCCACGCUCCAUACUUCUCACAAAGUCGACUAAGGCUUCAUUUGGGAUUGCAGAGGGAUUGUGUUAUGUGCUGUGAGAAAGUAUGAUUGGAAAAUACCUUGUUUGUUUCCGUGCGUAAUAUUGUGUUCCUCAUAUUGCGAUGAGUCGGUUAUAAUAUAUUUUCUGCGGUCCCGCCGGAAAACGUAGAAGCAUAUCUCUAUGUGCUUUCUCUCUAACUCUAUUUUAUCUAACAGCGUCAGAUAGACCUCAAUACCAAACUAAGCUUAAGAUUAGUAACAGCUCUCUAUAAAGUCGACUAAGCGUAACGAGACGAGUCUUAUAUCAAUUGAUGCUUGUAAGUAUGUUUGAGCCUAACGAGAACGUUAGGACUUAAAAUAAGAAAGUAUUGUAACCUCCCGAAUUUAAAAUAAUCUUUAUAUACAAAAUAUAGGAAAAACUUCAAAAACCCCCUAUGUGGUUUCGCACUUUUUCAUUUUAGUACCAUGUGGUUUAAAGUGUAUCAAGUUAGUACCCUGUGAUUUCGCAUUUUCUCACUUUAGUACUCUGUGGUUUAAAGUGUAUCAAGUUAGUACUCUGUGAUUUUAUUUUUGUAUCAAGUUAGUACCCUGUGGUUUUAUUUUUUUGUCAAGUUACUACCCUGCGGUUUAUUUUUCUCUUAAUGAAAUAUUAAACCACAAGGUAUUAAAGUGAGAAAGUGCAAAACCACAGGGUACUAACUUAAUACACUUGAAACCACACGGUACUAACUUGAUACACUUGAAGCCACAUGGUACUAAAGUGAGAAAGUGCGAAACCACAGAGUACUAACUUGAUACACUUGAAACCACACGGUACUAACUUGAUACACUUGAAGCCACAUGGUACUAAAGUGAGAAAGUGCGAAACCACAGGGUAGUAAUUAACUUGAUACACCUGAAACCAUAGGAUACUAAAGUGAGAGAGUGCGAAACUACAGGGCACUAACUUGAUACACUUUAAACCACAGAGGACUAAAGUGAGAAAAAGUGAAUCCACAAUGGAGGUAUUUGAAGUUUUUUCUAAAAUAUAAUAGGACUAAACUUUUUAAUCUGAUUAUAGUAUUUUAGACGGUGGUUAGGCUCGAGAUGUUAAAAAACAUAAGAAUAAAAAAAUAGAAUAACUCUUUGGCUUUUUACCUUAUAUAUUAAUGGGAAAACUUCAAAUACUCUCCUUGUGGUUUCAUUUUUUCUCACUUUAGAACCCUGUAGUUUUAAGUGUAUCAAGUUAGUACCAUGUGGUUUUGCACUUUUUCAUUUUAAUAUCCUGUGAUUUAAAGUAUAUCAAAUUAGUACUCUGUGGUUUCGCACUUUUUCUUCGCACUUUCUCACUUUAGUACACUGUGGUUUCAGGGUACUAACUUGAUACAAAAAUAAAAUCACAGAAUACUAACUUGAUACACUUUAAACCACAGGGUACUAAAGUGAGAAAGUACGAAACCAUAAGGUACUAACUUAAUACAUUUUAAAUCACAGAAUAUUAAAAUGAAAAAGUACGAAACCACACGAGGGUUUAAAGUUUUUCCUAUAUUAAUCAAGGAGUACCCCCCAUCUCUUGGGACAUACUGCGGGUACUCAUAACUAACUAUAGAGUGGCGCCAGGAAAAGGCAAGUAGUGGGGGGAGUGGGUCCCACAAAUAGGCGACGUCAUCCCCCACGAACGAGGAGAGGAGGAGGGAAGGAAUCCGGCGGAGUUGACGCUGACAGGCGCCGCACACAAAGCCGGCCAGCCAGUCAGCCCGCCCGCUUUUGCAUUUGCGCGUGUCGAGGCCAGGAGCCCGGUCGCGUCCAUGUCCCCCUCCCUCUCUCCGAUUCCCUGGGCCCCACACCACCCCCACCCUUCCUAUUCAUUUUCAUUUUUAUUUUUCUUUUUCUUUUCCUUUCCCUUUUCCUUUUUUGGUAAUUAUUUAUUUAUACAUCGGGACCCCCCACCUAUACCCUAUUUUGUAAUCCACCUAUUAACUUUUCUUUUCUUCUUUUUUCUUUUUUUUUUUGGAGUCAUGAAUUGCAUAUACGCCGAAAAAACAGUUACAUAGAACGCGAGCACAUAAAUAUAUGUAUUUUUAAUUUUUACCAUAAUUGUAUAAAUUAUAUUUUAUCAAUUUAUUAGUAUUUAUAGAAGUAAAUAAAUUAUGUUUUAAUCUCGUUCUUUCUCUUCAUGUGUAAUAUAAUUGCAAAAAAAUGAGCUUAUAAUCUCAAUAAUAAUAUAAUUUAUCUACAAUCUCUCUAACGGAAUCUUAGCAUUGUUCAAAACUAGAGUUUGAUUCUAAUCGUUACGGCAGAUAAAACUUUAAGUAAAGAGCUCUCCAAAAACGUUUUAUUGGAAGCCUCCGACACACUGUCAUGUAUUAAUCUUAUUUCUAUUCAAGAAUUAUUUAUUACUAAAUUUAUAAAAAAAUUAAGUUCUAAAAGAGAAAUUUAUAAUAAUUCUUUGAUUGAGGUAAUACUGUGACAGCAGAUUGAAAGCUUCUCAAUAAUUUUUUUUUUUUUUUUCAGCGCAGAUAAUUCUUGGGGGGAGAAGAAAGCGUAGAGUCUUCUUUUAAAAGUCCAAAUUUGGAUAGUUCCAAUUUGGAUUUAUAACAAAAGAGAAAUAUGGCAUCAAGUUAUAACAUAGGUGGUAACAUAAGAUCCUAGUAAGUUUAUAUCGAUAAUCGAAACUAUAGCCUUGAAGGUUAAGUUUGUCCAGAAUAUCUUGCUGGCAAAUAUCUUCCCAGUAAUCAUUAUCUGUAAUUCCUUCAAGUGGAUACCCAAAUAGCACUCUAAUGUCUCUAAUAAUACUGUCUUGAUCUAGUAAAUCAUAAUAUUGAAAGUUUAGUAUGCCUCGAAAGUAUUGCUGGUAAUGAUUUUCCCAGUCUAUUAAUAAAAAAAAACGACAGUCACUUAACUUUUAUUUAUUUCAAUUUAAAUUAUACUAGCAAAUUGAAAUAAAAAUUUAUUAACCGUACAUUCUAUUAAUUACGUCUUUAGAUCUUUAGCUUUAAUUUGCCUCCACUGAGAAUCACGCGGAAAUGUACGUAAUAGCAUGUCUAAUCAAUUUGGCUUUCAUUUUUUUAAGUAGAUGUUGAGAAACUGCAAUUUUUUUUUUAAAAAAAAAGUAAAAGUCUAAGUCAAGGGAGGCAAUUGAAAAUAGCAGAUAGGUGAGGGGGUGUGGCGAUAUAUUUUCUUUUUUUAUAUUUAGUACGACUAUAAUUUUCUAUUUGGUACUAUUUGGUACGUUAAUAAGGGACAGUGCCCAAACUCCAACUUGCCGCGGCGGGGGGACCCACCGCGAUUCCUCCCUCCUCUUCCUCCGCUUCUAUACGCCUCUUUCCCCUCCCCAAAAGCCGUUCUCUAUUCUCUCUCUCUCUUCUUUUCUAUUCUUUUAUUUUAUUAUUAUUAUAAUAAUUAUCCAUUCCUCUCUCUUUCUCUCUCUCUCGCAACACGCCGAAACUCACCUCUCCACCGACUCCCUUGUUGUCGUAUUUUUUUUUUUAAUGGAAAAGUUGGGAAAAAUUAAAGCUUCCCAAGUGUUUGGAUAAUUACGUGAUAUAGUGGGGGAUAAACCACAAGUUGGUUCAGCAAUAAUUACAAGUUUCCAACAUGUCACCAAACCAGCCGAGAGGAGAUGAUUAAAGUUCUGGGUAAAAGUAAUGCUACCUCUCCGCUCUUCUUAGUGAAAAUAAUAAUAAUAAUAAUAAUAAUAAUAAUAAUAAUUCAGGAGAAAGCUUCUCAUAAUAUUUUGUUGGGCGAUUUGGAUUAACAAUUCUUUUUUAUUAAGGCUUCCCAACAGAACGUACGUUGUUAAGAAGCUUCUUACUGAAUGUUUAUUCCGUGUUUAACUAAUGUAAGUAUUAAAACUUAUGAUCUGAUAAUUUGAAAAAUAUUUCAUCGAAAUACUAAAUUCAGAAUUAGUUAUCUUUCUAGUUCUUAAAUUUGAUAUUAUAUAAAUUAUUUACAAAAUUUGGAAUUUUAGAGAUAUGUCAUAUGCAAAAACUCGAACAAACGAAGGUGUAAUUAGUACUCAAAAUUUGACUCAAAUAAGGAGUUGUUUGAUUACAUGUAAUUGUAGCUGCAUGACAGUUGUAACUGUAUACAAAUACAAAUUCGAUAUCUGAUUUAAUAUAUAUAAUAUAUAUAAUUCUAACUAUUGUAGUAAAAAUGCAGGAGGUCCAACUGCAACAGUUAAAAUUACGCCCAAAUUAACUACAGUCAGAAAGUAAUUUUAAACCAAAAAAAAACUUACCUCUUUAAUUAUUUUUUAAAUAAAAAAUAAUUUUUUUUCUCGCCAUCAUAUAUAUAAAAUAAUAAAAUUUUAAAAAUUAUUUUUCAACUACAUGUAAUUAAAUAAAAUAUUUAUAGUUGUUGUAUUUAAGAAACUGACCCAAGUAGAAGGAAGUAUCUUACAUUGUACCGUACCCACUGUGGUCCAGUAAAACAAAUGUGAAAAAAAAAAUUGGGAGCAUCGUGCAAAUGCGCAGAGAAGGGCCUCGAACAAUGCAAUGCCGCGUCACCCACCCAAGACGCGGCGCCAUAAGAAAGCAUAAGCUUUUCUCUAAAGUCGCGGUGACCGAAGCACUUUAUUUUUCUCCUCCACCUUCACAAAAGGUAAGUGCUUUCGAUUUCUCUCGUCUUCUAUUUUGCGCCUUUUAUUUUUUUAUUUUUUUUAUUUCACCAUUUCCCAGGAAUGUAAAGAAAAUAAUAAUAAAAUAAGUAUACUCCCGAAAGAAAAUUAUCGACCAAGAUAAUCAUCCAAAUUUUGUGAAAUUAUUAGAGAGAUAUAUUCUUUUCUUUGCUGACUAUGUAAGUCAACUUUUUCUAAUACGAAAAGAUUAUUCCGUCCUCCAACAAUUAUCUCUGAAGGUGAUAAAGGUUUUUGUAGACUAAAAAUAGGGUUUAAAUGAGAUUUUUAUUAUUAAUCGGAGUUAAGGAUCGUACAGUUUAAUAUAAUUAAGGAAGAAGCAGCAGCAGCAGCAGCAGCACAAGGACGAGCUCGCCCCGGCGCUCUCAUCUUAAUCCCUGAACCGGGAAUCAAGGCCGGGGAAAUUUUACACCACAAAAUGAGGAAGCCAAAAGAAAAUUUGAAAAAAAAAAAAAAAUAUAAAAAAAACUCGACGGGCGGUCGGGCUCGAACAAAAUCCGUCGCCGGAUCGGAAACAGGCACCUGCCAACACCGACGAGAUUUUUCAGCGGCCUCAAAACGCGUUCGGAACGCGAUCAGGAAGAGGUGUAGAGAGUGCGUUGGGCGGCCGCUGCGUUCCCGCUCGUCGUCACGGAGCCUCCGAGGUCAUCGACGGCGUCGUCGGCGCCGCGCGGCGACGCGGAUCCUCGUCGUCGUCCCCCGCGGCGGCGGCGGCGGCGCGCGCCGGAGAUUCGCGGCUCAGGCACAGAUUGAGGUCGCACGUGUCGUCCGCAGAACGGCGGCGGCGAGUCCUCGAGCGAGCUCUUGAGACGCUUCACGGCGGAGAAGUGAGGCGCCCCGCCCCUCGGCCGCGCGUAAGGCCUCCGCCGUCGUCGUCGCGGCGGCUGCGCGCGCGCGCGCAGAGGCCGUCGAGAUCGGGGAGCGGGCCAGGGAACCCCGCGGAGGACGUCUCCACCGCGGCCUGGCACAGUGCCAGUUCCCCGUCCACAGGAGCCCCACGCCCGUUCACGGGGUUGAUCGUGCGCCGCCACGCCUCGAACAGCAGAGAUUGAAACAAAGCUACACCCAAAGGAACAAAAAAAAAAAAAAAAAAAAAAAAAAAAGCGGCGAAUCAGAUCGCGAUCGCGAGAUCGGAGAGCCAUCGAUCGAGCGAAGCAAACUAGGGUUUCGGAGGAAAGAGGGGUUGGGGGGGGGGCGUGUUUUUACCAGGGCGCUCCGGCUCGGGGACGGCGGAGAUGAAGGACAUGAGGCCGGCGCGGCCGAAGAACUUGGCGACGAAGACGGUGGCGUGGCCCUGCGCCUCGGCGCUCUCGAUCCACUGCAAGCAGGGGCGGAGCACGCACGCCUCGCUGCAGCCCUUGCGGAGGACUCGGCACCCGUUGCAGCUCAUCGUCCCCAACUCCGGCGCCGAUCGAUCAUGCCACGGAGAAAACAAAGAAGAAGAAGCAGCGGAACCCUAGCUCGAUCGACGAUCGAUCCUCUUCUUCAGGUCAAAUCUCUCACUCUCUCUCUCUCUCUCUCUAGUUUCUUUUUUUUUAAAAAAAAAAAUCAAUUAGUUUGGAAGCGGAAACGUAGUAGCUUGAGCAAGAAGAAAAGUUGAGGGAGGAGGGGACUGGGGAGAGAGGGAGGCGGAGAAACGGGGAGGUGGGGAGUGGUAUAUAUAAGGGUCACCGGAGAGUUAAACUUAACUCGACUCCAGAGUUAAGUUUAGAACGGUAUUGUUACCGCCCUGCCAGAGAACUUUUCCCUGGACCUGGUUCACUAAUAAGUCAUCUGGUUUCUUUUUUCUAAAAAUAGUAAAAGAUCCACUGUAACUAUCAAAAUUUUAGAUGCCUUUUGUUUCAUCAUCUAAACUUUAAUUUAUUAUAUAAUUUUACUUUUCAUACUUUAACUUUGCCACAAUCGAUUAUCAAUUAUAAAGUAUUAUUUUGCCAUCAAAAUAUUAACACAGUUGUUAAAAAAAAAAAACUAUUUAUCUCAACGUACGAAUUGACUUUUUAAUUAUUUUUAUUAAAAAAUCAAAAUUUUACUCAUGCAUGAUCCAAUGAAUGAUAAAUUAAAACUAAAUUAUCAUUAUUAUUAUCGGAAGGAUUAGGGGGAUAGAGUCUACGGGCUUUGUUUUGGGAGGAGAAAACCAAAAAAAAAAAAAAAAAGUUCCAAAGUCCUGGGGUGCGCGGUGGCGGCCCCGUGUUUCCGCGGCUGGUCCCCAUCUCUCCGCCGUCCGAUUCGUCCGGGGUCACGGAUAGGGGCGUGGCGUGGCCAUCGAUGCGCCCUCGCCGCUUGUAUACCUAUCUCUCUCCUAUAUUCUAUUUCUAUACCUUUCUUUUUACAUACUUUGUGCUCUCUUCCACGUAACCCCUUGUUCCCUUUCCAAUUUAAUAUUCACCCCACUUGCUUCUCUCUCCUUUUCUUUAUUUAUAUAUAUAUAUAUAUAUAUAUAUAUAUAUAUAUAUAGAGAGAGAGAGAGAGAGAGAGAGAGAGAGAGAGAAAGAGAGAGAGAGAGUGUUGAGCUAGAAUACUCUCAAAAGGACCAAAAGGUUGGUGUUUUUGAGUUUUUAACCUUUUGAUGGAGAAAUAUAAGAUUUGGAUGAUGAUGGUAGGUGGUAGUAGAUGGAAUAGUGUUUGAUCCCAAGGUUAUUAGUAAUUAAAGAGUGGAUCUAAGGGUUAAAAACUUAAUAGCACUAAGAGGGUGAUACUUCUAAAAGUAUUUAAGCCUAUAUAUAUAUGAAUAGAGCUACUACACUAUCGGAAGCAUAAAAUAAUUGGUACUUUCGAUUUUUUAGCCAUUGGAUUAAAAAUUUUAUAGUUGGAAUGAUGGCGGUCUCCUUAGGGUGGAGUGGUCCCCAUUGGUUAAUAAUAUUAAUCCAAUGGUUAGAAAUAAUCAAUGGGGUUGAUUUAAUGGCUAAAAAAUCGAAAGCACCAAUCACUUUAUAUUUUCGAUAGGAUAGUAGCUCUACUAUAUAUAUAUAUAUAUAUAUAUAUAUAUAUGAGCAGAGCUACUUUGCUAUUAGAAGCACAACAGCCCUUGUGCUCCAAACUUUUUAAUCACCCAGCAAGUUUGAUGGGUGAUUAGAAUGAGAGAGGGAAGAGAUGUUUGAGAGAAAUUCAAGAAAAAGAGAAAUUGAGACAUCCAAUUUCUCCCCAAUAUCUCCAAUAUCUCUUUCCUCUCUCAUUCUAACCACCUAUCAAAUUUGAUUGGUGGUUAGAAAGUUAACUACCUAUCAAAUUUGAUUGGUAGUUAGAAAGUUAGGAGCACAAAGACUGCUGUGCUCAUAAUAAUAUAGUAGCCCUGCUUUAUAUAUAUAUAUGGAUUAAUUUCAUACAAGUCCCUAUAAAUAUAGUGAAUGAUAAAUAUAUUUCUAUAAGUUCAACUUUCAUAUGUUGUCUCUAUAAAAGCCCUGAUAUUUUCAUAUAUGUCCAUAUGAUUCGUUAUCGUUAGAAAACCGUUAGAGAACUAUAGAGAUAUAUUUGUCAUUCAUUAUAUUUGCAGGAGCUAGUAUGAAAUUAAUCAUAUAUUUAUUAGAACAAAAUGCAACUAGAGCCCUCAAGUAUAAUACUGUUUUAAAUAAAUCCCCCAAACUCUUGAUUUUUUUUUAUAGUAAAAACAUACAGAACUUCGCUUUUAAAAUUUUAAUUUUACCAUCAAACUUUUCAAUUUAUUUGAUUUGAGUCGACAAACGAUAUUUGAUUUUAAAAGUUGUUUAUCUUUAUAGAUUUGGUUAAUAUAUUUAAUGCAAUUUUUACAACUAUAAAACUAUUAAAAUAAAAAAUUGGCUUAAAUUUUGAAGUAAAAAUGUCGCUGACUGACUCAAAUCAAAAAAAUUGAAAGGUUGGAUAGUAAAAUUAAAAUUUAAAAAGGUUGAAUAGGUAAGUUCUAUAGGUUUUUACCUUUUUGUUUUGAUAUUAAGUGGUUUUGUUCAAAUAAAUUUAAAAUUUUUAUUAAACUUAAUUAUUUAAUUAAUUUUGAGCAAAUAAAAUUUAAAUAAAUAAGAAUUAGUAAUUAAUUGAUUAUUAAAUCCAGUGCUAAGUUUUAACUUAACUAAGAGGUUGCUUGGUUGCAUGUAGUCAGUAUAGUAUUGCAAUUUAGCUGCAUGCAAAAAUUUAAAUACAGAAAUUAGAUUUAUGCAUUUAAAUCCUAAGUGUUGUAUUGCUGCAGUUGGAAUCGUACACGAGGAUUUUGCUAUUGCAAUUGAAACUAUAUUCGAAUUGGUUGUAAUUUUAACUGCAGCAGUCGAUAAAAAAUAUAUAUUUUUAACUGCAUACAAAUUAACAAUCCUAUAUUUAAUUAUAAUUAUCUCUGAAAAAUAGCACAUAAGUUAUGAAGCUCUUACUUAAAAUAGAAAAUAUUUCAAAGCUCUAUUUUAAACGUGGCCAAUAAUUGAGGGUGUUUCCAUACAAUUUUAUUUUACUUUUCAUAUGUAUAAUAAUGCAUCAACUUGGUGUGUCACGUCUUUUGACAUUUUAUACAUGGAGGUCCCUAUAGUACUUGUUUAUUCUCUUUAGCCAAGAUAGCCCCCCAAAAAAAAAAAAAAGUUAGAUCAAGUUUGGGUUUUUAUUAACUUAAUGUAACCUUACCCAUUUGAUGUUGAUGAGAUAGAUUCUAAGCUAAUCCAAUGUUAGCUAUUUAAUCAUGCAAUUAUUUGCUCCAAUUCAUUUAGAAUUCUCCGCUAAGAACGGAGCGUCGUUUUCGUACAUGUCAUAUUCAUUUUAAUAAUAAUCUAAAAAAUUGGUAUUAUAAAAAUUUAUAUAUAAUUGCUAAAUCAGCUUUAGCUUAGUGGUUAGGCACCUGGUGCCGCAUAUAAGAGAACCAGAAUCAGAAUCAUAAAAUGAAAAAAUAAUAAUAAAACUUAAAAUUCUUUUAUAUUUUGCAUUUUGUAUUCACGAUAUUUUUUAGCAGAGUAUUUGAUGAACAAAAUAAAUUAUAGAAAAGUAGCACAUUUAUAAGACAGUUUAGGAAUGAAAUGUUUUGAUGGGACCUGCUAUGAAACAACAUUAACCUAGAAAACAACUUACUGUAAGGGAAACUUUUUCUUUUUUCCAGAGAAAUUGUAAUAUACUGUCCACUUCGUUUAUUUUUUUUAAAAAAAAUUUAAUUCAAUAUGUAAAAUAAUUAGAUUUUGGAAUUGAAAUAUGGAAUAGAAACUAUUAAACUCUUUACCACUGGCGCUAAAAAUGAUCGAAGUAAAGACAGCACUAUUGACUGGUAAAAUAUAUGACUGCUUAGUAAAAUAUUUGAUUACUUUAUACUUUUGGUUCUAAAACUAUGCCUUACGUAAUGCUCUGGUCUUUAAACUUUAAUUUAUUAUAAUUUUUAAAUUAAAUUUUUUGAAUUAUUGCAAUCGAGAUCCACAAUCUAAUUUAGCUGACUAAAUAUUGAUAUACUGGUAUUUUAAAAAUAGUGUAAUAGUAUUGUGAUUGACCCCAUGACAAUAAUUAAAAUAUCAUAUUAUUUUUCAUCAGCAACACGUUAAUAUUCAGUCAAGUAAAUUAUGUUGUGAAUUUUAGUAAAAGCAAUUUAAAAAUUUUAGGUGAAAAAUUAUAAUAAAUUAAAGGUCGAAAACGUAAUAUAGCCAAAAUUUGGUAAGAACAUGGGGGUGAUUAUGCAUAUUUAUUGUAUGCGUCCUCGCUUGUCCCCUUAAUAGGCUUAUAUAGGACUUGUUAUUGACCCUUUUUACUUGCCUCUAGUGGACUUUAGUGGGGGCUCCUGUGCUCGUAAUCUAUAAGAUUUUCUUUGUAUCCCUUUGGAUUAUAUAAGCACAAAUUAAAAAGACAAAAAAGAUAAAAUAAAAAGAGAAAAAAAAAUUAGUUUGGUGAGUGAGAAAGUUUGAAGAAGAGAGAGAUAUCUAUCUCUAUUCUCAGAUAAAACUUUAGCCGGGGGCUCUCAAAGACGCUCCUUUGAUCAACUGCUAUGUAUUAAUUUUAUAUCUAUUUUAUAAUUUGUUUAGGUAUUUUUUGAUCCGGUUAAUUUCAUACAGAUCUUUGUAAAUAUAGUAAAUUGCAAAUAUAUAUUUCUACAAACUUUAACUUUUAUAUGUUGUUCCUGUAAAAGUUCUAAUAUUUUCAAAUAUGUCCCUCUUGUUAAUUACCGUUAAAGUACUGUUUAUUUUAUAAGAGAAAUAACUUUUUUGUCAUUAUAAAUAUGUCUCUCCAAAAGUCCCAACUGUUAAUUAAAGAGGGGCAAAAUAUUCAAUUCACCUAAUUAACUAACUAGAGUUAAGUAUUUACCUAUGGUUAACUAAUUUUUUCUAACAGAUCCUAACGAUAGAGACAUAUUUGAAAAUAUUAGGACUUUUGUAGGAAUAAUAUAUAAAAGUUGAACUUUGUAGUAAUAUUUUUGUAAUUCACUAUGUGUGCAGAAAUCUGUAUGAAAUUAAUUCUUGUUUAUACUAAAAUCUAAAAAAAAAAAAUAAAUUCUAGAAAAAAAGGAUCAUAAUUUUUGGAUAAAGAUAAAAAUAACACGUGGCGACAUAUCGUCAUUGGGAGGCCCCCCGCCGAAAGUUUUUUUUUCUCUAUUUUCAUCAUCAAGGGAGUAAGGUUAUUAAUGCAACUCAAAAAUCAUAUCGUCAAUUUUCGGAGUAACUCAUUAAGCAUAAAUUUAUAAACUAUUUGAGCCAAUUAAAUGCAAUGUUCUCACAUAAUAGUUUGAGAGGGCUUAGGACCUGCUCUGAUACCAUAUCUUCGAAAAGAAGAGUCUCGCAUUUUUCGCGUACGAUCUAUAUACUUUAGUAUGAAACAAUUGAAAAUUAUCUAAUUAUUUUAUAAUAUUAACCAUUUGAUUCCUUCACUCGCAUUAUUGCCUUUUUGUUCAGCUCACUUAAAACCUAAUUAAAAGAUUAUUUUGCGAUAAAAACUAUAUCUGUUUAAUGAUCAGGAAACAAAAUGAAAUGCAUGCAUGCGAAACAAUGAAACACAAAUAAAAACAGAAGUUCAAAAUCUAAAGUGCUUGUGUAAAAUGUGCAUGGACAAAGUGGAAAUAUGUUUAAUCUAUAAUCUAGCAGUUCUAUCCACAAGUCUAAAACCUUGCAUUGCCACAUCGAAAAAAAAAAAAAAAAAUCGUUGACUUUAGUCUGUCAUAAAGCCUCUUCACAAAUAUCAAAGCACAUAUUAUUUAUUAUUAUUCGUUAAAAAUGCACAAAAUUUAUGUAAAUUAUAAAUCAUUUUGAGUUUACUGUACCAUCCUUUAAAAUUUUAAUUUUACUAUCUAACCUAUCUAUUUAUUUGAUUUGAGUUAGCCAAUGAUAUUUUGACUUCAAAAUAUGAAUGCGUCGUUUAUUUUUAUAUAUUUAGUUAGUACAUUUCAUAUGAUUUUCGCAACUACUAAUUCAUUAAAAAAAUAAUUAACUUAAAUUUUAAAGUCAAAAUAUUAUUAACUAAUUCAAAUCAAACCAAUUUAAAGAUCGGGUACUAAACUCAUAAAUUUGAAUGGUUGAGCUCAGAUAAGUUAUGUACAUUUUUAUUACCUAAUUAUUAUUAUUACAUGACACAUGUACAAUUACACUUUCAAAUAAAACUGAUAAUACCGACUGUCCCUAAAGCAAGUGGCAAAGGGCCUGGUGGUUGAUACCCGAGACCCAAGCUCGAAUCCUAGUUGAUUCAUAUUUCCAGUUAAGUUUAUUUCUAAAUGAAAUAAACGAAGCGGGUAGCGUGCUACCUAUUUUUCAAAAAAAAAUAAUAAUAAUAAAACUGAUAAUGUGCUACAUUUCUCUUAAAAAAAAUUAUUUAUUUUUUUAUUUUGUAUGUAAAGAAUGUAAAGUUUUCCUUUACUAGCUUUGGCACUUCUGAAAUAUGUGGUACAGAAACCUUAAUUUCUCUCCUCUUUCUCUACUGAGAGGAAGAGGUGAGCGGGUGCCGCGUCCACGGAGAGAGCGAGAGAGAUGUAAACGCACCCUGCGGCACGGCCACGGGGGACAACGAUAUAUUCUCUCUUUAGACAAGUUGAGUGUGGGGGAUCUAUCAUGGAUGUGUAUACAUGAACUGGGGGAGAUGUUCCAUUGAUUAUAUUAUUUGGAAUUCCCUGGCGCUACACGACAUUUCCAGCUUAUUCAUGGAUUGGGAUACAUAACUGGGUCGUUUUCUCAACUCUCAUCUCCCCCGAGAGGAGGAUCCUCAAAAUAUGUUCUUGUUUUGACAGUUUUGUUAAGAUAUUUUUUUGGGGGUGUUUCUUUUUCUUUUCUUUUUUUUUUUUUUGGUGGUGAAAAUUUGUGGAAGCUCGCACAACUGCACGUCAUUUUACGUACCCCUGCUACUCGGGAUCUAUUUGGGUGUUGAAAAAGAUUUUUUUUUCCUCUUUUGGUUAAGAUAUAGAAAACCUCUUAUAAAUAUUCAUUUUUUUAAUUUUUUUUCUUGACUUUUAAAAAAUCUGCAUUUUGUCCUCUUAAAAUUUUACAAAUAUUUUCAGAGGAGUACAGUAUUAAUGAAGAGAACAAAAUGACCAAAUUAUUCUUAUUCCUUCUAAAAAAAAUAAUUUUUAAUAUAUUUCUGUCAUUUUGAAAGAAUUUUCGGUAUAAAUUAUUAAGAAAUAGACAUAAGAGUGAUAGAACCCUGGCGGAAGGGGGUAAAUGCAACGACUUGAAAUGUUAAGAAAUAAAAUAUAAGCUUUUAAAAGUUGGAGAAGGAAAGUAAAAAAAUAGAUAUUUAUAAAAAAAUUUCUGUAAGUUAAGCUAUUGUUUUGCAUUACUGGAUAACAUAUAUAUAUAUAUAUAUAUAUAUAUNGGAUAUGAUCCAGAAACCCAUUGCUGGAAGAAAGAGACACCUACCAACUACUCUAGCCCUGUUUAAACAUUGGAAUAAAUUAUUCUUAAAUAACUUAUUAGGUAUAAAAUUUCUCGUAUAUGAUUGAAGGCAAAAAGUUUGAUUUUUACUCUUUGAAAGGUUUUGUCAUCUAUUUUGGUAGGAUAUAUAACAUAUGUCAACUAAAAAGUAGAGUAUAUUAUUCUAUAUAUUCUAAACGUUUAAUAAUAUUUUAUUCUGGAUAUACUUUUGAUUUUUAAAAAGCUCUAGUAUUUGGUAGAUAAAAAAAUAUUAUUAAACGUUUAGAAUAUAUAGAAUAAUAUACUCUACUUUUUAGUUGACAUAUGUUAUAUAUCCUACCAAAAUAGAUGACAAAACCUUUCAAAGAGUAAAAAUCAAACUUUUUGCCUUCAAUCAUAUACGAGAAAUUUUAUACCUAAUAAGUUAUUUAAGAAUAAUUUAUUCCAAUGUUUAAACAGGGCUAGAGUAGUUGGUAGGUGUCUCUUUCUUCCAGCAAUGGGUUUCUGGAUCAUAUCCACAAAAAGAAAUAUAAAAGUUUUGUUAACUAUAGUUGUUAAUUAUAGUUUUUUUUCUAACAAUAUCCCUAUAAAAAUGUUUAAUUUGUCACAUAACUAUUCCAAAUUUUAUUUUACCAGCUAACCCUCCUUGUGCCAACUUAAUAUCAUAUUGAAAAAAUUAAGAACACGGUGAAUAGUUCAUCGCCUUUGCAUCGCCAUUUUUAAAAAAUAAGGAAAAGAUAAUGAAUCAUUCACCAUCUUCUAUAUUGCAUUUAUGGGCCAUUUGGUUGGAUAUAGUUGUAAAUACAGUGUAGUUAAAAAUGCAUACAGUUGUAAUAACAUUAAUUUCUUUGGCUUUGUGUAGAUGCAACUAUUGCAGUUGCAUUUCUUCUUUUUUGAUAAUUUGAAGCCGAUAAUUGUAUUUAUAAAUCUUAUCAUCUCUUUAGAUAGAGUGGUGAGAUUAUCUUCACUAUACAUGAAAUAAUUGUAUAAUUUUAUUAAUCAUUUAAGUUUACUAUCUAUAAAUAAAUAAGUGGAAAUAUAUAAUAUUUUUAUAUUUUUCAAUAAUUUUUCAACUUAUCAAUCGACACAUUUAAAUUUUUUAAUUUAUUUAAUUUUAAUAUGUAAAUCAAAUUUUAAAAAUUUAAACGAUUCUCUCUUUUUUUUUUAUCAAAUUUAAUAAUUAUAAUUAAUUAAAACUUAUUAAGUUGACAUACACAAUCAUAUUCUGUGAAAAUUUAGAAAAAAAUUUAUUUUUUAUAUUUUGAAUAAAAUAGAUUUUAAAAAAAUUAAUUUUUUGCACAUAACUUGUAUCGCCUAAAAAAUUUUAUUAGUAUGAGUUUAUUUACAAGUAUUUUUAUUUAUCCAUAUAUAUAUAUAUAUAUUAUUUAUUUAUUUAUUUAUUAUGUUAAUUUGUCGGUGAUCCUAUUGCUCACCAACUGUUGCAGUUGGAACUGCAGCCAAUUUGGAUGUAGUUCAAACUACAAGAUUUGGACAUUCUUGUGCAAUUGCAACUGCAGCAAUUGGACUCAACCACAUUAAACCAAACACAGGAAUUAAAGUUGCAUGUCUUUGUAACUGCAGUGCAGUUGCAAAUGCAUGCAACCAAACAGCCCCUUAAUGCGACAACUGAUUGCAUUUUUUCAAUUAUUUUUCUAACCCAACACUUAGUUUGACAAAAUAUAGUAAAUUUUUACUAGAUUAUUUGGUCAAUUUUAAAAUUUUUAAAUGGCUAAAAUGAAAAGAAAAACUCCUUAAUUGUUAUUAGUUGUUUAGUAAACUACCAACUUAACCGAAUUUUUGUGGAAUUUUCAAAAUCCAAAGUUGGAGUGAUGUUAUUUAAUAAAAAUAUAUUGAGCCCACUUAAAAAUCAGCUAUCUUUAACGCAGCCCAAUUAGUGGCCCAUUUACUAGAUGGGCUGGACCAGCCCAGAAAUCAAAAUUUGAUACAGGGCCUGUUUGGUACCGACGGCUGCUAAACAGUGUUUUUAUGUGGGACCGCAAAAAUCAUAUCUUCGUCAAACUAAGUGUGAUAUAUGCAGCGUGUCAUCACUUCAGAAAUAAAUAUAAUAUUUUUCUAUUGCAAGUUUCACGGCCUGUAACACAUUUUGCUUGCAAUCCCAUACGGUGCUUUAUCGCGACGACUUCAUAAAGUAUGUAGUAUUCCGUGCGUCCAAGUCCGUGUUGUCGCAAAAGUCGACAACUGUAGUAGCUCCCAACUAUAUAUAUUGAAAAUACUGAAGCUUAAAUUGUCAGUACCAAGUGCUAGUUUAUUUGUACAGUGUCAGUUUGUUUCUUCGAAGCAAUGUACGUAGCUACACGAUUCGAUAUGAUGCUACUGAGAAGGUGUGACGUUACCAUAUAAUGAAUCUGUACAUGAGGUAAAGAUAAGAGAAUAUACCAUUGUAAAAAUCCUGCAUGGCACCCUCAUGCAUGGUGACCAUACUUGUAUAUUUAUGAUAAACCAAACUUCAUACAUUUGUCAUGCAUGCAUGAACUUCAAUUUAGUUCGUCUCUGAGAGUACAUAGCUGGUGCCUGAUCACUAACAAAUGAUAUAUAUAUAUGGUCGAGGAUGUGGCAUACACAAGGUGUAGAAGCCCAUGUAUGUAUGUCCCAUUGCAUCCUCAUUCGUGUAUCGGAAUGUCAGAUAUGUGCUCUGCCCCUCCACUACAACAGAAUUAGGUUAUAGGGACACAUGUUUGGGACACUUUUGAGUAAGUGUCCCAUUUAUACUAAAACUUAAAAAAAUAUCUACUUAUGCCUAAAUAUAAAGCCCAAUCCAACCAAAAAUAAAAGAUUACUCUACUCAACCCACCACACCCAAUCCAUUGGACCCAAUUACAAACAGAAAAAAAAAAAAAAAAUCAAUUACCAUCUUUUCUUCUCUCUUCACUCAAUCCACUGAAAUUCUAGACGAAGAGCAUUUCCUGUCGUCCUCCUCCGCCACAGCAGCCAACGAGAUAAAGUUUCGGCGGUUGUUAAAUGUUUAAAUAAGUAUUGGUAAAUUAGCAGCACUCUUUUAAAUUAUAGCGACACACUUUAACUGUCACUAUAUAUCUAGCGACCCCACAUAUAGCAGCACUUUUUAAAAGUGCCGGUAAUUUUAGCUAACAGCACUUUUUUGACAUGUACUUACAUUUAAAAGUGUCGCUAUAGACCGCUUUUAUUGUAGUGCUCAUGCCAUGCAUGUAUGCGACAUCGCAUUAAUAGCAUGCAUGUUUAUACCAUGACAUGACGGAAUGGGAUGGCCAGGUCCACCAGGAGAGCCUGCAGAGUUGAUUUUGUUCUGAUUCCAUGCAUGGGAUGCAUCAUGCAUGUGCCAACUCCAUGCAUGGAGUUAGGCAUCAAUGAAGGGCAUCCAUGCACGUACGCAUGCAUGUAAUUAACAUGCAUGCAUACGCGCAUGACAUGAUCGACACUCUUGAUGCAUGAAGCAUUAUUCUUGUGCAAAAUAAUGAACUUUUUCUUUUUUUUCUUUUUUUUUUACCCUUUUUGUGUGGCUUUGGUUAUCCUAGUAAUUUUUUUUUUAUCUUGUAGAAUGUUUUCAACAAAAAUACAUGUUAGCAUCUUGUUCGAUUAUCCAAAAAUUCCUAGUUGAUCCAUAGAUAUAAGUUCCACAACACACACACCCAUUAAUUUUUCUCUUUGAUCUUGAUUCAUCGUAAUCCGGUAAGAAGAAUACAAACAAACUGCUCUAAAUAGUUGUGCUAAAUUCUAGCUCGGCAUAGACGGGAUAAUAAUUAAGCGCAUAAUUAGGACCCUAAUGAUCGGCUUCCUAGCUACUUAAAUAGUAGUGUAAUUAGAUCACUUAGUUCCUAUUUUGACUUGACCUAAUUAAUAAAGUUGAUGUAAAAACAUGUUGCCAAUCUCAUUACAUGCCCUCCAAUCAACUAAAUCAUGUUCAAGAUAUAAUAUUUCAUCUUUCAAAAUUAUGAUUGCGAUAAUCGCACAUACAAUGGACUACAAUCAAACUUUUAACUUGCAAUUAUUAAAUAAAAACAGAAAAAAAAAAUUACAACAUCGGACAAAAAGACAAAUACUCUCAACGAUCGAACAAGUAGCAGAACAACCUAAUGGGCAUGAAAUUUUGCGAACGCGCGGGUUAUCGCCGGCAUUUGCUAGCAUUGUUACAAUCUGCAUGUCAGCACACCAACAGUUUUGCAGAAAACAGUUGGUUCAGAACAUAUUGGCUAUAGCUAGCUCAGCACGUAAAGAUUUUUCUAUACGCGAACCCAUCUCAUAUAAUACGUAAGUCCAACGGCCGAAUGUGCCCGGUUGUUUUAUCUAUCACCAGACAAAAAGACAGAUACUUUUAACUAUCAAACAAGCAGCAAAACAACCCAUUGGGCAUGAAAUUAAAUUUUGCACACACAUGGGUUAAUUAUCACUUGUAUUGUUAUAAUAUUUGUAUGUCAGCACAUAAACAGUUUUUACAGAAAGCGGUUGGGACCCAAACCUUACGAUAAAGAAGAUGCUAGGGUUUGACUUGGCACGUAAAGCGAGCGAGCCCCUACUUGUGUACUUAGUUUGUGACUUUUGGUUCUUGGACCAUUAACACCGCACUAAAAUAUCUAGCCAGAACCUGCAGAGAAAGAGAGGCCCACAAAAUUUAAGUUGCAUGCUGUGUGUGGUUCGGACGUGGGACAAAGAAGAUGCUAGGGUUUGACAGGACAAAUUUUUAUUUUAAAAAUAGUCCUGUCAAAAUUUAAUUUGUAAAAAUGGUUCUGAGCCUGCCAUGCAGGCGCCACAUCAGCACCACGCGGGCAGGACUGGGCCCGUGAGUUAAGUUAAACACGAUGAACCAUUCACCGUGUUCAAACACGGUGAAUGGUUCACCGUGUUUAGUACGUAUUUUUUAUAACGUAUUUUUUGUAUAUUGAAAAGUGGAAUAAGGAGUAGGGAUGUCAAUAGAUAUGGAUAUCCGAAAUAUUAUCCGAAUUCAAACCAGAAUAAAUUACACACACACACAUAUAUAUAUAUAUAUUAUAUAUAUAUAUAUGAUAUAUAUAAAUUAUUUUUGUUUAUUUAUACAAUAUAUAAAAUAUUUAAUAAUUUUUAUUUCUUAGAUCUUCAUCCAACCCAGCGGGUUUUAAAAAUCUAUACCGUUGGAUGAAGAUCUAAGGAAUAAAAAUUAUUAAAUAUUUUAUAUAUUAUAUAAAUAAAUAAAAAUAAAUUACGUGUGUGUGUAUAUGUAUAUAUAUAUAUAUAUAUAUAUAUAUAUAUAAAUUUAUUCGGGUUUGGAUUCGGAUAAUAUUUCGAAUAUCCAUACCUAUUGACAUCCCUACUUCUUAUUUCACUUUUCAAUAUGCAAAAAAUACGUAAGAAACACGGUGAACCAUUCACCGUGUUUAGACACGGUGAAUGAUUCACCGUGUUCAACUUAAUACCCUGGCUCCAGCCCUGCCCGCGUGGCGCUGACGUGGCGCCUACGUGGCAGAGACAGGGCCAUUUUUGUAAUUUUAAUUUUGAUAGGACUAUUUUUAAAAUAAAAAUUGCUCAGGGGGCUAUUUGCAAAAAAAGCCCCUGUGCUAAUAUGUGUCAAAGAGAGUGUUAAGAUAAUAGUUCUGAUUCGGGAGAUGACAUGCUCUCCCUCUAGGACAAACCUUUGGCUACGCCUGGUGGGCAGUCGACGAUGUCUCGACUUUCUGAGCUGGCUGCUGGUUGGUGGGUCACUUGGGAAGUAAGGAAUAGUGUAAUCUUUCGAUCGGUCCCACCGAACCCGAACCUAGCCGUGUUUAAGAUCAAACAGUUGUCGACCUCGUGGGAGCAAUCCUUCUCUACCGGUUAUGAUCUAACAGUUGGUGAACACGUGAGAGCAAUUCUUUCCCGCUGUUUUUUUUUUUUUUUAACCCCUUUCGAGGCCUUGCUGCAUGUAGCUUAAUUCUCCGUUCUAAUAAAUGAAGCGGAUAAUAUGCUAUCUUUUCCUCCAAAAAAAAAAAAAAAAAAGUUCUGAAAUCUUGACCUCUAUAUAAUGUAGAGGCUAUUUUCACCAAAUGGCUUAAGUUUUUCAAGUUGGAUCUGAGUCUCUUAAAGCUAGUGUAAAAAUCAAGAGAUGUUAACGGGUAUAGAUAUCCAAAUCUAGACGGGAAAGACCUAACCAAUGUCAAAUCGGUACGGUUUCAAGGUAUAAAACUAAAAAAAUUCGACGUAGUCGGAUAUAGUUUUUAAUUAUACCAACCUAAAUUCGAACCCAUAUCGAAUCCGAAAAGAUUUUAUAUAUUACAUGACUUUUAAUUUAUAAUUUAAAAAUUUACAUUUGAGUAUGAUAUAAUUUGAAAUUUGGUUAAAAUAAAAAAAAAAGGAUUGCUUUUGGUUUUCCCUUCUUUUUGUCAGGUUUGUUUUUAGUUAUGAAUUUUCGAAAAGCGUUGAGUUUUAGGAAUUUCGCAGAUCCAAUGUUUGGAUGUUGCCAUUGUCGUAGAUUUUCUGAUGAGCUUACCUAUUUACGACCGUUUAGAUUAAUGAAUUUGUGAUUAAUUCGACUGUCAUAUUAAUUUUGCCAUUCAUCUUGAAUAUACUGAAAAGCUCUGACAAGCAGUCACGAACUUAAAUUCUCUAAAAUAAAUUUUUUUUUCUAAAAAUACUUCAAAAUGAUCUUCCUACAAAAGAUCCAUAUCUAGUUUAUGACUAGAUGAUAAAUUAAUCUCUGCUGCAUUAUGAUAAUUGACGGUAAGGUAAAUACAUUUUAAUCGUAUUAAACUUAAUUUUCAACUAAAUUAUAAUUGUGUCAAUCCAAAUGCUCCUUGAUCGGGAUAUCGAGUUCGACAAACUUGCUCGUACAACGAGGUGCAAUGAAUUUAUCAAAAAAGUGGUCCAAAACUUUUUUUUAAAAAAAAGAAAAUCCAAAAGGCCAAUUUGCAUAAAAAAUUCACUUAUUUUGGGCUUUUGUAAAACCGGGCCACCUUUUUCGUUUUUGCAUAUUCGGUACGCUUUUUCAGCAAACUGACCAAAAUACCUUUUUUACUUUUUCUUUUCUUUUUCUCUCUCCUCUUCGUUUCUCUCGUUCUUCUUUUUUUUCUCGCCGGCAGAGCGGAGGCGGAAACGGUCCGUCUAGCCCUCGCCCUUGCCCUCAUCCACGCACCCCCCACCUUCCUCACCUCCAACCCCGCCAAGGCCGCGCCGCGACUUUUUUUUUUUUGCUUUUUUCUUUUCUUUUCUUCUCCAACUCUUCUCCACCGUCUCCGACGACGACGCCUCUCUCGUCCUUCCCCGCCCUUCUCAUCUCUCCCUCUCCCUCAUUCUCUACCGCAUCCGACAACGAUGCAUCUUCGCCGGCGCCGACGUCGACACCGUGGAGGUCAUUGCGGCGAUACAGGCUCGGAGCGGGGGUCCUUAGCGGCGUCGUCGCCGGCACCGUGGCUGUUGGCAGAGAGGAUGACAAAAAAAAAAUUAUAGAAAAAAUAGAAAAAAAAAAUAAAGAUAAAAAAUUAUAUAAAAAGAAGGAUGAACAUGAAAUUGUAUCGUUAACUGUAAAAAAAAUUAUAAGUUGCACUACUUAAGAUGUAAACUGCAGCUUUAAGAUGAAAACUACACUCUUUAAACGAAAAUUACACUUUUUGAGAGAUAUUUACACUGUUUCUCUUCUUAUUACAUUCUUUCAGAUGUAAACUGCAUCCAUUAAAAUGAAAGUAGCACUUUUUAAACAAAAGUUGUACUGUUUCUCCUCUUGUUACACCAUUUCUCCUCUUGUUACACUGUUAUUUAUUUUAAACUGCACCCUUUUAAGAGAUAUUUAUACUAUUUCUCCUCUUGUUGCACUAUUUCUGUAUAAACAAGAGGAGAAAUAGUGUAACAAGAGGAGAAACUGCACUGUUUUAAGAGAUAUAUAUAUCGUUUCUCCUCUUAUUGCAUCAUUUUUGUGUAAACAAGAGGAGAAAUAGUGCAACAAGAGGAGAAACUGCACUGUUUUAAGAGAUAUAUCUACUGUUUCUUCUCUUGUUGCAUUGUUUCUCCUCUUAUUGCACCAUUUCUGUGUAAACAAUAGGAGAAAUAGUGCAACAAGAGGAGAAACAAUGCAAUAAGAGAAAAAACUGUACCCUUUUAAGAGAUAUUUAUACUGUUUUUUCUCUUGUUGCACUGUUUCUUCUCUUGUUGCACCAUUUUCUGUGUAAAUAGGAGAAAAAAUAGUGCAAUAAGAGGAGAAACAGUAUAAAUAUCACUUAAAUAGAUGCAGUUUAAGAUAAAAAAUAGUAUAAUUUUCGUUCAAAGAGUAUAAUUUUUAUCUUAAAGCAGCAGUUUACAUCUUAAAUAGUGCAACUUAUAAUUUUUUUUGUAAUUAAAGAUGCAAUUUCAUCUUCAUCCUUCUUUUUAUAUAAUUUUUUAUCUUUAUUUUUUUUUCUGUUUUUUCUAUAAUUUUUUUUGUCACCUUCUCUGCCAACAGCUAUGGCGCCGGUGACGACGCCGCUAAGGACCCCCCGCUCCGAGGCUGUAGCGCCGCAGUGACCUCUACGGUGUCGACGUCGGCGCCGGCGAAGAUAAAUCGUCGUCGGAGGCGGCAGAAAAUGAGGGAGAGGGAGAGAUGAGAAGGGCGGGGAAGGGCGAGAGGCGUCGUCGUCGGAGACGGUGGAGAAGAGUCGGAGAAGAAAAGAAAAGAAAAAAGCAAAAAAAAAAAAGUCGCGGCGCGGCCUUGGCGGGGUCGGAGGCGAGGAAGAUGGGGGGUGCAUGGACGAGGGCAAGGGCGAGGGCGAGAGCAUGAGGGUGAGAGGUAAGACGAACCGUUUCCGCCUCCGCUCUGCCGGCGAGAAAAAAAAAGAAGAGAGAAACGAAGAAGAGAGAAAGAGGAAAGAGAAAAAGUAAUAAGAGUAUUUUGGUCAGUUUGCUGAAAAAGCGGACCGAAUCUGCAAAAACGAAAAAGGUGGCCCGGUUUUGCAAAAGUCCAAAACAAGUGAAUUUUUUAUGCAAAUUGGCCUAUCCAAAAUUGCAUGAGCAAAAUUAAAAUAAAAUUAUAAUGUAUAAAAAUCUCUACAAAAGGCAGAGCAAAAAAAAAAAAAAGAAAAAGAAAAAGAAAAAAGGUCCACAACAUUCCAAGCUAGAAGACAAAACAAGGAGUAAUGGCGUGGGGCGGGCGCGGGUCAGAGCUUGUCGGGGCAGGGCGUGGCACCCGAGAUCCGGUCGGGGAUUUGGUUCGGGCCGGUUCGGGUCGGCACCAAUUCCUGUCGGGUCAAACCCCAAAUCCGAACAAAAAAGAAAAAGGACACCUAUGAUGUGACACAUCCUCUUCUUUCAAAAAGUUAAUAAAAAAAAUAUAAUAAGAUAAUUAGUGAAUAAUAAAUAAAUAAAUAAAUAAAUAAAUAAUAAUAGAAAUCUGGGUGUCUUUUUUGUCCUUUUAAGAAAAAAAAUGUACUAAAAAGCUUAUUAUUUUUUAUUCUAAUUGUGAUAAUUAAGCAAUAUGAUAGGAAAAAAAAGGUGAAAACAUUUUUAGAUAUUAAUUUUUUAAAAUAUGUUAAAAUAGAAAACGAUAAUUUCAAAGCUUUGGUUCGGGGAUAAGCAAAAAAUGGCUAUUUCAGGGAUAGGUAUAAAUUGAGGUAUAAGCGGUGAUUAGAUAAAUUUUGCGUUUAGAUGAAAAUUGAGUUAUUCCUGGGAAUAAAAAAAAUAAUGUUUGGUUAGAUAAGAUGAAAUAAAAAAGAUAGUGAGUUUUUAUAAAUAAAAAAUAAUCAUAUUAUCCUCUUAUUAUAUUUGAAUUUAAAUUUUUAAAUUUUUAGUUUUAAAUUUAAAAUUUUAACUUUGAAAUUUCAAAUUUUAAAAUUUCAAACUUUAAAUUUAAGAUCAAAUUUAAAUUUGAAAAAUAUAAAAUAUAAAAUUUUAAAUUUCAAAAUUAAAAUAUCAAAUUUUAAAUUUUAAAUUUACAAUUUAUAAUCUAUAAUUUAAAAUUAUAAACUUUAAUUUUGAGAUUAUAAAUUAUAAAUUUUAAAAAUUUAAAUUUAUAAUUUUAAAAUUUUAAAAAUAAGAAUAGGGGUGGGAGCAAUUAAUAAAAAUAAUUUAUUAUAAUAAAUUUAUAUUUUUUUAAAAAUUCUACUUAAACUUAAAUUUAAUAAAAAGAAUUUAUUAUAAUAUCUAGAUUUAAAUAAUAUGUAUUAAUAUAGUACAAUUAAUAAUUUUAUAAUAAACUAAUGUAUUAUAAUAUAUAACAUAUUAUAUUUAUAUAAUUUUGUUUUAAUUCAAUUUAUAAUUUUAAUUAAGUUUGAAAUGAAGCAUUGGAAUAGCACCAUUUCACCAAGAUGGAGGAAUAGUAAUUCUCUUGCUAUUCCAGGAUAACCGGAAAUAGCAAGGUUUGAUCGGGAUAAAAUAUUCCGGUCAAAUUUCACUCCGUUUAGCAGAAUAGUGGGGAUAACUUUCGUUAUCCCCGCUUAUCUCCCAAACCAAACGGAGUCUUAUAGAAUAACAUGUAAUACAAAUGAUUAAAAUGAGUCUGAUUGUCGAAAUAAAAGAAGUUCGGACAUCUAUUUACCGAAAUGCUAAAAUUUAAAAUAUUUUUACAAAUUUCUUUUUUAAAAGAAUUUAUAAAAAUUACUAUCAUGCUCUGUGGCUCAAAUCUCUUUUUUGUCCCCAUCCCCAACAUCCAAUUCUCCAAAACCCUGCACUUGCUCCUCACCUCACCAAAAGGGCAAAAUGUAUUCAACACUCACUUUUUCCCCUUUUUUUGUUUCAUUAUAUAUAAGAAUAUUACUGCUUCUAUGUAGAAUUACUAUAUUGUAAAUAAUGAUGUAAAAGAUUAGCUAAAUUACAAAAAAAAAUUUAUAUAAAUAUCCAUUUUUUCACUUUUUCUUCAUAACUUUCAAAUUUUAUAUUUUAUUCCUCAACAUUUCAAAUUGUUGCAUUUAUCCCCACUCCAUCAGGAUUUCAUCACUAUUCUGUCUAUUUUUUAUAAUUUAUACCGAAAAUGUCCUUCAAAAUAAUUAAUGUAUAGAAGAAGUAAGGAAAAUUUGGUUAUUUUGCACUCUCCAUUAAUGCCUAUUCUUUUUGAUAAUAUUUUUGAAAUUGUAAGGGGACAAAAUAUAGAUUUUUGAAAGUCAAAAAAAAAAAAGAAGAUAUUUAUAAAAAAAAAGCUUUCCAUAUUUUAGCCUAAAAAAAUUUGAUUGAUGUAUAUAAAUAGUCGGAAAUAUUGUAAAUGUGAAUUCGACAACAUAUCAGUUAACACUAUUAUAAAUUUAACAACAUACUACUCUUAUUAACUAUUAAAUUUUACCGUAUAUAUAUAAUGGAAAAAAUAGAUCUUUAAUUAAUUCAGAAGAAUUCGGUAACACAUAAAUUUACGGACACAUCUUUAUAAUUAUUGUUUUGAAUCAUUAUCCGAAAAUUCUUCAAGUCCAUCCUAAUCUGCAGUACCGACAAAGAUUGAAGAGUCAAAUCUCAUAAAUAUGCAAGUACAGAAUCCGAAUUCCUGCCAUAUGUAAGAAACUUUGCAAGACAAAAAUCACUGCACAUUAAUUUCACAGAGGAAAACAAUUUUUCAUUUUUUCCUACACAACUACAUUUUAAUGCUCAACAACAACAACAACAACAACAACAACAACACGAAUCUCUCUCUCUCUCUCUCUCUCUCUCUCUCUCUCUCUCUCCUCUGAUUGUUUUUAUGGUCUUUUCACAGCCACAAAUCUACCUGAGUGGUCAAACUGCAGUUGCUCAGAAUUUUAGGUCAGAUGAAGGGAUUGGUAGGUCCCUGGCCUGCUGUGCUUAAGUGGAUCAGCUCCAUAACCUUUUUCUUUUUUUUUUCUUUUUUUUUUUACAUUAUAUAGAUGGGUUGGUUUUGAUAAUGAUGGGCUUGGGUUGAGUUAUAUAGUUAACUAGGUUGGUUUGACUUGGGUGGGAAUGACACGAUAGGUUUAACACUCUUACGAGGCUUACCGACCAUUCCUAGCGCAAAUGGCAAAAGAAUUUAAUGAUUGGUAUUCGAAAUCCAAGUUCGAAUCUUAAUUGAUUCAUAUUUUCAGCUAAAUUUAUUUCUUGAUGAAAUAAAUGAAACGGAUAGCAUGCUAUAUUUCUCUCUCUCAAAAAAAAAACAACACUCUUACGAGACUUAGUUUUUGUUGGAACUUCGCUUUUGUUUUUAUCUCCAGUAAUAGUUAUAUUCAACAGGAUAUUUAUUAGAUAAAAAAGUUGACUACUUGUGUCAUAAUAAAACAAGGUACAUAUGAAGCUUUAAAACAAAAUUUUUAAUUUGGUAUAUGCUUUAAACUAUAUAUAUAUAUAUAUAUAUAUAUAUAUAUAUAUAUAUAUAUAUAUAUAUAUAUAUAUAUAUAGUCACUACAACAGAAUUAGGUUAUAGGGACACAUGUUUGGGACACUUUUGAGUGAGUGUCCAAUUUAUACUAAAACUUAAAAACACAUCUACUAAUGUCUAAAUAUAAAGCCCAAUACAACCAAAAAUAAAAGAUUACUCUACUCAACCCACCACACCCAGUCCAUUUGGCCCGAUUACAAACAGAAAAGUAAAAAAAAAAGAAAAAUCAAUUGCCAUCUUUUCUUCUCUCUUCACUCAAUCCACUGAAAUUCUAGACGAAGAGCAUUUACUGUCGUCCUCCUCCUCCACCGCAGCCAACGAGAUAGAGUUUCGACGGUUGUUAAAUGUUUAAAUAAGUGUUGGUAAAUUAGUAGCACUCUUUUAAGUUAUAGCGACACUCUUUAACUGUCACUAUAUACCUAACGACCCCACAUAUAGCAACACUUUUUAAAAGUGUCGGUAAUUUUAGCUAGCAGCACUUUUUUGACAUGUACCUACAUUUAAAAGUGUCGCUAUAGACCGUUUUUUUUGUAGUGAGUCCGGCUACUAUACUCUUAUGAGUACGAUCGUCCUCGUACUCAUAAGUUAUUUUCAAUGAUGGAGCUUUUGAAUCGACGAUCCAUACCGUUAAACAUUAUCUAAAGCAUUUAAAACUUAUAGAAAUCAAAUUUUAUAAUUUUUCGAUAUCAUUUAUCUUACGAUCAAAAGCUCACAAAAAUAAAAAUUUUUAAUGGCCGGUAUGGAAUACUUGCUAGUUUAACGGUAUAAAAAAAUCGGAAUAGGUUGAAUUUUUGAUAGAAAAUUCUAUUCACUACCUAGAUAAAGAUCAAUAACUCUGAUUUUAAAUUGAAAGAUCCGAUCAUCCAAUUUUAGGAUGUCGUUCGAUUUUGACCAUUCAUUUAUACCCGCUUGAUGGACUUUAUAAUGAUUUCAAAAAAUUACGAAAUUUAUUUUUUAAAAGUUUCAAAUACUUAGAUCAUGUUUAACAGUGUGGAUCGUCCAUUCGAAAACCGCAACAUCAAAAACAACUUAUGAGUAGGAAAG